AUAUGUUUAAGCAACGAGACUUUAAUUAAAUGUAUAUAUAUCCAAAUAUAUAGGUUUCGAAGAAAGGAAAGAACGUGUCAUCAAUAAUUAGACCGCGGCAUUUUUCUCCCUUGAAGUUUUAUAGAAUUACAGAGAUCAAUUGUUGAAGGUAGCCACAAAGCUAAUGGGACCUUUUCCUGUAAAAGCAGCUUGAAUACCAAAUAUAAGGAAGGCCACCAUAGCUAGCCUAGCAUGCUUAAUCUCUGCCAGUUGAAGGUUCUCUAUCUUUUCAGGAUCAGAUGCUAAGCCAAGAGGAUCAAAGUAGCCACCAGGAUAUAGCCUUUUCUCUGGGUCUAGUUCUGCAUUUCUUUGGAACUCAAUGUACCCAACUACUAUCACCUCAAUCCAUAUCAACGUGGUCAAGGAGAAAGGAAGUGGCUGGCCAAGGUAGGAUGACCCCUCAAUCAGCUCCACCUGGGAAAUCAAAUCACCGAAAGAAAAAAAAAGUCAUCAAUUUAAUUAAUUAAAUUCAUGAAUUUAUCACAUCGUCAGUCAUGUCAGUUUUGUUGUUAUCGUGAUCAGCAUUGUCAUGCAUCUUGCUUGGAUAGCUAGAAGACACGAAUAAAAAAAUUGGUUGUGUUGUUGUUGUCCACGUCGUAUUUCUCGAGUGGUUGUCGGGACCUCUCACAAUAUUUCGAAGAGAGCACGAACUAUGAUAUUUAAUAAUAUUAGUGUAAAUUAAGCAAUCCUCACAUUUUUAAACUCCACCCGGUUUAAGAUUCAAGUUUUGAAUUUUAACCGGAUCAUUAGAGUUAAAUUUUUUUAAAAAAUUAAAAUGAUAUUAUUUUAAUAAAAAUAUAAAAAUCAACUAAUUAUAACCAGGUUUUACAGGAUCACAGAUUUCAAUACUAUAAACACAACUUAAUAAUGGAUUAUACUGCUUUUUUUUAUGGAUGCGUAAGAUUUUUUCAUACUAUAUAUAUUCUGUUUGUCAAAGAACCAUCUCAACCCAAUAGCUUAAGCUGUUAGGUAAGGUCCCAGAAUAUGAUUUAUAUUAUUCUCUAACACACUCCCUCAAGUAAAAGCCUUUUGGAUUUGAAACUUGCAAAUACCCACUUUACCUUAUGCUUAAUUUUUAUCAAAUAAAUAGAGAUGGUGAGACUCGAACUCGUGACUGCUUGAUUAUCAAGGCUCUGAUACCAUAUCAAAGAACCAUCUCAACCUAAUAGUUUAAACUAUUAGGUAAUAUCUUAAAAUAUAAUUUAUAUUAUUCUCUAACACUGUUCAGCCAUUCUUCUCUCCCAUGACCCCAUCUCCAUUCUUACUAACUUCAUUUCCAGCAUACUGUUCAUUGAAAAUGAAAAUUAUAUACAUUCAAGGUUCUGCCGGCUAAAGGACUGUACUGGUGGCCAAAAUCAACCGUAGAAAAAGAAGAAAAAAGAUCAGUCCAUGUUUCAUCAAAACAUUUAUCACUGCAUAUUCCAAUUUUUAAUUUAGAGUUCUUAAAAAUCAAUUUCUUUCUUUCCUUCUUUUUUUAUUUCGCCAGAAAGAAGGAAUCUAAAUGAUUUUAUUAGUUAAAAUGCACUAACAGUACUUAUGAAAGUUUAAACUUAGAAUGCUGAACGCUAAGUGCGUAUAAAUCUCAUUGAGUACGAGCACGUACGUACCUUUCCUGCAUCUUGCCAUGCAACACCGGUGAGAGCCUCCACAGCAAUGGCACCAAGAGUACCCAACAUUGCCCACCGUCCAUGAAUAAGUUCGCAUUCUCUAAACCUCUGCAGCCCAAAAACCUCAGAGUAUGGCUGGAAGGGUGUUGGUUUCACCUCCGUGGCAUCUACUCGGACUCCAAUAACAUCACCGGCCAAAUUCUUUGCCAAGUUCUGGUCCAACGAAUCCAAAUCAAAUUGCAAGUACUCUGCGGGCUUACCAAGAGCGAAUGGGUCAAAACCGCGGUCUCCAACCAUGGUUCCAUCAAGCCAUUCAGGUGGGGAUGCACCAGGGAACCAUACAAGCCGAUCUUCAAAUUGUUUUGGGGAGGAUUUCUUUGGUGGAGGAGGAGGAGGCGAUUUCUUGGUUCCAAAUCCAAACAGGGCUUGAAUUUUUCCUGGAUUUUGUUUUGUGUAUUGAGUUCGGGUCCCCGAAAAAUAGGACGCGGCAACAGCAGUCGUUGCAGCCAUGUUCGGGUCUAAGGAAACUGGCGUGUGAAAAUAGAAGUUGUCCUAAUUUUAUAAUGGAUUAUUUGUUUAAUUUCAGGUGAAAUUGCGCGAGGAAGUUUUUUAUUUUCUUUGCCAAUGGAUUUAUGUGAACCAGAAUUGCCUGGGCCUUAUCCUUAUCCUCUAGUGAGUGAUGUUGGAUGGUUGAUCGUUGAUGGCUUCGACACCUUCCUUUGUAGGAUAUUGGAACCUGGACGUGCGUACCUAACAUUUUUAAAGCCAGUGGCAGUGGGGUUAGCUACAAAAGAAAUUAGAGUGGCUCUCUUCCACAAUGAACAAUUUUAUGAAGUAUAUAUCCUUCAUUUUACAUAUAUAUACCGAUAAUUUGAUCUUAAAUUAAAACCAUUAAAUACCCAAAAAAGAAAAAAAAAACGUCAAACCCAAGGUAUAAAAAGAAAAAAAUCACAUCAAACGUAAAGAUAAUAUAUAAAAUUAAAUGUUAUAUAGAGCAUUCGGUUGAGUUUUGGAAUCUUUUUAAGAAAAAUAGAUAGAUAUUUAUAGUUAUUAAUUCUAUAAUUUUUGUUAAACCAUUAAAUGCUAAAGUUACUAUUGGUGCUGCAUUAUAUUCUAUAAAAUUACAAACAAUAUAUAAAUUAUUGAUCUCGAUAGCAAUAUAUAUUUUCAAAAAUAAAAUUUAAUUUAUAUUAGUCUUUACAACAUUAAGUUUUUUAGAUUAUGAUUUUUUAGUAGAGUGACUUUCUAAAAUAACUUUUAAUCAGAAAGAAAAUUUAAUUUGUAUAUGUCUUUAAUUACAACAAUAACUUUUAGAUAUGAUUUCUUAUUUGAGUGACUUUCUAAAAUAUCUUUUAAAUAAAUAAAGUGAUUUAUGUAACAAAAUCUUAUUCUCCUAUAAAAAGAAAAGCAUGUUGCUUCUCAAAAAAAAAAAAUUCCCUAAACAUUUUAUAACGUUACAGUUAAUAUAUAUAUAAUAAACUUUAAUCAUGCUUAGAAACAACUUUAAAGAAAGGAUUACUGUGGCUCCUCGACAAACUCAAGAAUGAGAAUUUUAUCAGAGAGAGAGAGAGAGAGAGAGAGAGAGAAAGGGAUCGACAGCUCAAGAAGUAAGAAUAACACCACCUUAGAAUUUAAGGAUAGCGCGAUAUCAUAUUGAAUGAUUGGCCUGGGGAAGGAGUGGGGGGAGCCUCUCUUAUAAAGUUAUAAAUUAGGAAGAGAGGGCAAAGAAAGAAGAAACAAAACUCGGAAGAAACAAAUUUUAUCAGGAGUGUUUGGACCGAUUUAAAGCACUUGAGGUUGGAAACACUAAAGAGCUGAAGCAGGUCUAAAACAUUUAGAAUUGUUUGAAACCUGUGAAAUAAAUUUAAUUAAGAGAGUUAUAUGAAUUUUGUGUCUUGAACUCUUUGAGAGUAUUAAUUUUAACUUUAAAUAGAAUUUAAUUUAUAAAAAAGAUGUAAAAGAUAAAUUAAUCGCAUGUAAGAACCUCUAAUUUACUACAAUAAUCUUUCUUAAAAUUAAAAUUGUAAAAAACAUUCCAAAAUUACUCACAUAAUAAAACAAACCUUAUUUUUACUCCUUUAAUUUCUCUUAUUCGCCUCUUUCUUUCCUCUCAAAAACUCUUGGCAGCAAGAGAUUCUUUAUUUCUCUACCUGGCAUCAAUUUUCAUCAAGAUAUUUUUGUUUCUCAGGUAUGUUAGUGAUUUUGUUUUUUGGUUUUUGCCUAAACCUUGCCUUUUCCUUGUUUUUUAAUUUAACGUGGGUGUCCGGAUCAGCUUGCGCGCACCUCGACUAAUCCCACGGGCCCUGAAGUUAACAACCAUGUAAGCCUCCAGUGACUAUCAUAUGAGCAACUACAGGGCUCGAACCUGAGACCACAAAGGGAGCAAACUUCUUGAUCCCAAGCUCUUACCACUGGGCCACCACCUAGAUGGUUUUCCUUGUUUUUUUUUGUUUUACUAAGUCAAUUGUAUGUGGAUGAUGUUUGAUUGAUGUAUAAAUAUGUAUAUAUUAGAAAUAAAUAGAGAUUGAAGAGUAAUAUUUCAAAUUAUAGCAAGUAUAUAGGAACAAAAAAAGUUCUAAAAAAAUAUAUAAAAAAUUGAUAUUAGAUCUCGCAUCGAUGCAAAAUGAUAUUAGGGUAAACUAAAACUAAUUUGAGGUUUUCUAAAAAAGUUUCAAGACUAUUUCAAACUCUUCAUUACUAAUAUCUCCAGUGGGAGGCAGCCCCUUCCAUAAGACAAAUACUAAAAAGCUAUUCUCCCCUGAUCGACACAACACGUAUGUGAAUGAUGAUAGGAAUGAAUAAAUAAAUAAACCUGAUGAAGAAUUUUGUGACGAAUAAAACAGAAAGUAGAUUGUACUGUACAAAACCCUGACUUGGACUAAACAUCACAUUAACCAAUCAAAAUCCAGGUAUCCACUCAUAGCCCAGACAAAGCAUUUUCCUCAACUACAAGUUCUGUCAGAAAGUUUCCACGUGUCCACUCAUUGGGCCUAGUACAAAUAUCUUACUGGCAUCUCUCUCUCCUUACUUUUUAGGACUGUUUUUUUUGCUCUGCUUUUGUUAUUCGUAUUCCUUUGUUAUCGUUCAUCUCUUCCACUAAUUAAAGAGGUAAGCGAUCCUUUCUAGAUAGCUUGUUCUUAGUUUUUCCUCUCUCUGUUUUUGUUUUUUUCAGUCUUGGUAUAGCUUCUUUUCUUUUUUGCCCUUUUGAACAGUUUUGAUAUAAUUUCUGAUUCUGGUUCAUUAGUUGUUAAUUGGUUUUUCUGUUCUAUUUUUUGUUUUCCAGUUGAGUUUUCUUUAUGAUCAAUUGAAGUAGUGAAUUUUUCUAGUUGAGUGUUUUUCCUUGUGGGUUUUCUGUUAUCGUUUUGCUAGUUUGUGUCUUAAUUCCUCUACUGUAUGCAUCGUCUGUGUUUGCUUAUGGGUGAAGUAAACAACGCUUGAAACUUUAUGGCUUGUGUUUUGCUUUAGUUUCCGAGAAAAUGGAAUUAAUCUUAAAUUAGCGUCAACCAGAAAGUUUUCUUAUUACCAAAGUGGUUAUGCUUUGUGAAAACAAGUUUCUUCUUUGUGGGGAAAAAAGUGUUAGCAAUUCUGUUGUAACCCCUUUUCUUAAUCUGCCAAUUAGGUUAAUUAUGGUUUGAAUAGAGUAAAAUGUUUUUUUAAUCAAAUAAUGUUUUUUCUUAACAUCGGUAAUAGCCAUGAAAACUGCCAAGGGCAAGGGGGCAGCGAGGACGGAAAAGAAGGAAGUAUCACUCCCAGUUGAGGACAGGUAAAUAUUCUGUUUAGUUAUAGCUAAUUCAUUCUUUUCUUUCCUUUCCUUAACCAAUCUUAUAUAUGAAUCACACGGCUGUUAUUCGUUAUUCGUUUCAUUGACUGGGUAUGGUAUGGAUUUUGAGUGAAUGGUUUGUCAUGUUUGCAUUUAUUUCCUCUUUCAGGAAGAUUGGAAAGCGAAAGGCAGCACUAAAGGCUACCGAGAGUAGCAAGAAACGAGCCGCGAAAGAAAAAAUCACCAAGAAGGACCCUGACAAACCCAAAAGGCCUCCGAGUUCUUUCUUUGUUUUUCUGUAUGUCUCUCUAAAUUUGAUAUGGUUUAGCAAUUAUAAUAUCAUUUUGAAAAUCACCUAAUGGUUAUGCAAUGUAACGCACCGCAGAGAAGAGUUCAGGAAGAUUUACAAACAAGAGCACCCCAAUAUGAAGGCUGUCUCAGCUGUAAGCAGCUCUUAAACACCUCGUGUUUCUUACGAUUGUGGACUUCUUAUAGCUGCUGUGAUAGAUCAAUUAAUGUAGACUGGAAUUUUGACUACUGGAUCAUGUGAUUGAAGGUGGGGAAAGCUGGAGGAGAGAAGUGGAAAUCCAUGUCUGCUGCAGUAAGUCCUAAAACCUUACUUUUCAGAUUCUUGAAUCGAGUUGGGUCUUUGAAAGACAAUGAAUUGUGCUGCCUUUGACUGGAUAGAAUACUUUAACUAGAACGACGGUGCGGAUUCUGUUUGUUAAGGUGUUGCAAAAACCUGGAACUGUGGCUCCCACUGGACCUGGCCGUGCACCACGCACAUGUUCGAUGACUUUGGAACUUUGUCUGGUUAACCACACCAAUGCCGGUGUGGUGUAGACUGCCGGGGCCCUAGAUGUUGGUACUUCUAGGGUCUGAAGAUUUAAAAGGACUGAGUGGUGGAAUUCAGAUAUGUUUCCCUUGACUGAUGUUGCAAGUUGGACAUAUGCACAUUCAUAUAUAUAUGUGAUUGUUUGAGUUAGUCAAAAUAACUAGUGUGCAAAGAGUAUUUUCAGUUUUUAGUAAGUUAUAUUCUCUGUCUACUGAUUGCUUCCUGGCUUUACAAAUGGCAUGCUGAUUGUAUUCUUACCUUCCUCUACUGGAAUUGGAUUUGGCAGGAGAAAGCUCCAUAUGAAGCUAAAGCAGCAAUAAAGAAAUCAGAUUAUGGGAAGCUUAUGACAGCCUACAGCAAGAAACAGGUGAAUCUUUUGAAUGUUGCUUUCUUCAGAAUCAAACGAACUUGCCUUUUCUUUUCCCAGUCUCAUGACUACAUUAUGCCUCUCCCAGGAAACGGAUGAUGGUGGUGCUGACGAAGAAGACGAUUACAAACAUUCUCACAGGUCCAAAUCUGAAGUCGAUGGCCAAGAUGACAGUGAUGAGAGUGUAGGGGUAAUCUUUUGUCAGCCUCUGAUAUCUCACACUAUCAGAUAUGUUAAAUAUUAAGCAACUCUUGCACUUGCACCGCAUUUCCAUCCCCGUAGUGAUAUCAUGAGAAUGCACACUUGAAACUUCAUAAUUCAGACAUCUACUCAUUGUUUUACACGGUUCAAUCCGUUGUCUAAGUUAAUUGUCACUGUAGAUGCCCCACGUUUAAAGAGGCCAGGUUCUUUGCUCUAAGAUCCAUUUAAUAUACAAUGCUUUUUCCCAGUCCAAGAGAAUUAAUAACUGGUUCUUUUUACAUGCAAAUGUUCUUGUGCACUAAUUCCUGUCAACAACUGGUCAAGAUUAAAAGAAGACCUCAUUGUUCCAUGUGCUAGUAUGCUUUAGGUUAUAGGGAUUAGAUUAUUCGUUUUAGGUUUCACCUGCUUGGGUCCUCUGCUCCUGGACCUUAUAAUUUCCUGAACUUGUCAGAUUCUUACAUCGUUAGUUUUACUGAAGAGAAUCAUAGCUGGAUUACCUGAGUUCCAGAUAGAGCGAUUGAUGAAUUUGGGAUUGUUCUAUCUUCAAUUACUUUAUUUUUGUAUGCGGUUAUGUGGGAGUUAUUCUGCAAUGGAUGGUUUAUUCUUUACUUCUGUUGAUAUAGAUCGACUCAUGUCCUCCCUGCUGACUAUCAGUCUUCAAUUACUCAUCAAAUAAGUGCAUUUUCUUUCAUUCAUACUUCUCUUGUUUUCUUUAAAUUAGUCCUAAGAUAAGUUGAACUAUCAAUUUUCAGGAGGAUGAAGAUGACGAGGACGAUGACUGAAGUUGGCAUGUAGGCUGAUUUAGCCUAUGAUUGAUCCAGGCCAAAAAUCCUAGACUUAGUGAGUGAAGCUUUCAGGUUAUGUCUUGUCUAUGGUGGUGAUUUUCUGAAAUUUUCCGAAGUUUCUCUGCUCUUAUUGGUGCUGCUAAGUAGUCAUGUAAGAUUUACUCGUGUACCUGCCACGCAUUUAUCUGACUAUCUCAGUUGAAUCAUGAAUAGAUCCUGAGCGCAACAUACAUUUUGCUUUGGUAUGCUACCUGCAAAUUGAGUAUUGCCUGGUGUAGAAUAGCGAUGAAUAGAAUUUCUGUUUGUAAUAUGUGGGCUACCGGUAUAACUACAUCUCUACAUAUGCUAGGGUUUUCUUUUGGGGAUUCUUAACUGCAGUCCAUGGUGAACAAUCAUAUUACCAUCACCUACAAGUAGAUAAAUAUUUACCCUGCCGUUUACUGCACCGGAAUUACCAGUUCCCUACCAUCUCUGUACCUGGUGGUUUCAGGAACGAUGCUGUAAGUGUCCAUGUCCGACUUGUUUGUCUUAGUCAGAGUGGCCUGGAAACCAGGAAAAGUAGCUCACCCUUUGUCUCCUUAUCUGUACGACUAAUAUGCGUUGCUUGACAAAAUUGUAACCAGACCACAAGCCUUGAUGUAUCGGUUAAAUUGCAAUUGCGUUGUAUCUAACGGUUGCGGAUAAUUGGCAUUAAAUCUAAUCGGUCUUGUGCCAAAAAAUGGGACAAAAUGCUGGUUAAUGCACUCUCUCUGAAGGGUAUCAACUCCAGGGCUUCUGUAGUAGCUACGACCAGGAGGAUAUUUACCCACCUCUGCAAUUGGUUAGCACACACGCUUUCUUUCUUUCAGAAAAAAAAACCUGAAAAGUUACUAACAUAGAGUCAUAUCUGGAAUUUAUAGCGAUUUUGGUUUGAAAAAGAUCCCAAAAUUUUCAAACAGGAUUAUGGAGGACGACUUAAUUUCAUUUUGGGCUCCAAGAGAAGCCAACUAGACAGAUUUAAGUUGACUGGAACCAAACCACCAAUCCAAGAGCAAGUGCACAUAGAUAUUUUCUUAAAUAGAGAACUUUCUAUAUUUCUAUAAAAAAAAAUUUAUACGAGGUUUGAUUAAAAAAAAAAUGCUGCGGUUGACUGUACAAAGAAAGUACAGAUUCCUUCUCUCAUUGGUGCAUGGCUGUAGCAGAUAACAGUCUGCUGUGUUUUUUUAUUUAUUUAUUAUUAUGGAUGAUUUCUUUUUCUAAUUUAUGUAGGAUUCAUAUCACAAGCAAUUUUAAUCUCUGUACAAUUCUUGGAUCUAAGCUAUUUCAUCUCUGUACAAUUUCACCUGUCAAAAAUUAAAAAAAGUAACCUGACGAUCUCUCCAAGCUUUAUUUUAUCGCACUCGCUAGUAGAACAGACCAGUUCUAUUAAAACCAUGUAGUUUUUCAUGGGCUGGAAAGAAAAGAACUUGAGAUGGAAGCAUGUUUCAUACGUGUAAUGUCGGAACAUGUCGCCGGAAAGUGAACAAUGUGAUAGGCACAUGCUCGCGAGGGACACGCCCAAGUGGGACUGCAAUUGCCCGUCAUUAUCAUCAUUAUAAUCAUCAUCAACACUAAAAGCAACAAGUUGAAUCUUAGAAAAGGAAAGCCAUAAAAUCAAUGAAUAGGUGCCCACAAUUCCUACAUGAAACCAAUUAGCUUUCAUCUUGGUGUUCUGGUACGUGAUUUUAAUCAUGGUUUAAUUAGCUUUUGUUUUGGUGUAAGAUGUUAAUCAUGGUUCAGCACAUAACAGUACAUAACUGAAUUUUUUAUUUACUGUUUGUAUGGCAUUAUCUCCAACACUAAUCAUGUUAUGAUGUCAGUUCUUGAAGAAUUUAAGGCCUCCGUUGUUGGUGUGUAAUGAAAUCUCUUUCUCUUCUUAAUGAUGUCGGAACUUUGUCGCAGUAAUUCACGCAUGCACGUGCAUGUGCGGGGUAAAGAUCAUAUAUAGUUUGUUUCUUUGCCGUGUAACUAUGGAGUAGAUCCGUGUACCUAGAUUUUGAUUAAUGCUUGAGAUGUUCUUCACUUACCCAAGUUUAUUUAACUUUGCUUACCCAGUGAUAUCCUAUUUAUUAGGAAAAUUUGCUCAGUUUAUCCUUUGCCUGAAUAAACCUAUUAAUUUCAAUUUAUUUUUAUAUUGUAGAUCAUUUUUCAAUUUAUAUAACUAAAAUUGAAUUAAAAAAAAAGAAGAAGCUAGAUCACUAGUUGAUUAGUUCAACCGAUUUAAUUGUUUUUUUUUUUUUUGAUAUUAAUCGAUAUAUUAAAAAUAAGCUUAGCCAUUUAGAAAAAAAAAAAAAAAAAAACAGGAACAGAAACAAGAACAACAGAAUGGAAGGGCAAAAAAAGGCAAGAAUUCUCCGAUUACAAUUCAAACCUUACAAAUCUAGUUAAUUGCUCCAAAGAAGGAGGUCAUUUACACUUUGCACAGGUGGUGGUUGCCGUGUAACUAAAAUUCCUGACACUUGAUUUUAACCCCAUAGCCAACCUGUGAAGAAUGAAGUCAAAACCGAUGGAAGGGUUCUGUUAAGUCACCGUAAUUCAAUUACUUGGUAGAGAAAAGUGACACUGCUUUUCAAACCAUUCCAGAGAGUUGUUGAAUCGAUAUCUAAUAAAGAAUUAAUCGAAAUCAGGUAAUUAUCAACAAAGAGUUGAAAAAUAGGGAUCAGAAGUGAACAUAGCCGUCAAUUUAAAAGGCUAUGACUGUCAUCUUGAUCAUCUAUGAGCAGCUAAUAACAAAAAUCCAGAAUUAAACAAAAGAACCAGCAAAAACCAACACUUAAAAAAGAGAGAAGGGUGACAGCUUUUUUAAAAUCUUUUACCAUGUCACUUUUGCUGUUUCAGCCUCUUUGUUUUUCUUAUUUCAAGGUAAAGAGAUUAUCAAGAUGAUAAAUUCAGGGAAUCGAUCGAGCUUAUUCACAAACUGCGUCGGUCGAUUAGUGAGAUGAUUGGUGGUGUGAAAAAAGUCUACAAAUUAAUGCCGAACCACUUUAAGCUAAGAUAUGAGGAUUGAAAGACAGCAAUAAAGUGGGGUUAUGUGCAUUUAAUUAUCAAUUAGAGACAAAAGUAAACAAGCACCAAAAUAACCAAGGGGGAUUUGGCCGGCAAUAUCAAUCAGGAUUUAUCACUUAACAGGACUGCUUUUGUUGGUAUUUUACUCGAGAGUUUUAGGAAGAUUUGGCUACAUCUAAACACCAAUGAGGAAGCCUCCAAUCAUAUCGGCACCAAUUUAAUUAGCACCAUGCAUCUCACCAUACAAGAAAAACAUCUUUAGAACAUAUGGCCGGUGCAGCCGAGAUUAUAUCAACAUCAGGCAAAAAAGUUAUCUGGUGGGGCUGCUAAAUUGUCUCUUCCACUAGCCAUAUAUUAAUUCUUACAAUAGGAUCUUUUACCUUUUGUUUACUAAUCCUUUGCACUUCUGAUUCUGUUCCCUUGCAAUUUUCACUUCUCUUUACACUGGCGUCCUUUCUUUCUUUUGUUUUUUUUUCCCAGUCAUGUUAUAGUUUCUCUCGUCCUCUUCUGAAAUCAACUGCAGCUUUUGGAACACUCUCUAGUAACAUUCAAGCAAUAUAAAAGAAAGUGAUGAGUCAUGAGAUUUAAGUUAUUUUACAAAAUUCAUCAGGCCGCACCUUAUCUAGGUUGCUAAUCCCAUAAGAGAAAUCGUAAGCAUGCACCCAACCUCUCUCAAUGGUCAAGUCCUUUCUACCACUAGGCCGCACCUUGGCCAAAUUAAGUCCUCUCCAUGUUUGGUUAUGCGUUCCUCGUACUGGUCUACAUCCCUCCUCAAUGGAUUGGUUGCGCUUCGAUUUUUGGUAGACUGCAUGUGCAACCCUCCUGACAGACCGAUCAUGCAUCUUUUCUCAAGCUUUAUACUCUUGAUCGUGAAUUGUGACUGUCCAAAAGAAUUGUUAUACAUGGCUAGGCGAGAAGCACGCGACAAUAUUGUCAUACUUGCCUAACCUGUUAAUUAGGGAACAAAUGAUGUAUAUAUGUUAUUAAUGCUACUGCGUAUCAUAACACAUGACAUUCUCUAAAUUUAUCAUAUGAUUACCUAGAAAACAAAAUUAUAUUUUAAAAAAUAGCUUUACGAUAGUCUCUUUAAUCUUUAUUUUGUCCAAAUCUGUGUGUUAUCUCCUCUGCACUUGUCCCACUACAACAUACCUAUAUAUUUAUACGUGAAAUAACAGAAUCCCUUACUAUUUCAAAAUCUUCCCUUCGUACAAGAACUCCAACUUCUCUGUAAUUUCACUUCAAUCUAAAAUGGAGUACAUUAUUUUUAAUAGAUCUUCUUUUCACAUCCUUUCUCCAAACAGUCGCUGUCUUGACAUCAAUUGGAACCAGACGUGCAACCUCUGACAAAAUUAACCCACAACCUCAUUCAUGUGGACUGAGCGGAAAAUAAAUCGGAAAGUGCUCACCCUAACACGUCUGAAGAAGAAAGUACAUUCUGUCACAAAUUUACAUCUCAACAGCGCGCACGAGCGACUCAGACCUCGUGUCUCGUGGAUGACCCCGGCCAGAAAAUAUAUUUGGGUGUACAUUUUUUUUUCUUCUUCGUACCAUUAAAACUUUUCUCAUCAAAAUUGUCUGUUAAAUUUUGUUGAAUGCAUAUCAUAUGUGAUUGUUAAGUUGAUAGAAGCAUGUUCGCCAAAUCUGCAUAAAGCUCUUGAAUUUAUUUAUAAUCGGGUGUUUAUAUACAAAUGUCUCCUGUAUCAAACAAUUAAUUACUCGAUGGAGGGGCAGAUUUGUCUCCUCAUAUUGAUUGACCGUUGUAUACAGGAUACACGUGUUACUUAUCGGAUAAGAUUGACCAUACAUAUUAUCUUUUGUUAGGUUGCUCGAAAACCUGCAAGAACUUUUUGCACAGUUCAGUAUUUUUAUUAACCACACCGGCAUUGGUGAUUAAAAGGGUAGCAGUAUACUUUUUUCAAAAAGCAUGUCCUGCUCAAGAAAUUAAUGCUCUUUAAAGGCAUGGAGCCUGCUUGAUGAAAGUCAAUACUCCACGGUUGUCAAUGGACGUGUUAUGUACCGGAUCCAUGUAUCGUGCAGCGGCAGGGGCAGUGAUUGAACACGAAAUUAGAAAAACAAAACCAAAUUUUGUAUUGUCAAAUCGAAGUUCACUGAAGCUAUCUAUGUUGGUAGGUACUCUUUCAAGAAACGCAGCUUUUAUUGAAAGGUGUCAUCGAUAUUGGAUAAGAUGAUAAAAUCAUAAACCUGUAAUAUAUUUAUUCACAGAGCAUCAUAAGAGGUGGUUCCAGUGUUUAACGAACAACAAAAGAUAAAAACAUUCUAUAAAUCUAUAAUGUUUGUUUUUAUGUUUUAAAAAAAAUUUAAAUGUUUUUUUUUUUUUUUACUUCAAAUUAAUAUUUUUUUAUAUUUUCAGAUUAUUUUGAUAUGAGAAUGUCAAAAACAAUUUUUAAAAAAUAAAAAAAUAUUAUUUUAAUGCAUUUCCGAGUAAAAAAAAUACUUUGAAAAACAACUGCAACCAUACUCUCUCAAAUACACUUAUAUCUUAGUCUCGAAGAGCAUAUUCUCUUUGGAGAUUAGGAAAAACAAGAUUGUAAAUUAGUCUGGAUGGAUCUUGCAAAAUAAAUUCACGUGAUACUUGUUACUUUAUACAUGAAAUAAUCUAUAUUUCCAUUAUCCCUGUUAUUUUGUUAUCAGGGAUCAAUAUUUUUAUUGAUUUUCUUAUUUCACCAAAAAGAAAAGCAGAUGCCUUCAUUGAAUAAAUUAUCACAGCGAACAUGACACACUUGAAGAGAAAAACAUUGAUUUUGAAUUGUGAGCUUGGAAUCAACCGAAGUGAAUCAAUAGAUUGGUCCCCUUCGCAGAAGAAUUAAAUAGGUUUCAAGAUUUCUUAAGAUCGCGUGGUCCUUUUUCUCAUAUCAUAUAGCUAGGUGCAGCAGUUUAUUUAUCGCCACGUGAUUUUAACAUAUGAUGCCGUGGACAUUGUGGUCCAAUGAUUUUAAUAGUUGGAGAAAUGGGUUUGCAUAUUGUUAAACUAUUGUAUCCAUGCAAGCUAGUACAGUACCUCGUGUUUAAUGACUGUUGGAUGGUUAGAAAUGCAUUUUUGUUGAGCGAUGCAUGAGAUCCAAUUAAGGGUGAUUAUUACGACAAUCGAAUAUACCUAUAUAUAAUGCAUUUUAAUUUAUGGAAUAAGUUUUUCUUUCUCUCCUGACAUGGAUAGAAUGCUAGAGCCACGACGAGUAUUAUUAGCUGGCAAAAUAAAAGAGUGGUUUUGCUACUAUGGAUGUCGAUCGAACCAGCACCAUAAAGUUGAUAAACUAUGGUAAUUGAUAACCUUGUUGUGGUCUGGUGGGUAUUUUAUACUCCAUUAAUUCUCGAUAGAAAUAACUUGAAUUCGUAGAGUCUUUGCAUUUGGUAUGAAGCUUACUGUUACUAGACUAAGGAUUAAUUGGUUAGCUCUAUCGAUCCUCGUCUGCAUUAAUUAAUUAGUGCCUCACUGUUCGAUUAAGAAAACACAUGUUGUGUAGCAUUAGGAAGAAGGCAGUGAAACUUUCCUCUUUUCGCACGUAGUCUUUCCUUUAAGUACUUUUCUUCCACGGAGAAACAAGUUCUGCUCGGGGAAGCUUCAACCCAUCAAACCAUGAAUGGAUAUUGCAAAGCUCGGUAUGUUUAUUUAAAAAAAAAAAAAAAAACCUUUUGCUUUAAGACAGUGACACGGUACUGUGAUAUGAACUCGUAUCGAUCAAAAAUCCGUUAAAAAUACAUAUUAUGUUAUUAUAUGUGAACAAAUUUGGAAGGAUAUUUUCAUAAUAUCAUCAUAAAAUCAGAGUUCAGGAUAUUAAUUUUCAUGAACGAGACUAAUCGUAUAUAUAUAAACAUGUUAUAACAAAUCAAAGUCAAGGCUAGAACUUAAAAUCUCAGGUUGAAUUAUUCGAAUCGAUAUGUGAUGACAUUGUAAACCAUUAUAUAAACAAAAUAUGCAUCUCAGAGCAAAAAAAAGUAGUGGACGUUCAUUGAUUGCUUAAUCAUAUACGUGGUUUACAUUAAUUCAUCCUUACGCUUGAUCAAGUAAUACAUUGUUUUAUCGUAAGCUUGAUGGAAUGCAUUAAUUAAUGAUUGAUAUAUACAUCAUAUGCAAUCCAAAUAUUAAUAUACAUGGUUAAGAAGAUUUGUUGUUCUAAUAAUUUUAGUGUUCAAAUUCUUAAAUCAACACUGACAAUUUAUUUUUCUUAAAAUACUAAAUUUAUAUGAUGGAUACGGUAUUAAAGAGAUCGUAUAAAAAACAUUUAAUUUUAAUCAAGUUACAAAUCGAUUUGAAACUAACGAUGAUUAUAAAUAAAGAGCGUGCAUCUUAACUUUUUUAACAAAUAAAAUGUCGGCAGGGGAGUGCAUAGCACACGCGAAAGCUAAUCGAUGGUGCUCUGCAUGGAGAGUAAUUAAUUGAGCAAAUCCUGCACUCUUAGAGAUCUAGAAAUAUUCGAUCUCGCCCACGCCUUUUUCUUUGACAAUAAUGCCUUUCAAUUAUCAUAUAAAAGGAUUUAAUUGACGCAUCGGAGAGCUGAGAGCAUGCACGGAUUGUACCAACUUGGACUCGCUACAGAUACUGCAAUAAGUUUUGAUAUAGACGGACCAGCUAGCUAGCAGAUAGUUAUAAUUAUUGGUGUUGCUCAUGCAUCUCCCCUUUGGUCACUGAAAAAUCUGGUUGAUACGGUGACGAUCUCUGCCGAGAAACCAAGUUGUGUAUGAUUUGGGCCAUUACGAAGGGCUAAUAAUUAUCCCCACCCUUCUGUGGACACGUCUGCCUCUGGCGAUCUGCUGUCUUUUCUUCUGGGAAUUAGAACGUAUCAACUAUACUCUUAGCAGGAAAAAACGAGUGUACAUCCCCACUUGUUCAUCUUCUAUGCACAUAGACAUGGUCACAUCAAACGUGGGGCGACAUUAAUUAUUGAUUUAUCAUGCACUCCAAUUCCUAACCCAGUCAUCAUCAAAUUGGUGUCUUUUCAAAUCGGUUACGAAUUUGUAUUGUAUAUUUUCUAAUGAUAAGCACAUGUGUAUGUGAAAGAAUCUAAUCAAACAAUUAAUUGAAAACUAAUUUUAGUUGGAACAUCUACUGGAUAAACAAAGGAAAAAUUGCCUCGUAUCUUCUCUUGGAAUUUCAAGCAAAUAAUCAAUUUCAUGGAACACCAAUUGAUAAUUAGUAACAGGUAUGUGAUCUGAGGAGCAAACCAAGUAACACGCCAGUUGAUAAUUAUUUUCGAGUUGCAACUCGAAGAUGGUGCUGGAUAACUCAACAAUGCAUGAUACUGGAUAAACAUCUUAAUCAAAUUCCAUGACCUUAACACAAAUCCAAAUUCUGUCCAGAUCCCACAAAUCAGGGUCCUCAUAUGUCUCCAAACAGCUAACCUACCUAUGAACCUACUAGUAAAUACCUGAGCCAUCGAAUCCCUUUUGCGUUAAUGGGAUGGUGACAAGGUUUGAUCCAUUUAGAGAGAAUGUUUGAUUUAAUGUCAAUUAAUUGUGGGAAUUAAGAGAAUGCUUAACUGACACAAAGGCAACGAGAGGAGGCACAAUCGAUCACACGAUAGGAUUCUCUCCUCGGUAACUUCAAAUUGAACUGAAUAAAAACUUGAUGUGGGUACUUGCUAUAUCGGCAUUAUUUUAUGGGUUGUCUAGUGGGUGGAAAGCUUUGAUGCCCCUUAUGGGGACCAUGUGGAUGAACAUGGUAUCAUAACCUCAUAUUUAAAAAAUCAAACCCUAUAAUUGCAUCAUACUCGUCAUUAUUUUUAGCCACGUGUCUGAUGGAUAAGCUUGCAUUGCAUUAUCUUCUUAGAAGCUUCAUUUGUGGGAGCUCACACCCAUCUUGGCUAAAUGGAUGAUGCGGCAUGAUCUUAAUUAGUUUCUUUCCUGAUGAUCAUUUCACUUAAUAAUGGCAUAAAAAAGGAAGGGCUUCGGUGGUUUUUGGGGUAUCAAAGAACAAUUAGAGGUAGCCAACGGACUGAAUCGAGUGGAAGAAGUGGGCAGCGCCUUAAUUACAGUGACAUUUUAUCGGCUCUGAACCUUAUAAAUUAAACACCAUGUACCUUUAUUGAAAAUUUCACAAAUCGAAAUAUGCAUGGCUCCAUGAUAUCGAAUUUAAAUAAUAUAUAGUGGCAGAUCCAAAACAAAGAUGCAUAUUAAAAAAAAAAUCAAUCUGGACUGUUUUUGUUUUUGUCAAUUUGAAUCAUACUAUAUUUGGGAAUUUUUUUUAAGUGAAUUUUCGUUCAAGACGAAAAUCUCUCUUGUUGUUUGUUUAAUUAAGGGUAUAUAUAUAUGUGUGUGUGUGUGUGUAUUGAAGCAUAUAUAUAUAUAUAUAUAUUAUUAAAGAAAAAUCUAAAUGUUCUACUGAUAUAUUUAUAUAAAAAUAUAUAUAUUUCAAGUUAGAUUCAGAUAAAUUUCAAGUUAAAUAUAAUAAUAUUCAUAUCUUAGAUAACAUUAAAAAAAAAAACAUUCUCUCCUUUAAAUACAAUAUUUAAUUAUCAUGUUUGAAUUAAAAUAUAUAUAUAUAUAUAUUCUAUAUUUAAGUGGGACUGAACCAAUAGUCCACGUGCUUAGAGGAAAAUGCUUGUUGCAGAACGGAAAAGGAACUUGGGAAGGUAUGGAUGUUGCUGUCCCUCUCUCCACUGAAACCUCUUUGAAAAAAAAUUAAGGGAAAAAUGAGGGAUGUUAAGUACUUUAUGCGAGCAAAGGAAAAACAAAUAUAUAGAAGUGACGGUUGCAGGAGCAAACAACUACCGUAGGGAUUGCAUUGAUAAGGUUAAGGUUAGAUGUAUACGAUCUUUGCUGGUCUUAGUUUUGUGUUCAAUUCAUCCCAUGUAAGGAAAUCUAUAAAUAAAAUAAAUUAAUCAGGACAUUGAUUGAUUGGAAAUCGGAACAACAAGAAAUUAAUAAUAAAUAUUGCCAUCCUAAGUAGUCAUUCAACUUUUUUCUUCCUAGUUUUCUAGCAGAUAAGUCUGCACUGUGAAAUGCUUAAUGAUUGCUUGUUACUGUGGAUGAGUUCUGAUAAUGAAAAUUGAACUUUUAAAUCUGGGAUUUGAAGAUGUCGGGUUGAAAAAAAAUAAAGAAGAAAUAAAACUAAGAGUGGAACAAGAUGGAAAAAUUAAUAAAAUCUGAAUCUCACGGAAGAUGCAGGGAUGAAAAUAAGAAGAACAAAAAAAAGAGAUACUUUUUCAAAAAAAAUAUUUUAUAUUUAAUUUUUAUCACAUAAAUAAAAAUGGUGAAAAUCAAAUUCGUGACCAUUUAAUUAUUAAAAUUUUGAUAUUAUAAUAAAAAAAUUUAUUUUAAUUUAAUGGCUUAAGUUAGAUAAAAUUUUCAAAAUAUAAUUCAUAUAACUUUUGUGAUAUAACCAUCAUCUGAUUAUAUGUUUUUCUAUUAUUAUUUUUUAAUGGUAAAAUUUAAAUUAGUGACUAUUUAAUUAUUAAAGUUUUAAUAUUAUAAUAAUAAAAAUUAUUUUAAUUUAAUGGUUUAAGUUGUAGAUAAAAUUUUUAAAAUAUAAUUCAUAUUAUUUUUGUGAUAUAACCAUCAUCUGAUUAGACGUUUCUCUAUUAUUAUUUUUACUUGGAAAAUGAUAUGUGAAUGAACUUGUGUUACCUCUAAUGCCACCCUUAUCUCUAAUGACUAAAGAAGGAGAGGCCACAUCCACCCGCUCGAUGUUGGAUGAGAUGAUCUUAGUCAAGGUCAAAUUCACUCUCCACCAAUAGCGUUGGAUCCCCUGGUAAGCAUCGUCAAUUUCUUUCCUCGGCCCGACUCUGUAUAUUUUUUCUGCAACUAAAUUAACAUGUACACUAAUUGUCUUGCAGGGUUUCCAUCUCUAAUCUAUCUACUCUGACCUGGAUAUUAGACGGUCCAAAACCUAACAGAAAACUUGUCUUGCAAAGUUAAUAAUACUUCAACCCUCGACAACCUUUAAAAGGUUGUGUUUAGAGAGAGGUGUUAAUCAUCCUCGUUAACCACAAACUUUGAGUGCUGGGUGGCUCGUCCUGCGACGGAGACCCCGUCAGUUCUUUUUAACGUGACAGAAGACAGACUCAUUGAUUUACGUGAAAUUAAUUUGGUUAAUUUAAUUAUAUAAUUAUAAAAACAUUAAUAACAUUAAAAAAAUAGUGUUUAUUAAUGUUAUAAAAAUAUAUUCUUUAAAUACUACUAAAAAAAUCUCAACCAUCUUAUUUGAUAUUAAAAAAAAAUAAUAUAUAUAUAUAUAUAUAUAUAAGAAAAAACAAAAUAAUCUCAUAAAAAAAAUAUCUGAAACUUAAUUACGAGCAAAUCAAAUAUUAAAAAACAAAUUUAAAAAAAAUAUAUUUUUAAAACAGGAGGGAAAAACAUAACUUUAGUUAGUAUGUUAAAUUUACGACCCGUUUGUGAGAUUGGUACAACCCUAUACAGAAAAAUACAAGAAAAACAAUGGAGAUCAUCUCAAGCAAAGUAAGGGACCGUUUAGGAACACAGUUCAACCCAUGUUUCUAAAAAAAUGAUUUUUUUCCUUAAAAUUAAUAUUGUUUUUGGAUCGUUCUGAUACAUUGAUAUCAAAAAUAAUUUUUAAAAAAUAAAAAAAUAAUUAUUUGAAUGCAUUUCUGAGUAAACAAAACUUUGAAAAGCAACCGCAACCAUACUCUUAAACACACUCUAAAUGGUGAAAGGCUAAACUAAAAAAAUUAAUUGCAAAAAAAUUGAAAAAAAAUAUCAAUUAGAGUUAACUUUAUUGACCAUCGAUCCAAGAUAUGAGAUUGAAAUUAUCAUGGAAAAAAAAGGGGCAAGAAUCAUGAAGUUAAAGGUCAAAUAAUCUAACGUUCAAGAAUUAUUUUUUUAAAAAAAAAACAUAGAAAAAAAAAAGUAAAAUCUUCGUAACUUAGAUUAUUAAAACAGGUUACCCCAUAAAAAAACCCAUAAAAAUCAAUAAAAAAUUUUCUCAAUCAUUCAAAAUAAAAAAAAAAUACGUUUUUUCUCUGUCAUUCAAGUCAAUGGUAAGAACUACGGUUUUUUCUCACGAUAGAGGAUCCUGUUAGACGUCUUUAAUUUUCUUAAUAACGAGGUUCUUUUAUUGGGUUAAAAUUACAAGUACAUCAACUUUCCACAAUUUCCUUUCAAAAACUGGACAAUUUGGUCAGUGUGGGCCCGAAAUAAUUCCAUCUCCAUUCCCGAGUACUCUUUCUUUUCCAUUAUUUUCAAGAACAAGAGAAAAUACGAUGCUGGAGAAUUCUGAGGGAAAAUUACUUUUCUUGAGGAGAAUUCCAAAUAAAAGUUGUCAAAGCAGAUUUCUAAGAUUGGUUUUAUGAUUAGGGACGCUGAUCAUGUAGUUGAUGGUGGAUAUAAUUUUUUUAAUGAAAAAACCGUAAAGAGAGUUUGAGAUAUUUGAUCAUUGAAUAUUUGUAAAAUUAAUAUUAAAAUAAUUUAAAUUUGAGUUAGAAAAAAUUGAUUUUCUUAGUUAUUGUUGUUUUUAUUUAGUUUAGAAAAAUAUUCUCCUGUUUUUAUUUAGUUUUGAGAAAAUUAAAUAUUUGUGAUUAAUAAUCUUAUUUUUUUAGUUUAAUUAUUUUUUAAAAUAACUCAAUAAUUAUUGACGGAGGAAGAUCAAAAACUAAUAUAAAUAAAGUUGUUGAGUUUAUAUUUCAUGUAUUAUACUUCUAUGUAAAGCCAUACUGGGCUCCUUCUUAUAUGUGUUUCUGUCUGUUUCAAAAUAUCUUGGAAUCCCUCUCCAUUUUCUUAUCCCCUACCUUUCCCUCUUCCAAAAGACACAGCGCUCGUAGCAGAGCUCAACCUAAUCUCAGCAGACGCAAAAGAAAGAAAGUUUUCAUUUUUACUUAGGAUUUGUUUUGGUGACAGACAGACAGAUAGAAAAAGAAAAAAUGAUGCCUCUUCUCUAAAUCCUACUUGAAAGGAAAGAGAGAAUAAAAGCUGUCAGAUACGGAAAUAUCCACCAUUUAUUUCAUUUCCACAGGCCUCUUAAUUCUUAUCAGAUGCCCUCCCCUCGGGUGCUCUCUUUUCCUUCCAUUAAUGCUCUAAACUAUCUUCUCCUCUCUCUCUGAAAUUAACCCUCGUCAUAUACAUAUACACAUACGACCAGCUACUCGUGUGAGUAAACAAUACCACUAGAUGUUACAGCACUAAGAUAUCUAUCACAAAGCUCAAUAUCUCAUGGCGGUUUCUGUUUGUCUUGUUCUCUUUAUUGUUCUCCCAGCGAUAGUCUUUAUCGUUCACAGGAGUUCCCGGUUCCGGAGGCUCCGGCUGCCGCCGGGGAGUUUGGGUCUGCCCUUUGUUGGAGAGACUCUACAGCUGAUAUCUGCAUACAAGACUGAGAACCCUGAACCGUUUAUAGAUGAGCGGGUGAACCGGUUCGGUUCGUUGUUUAAAACCCAUAUUUUUGGUGAACCGACCGUUUUUUCUGUUGACCCGGAAACGAACAGGUUCAUUUUGCAAAAUGAAGGGAAGCUGUUUGAGUGUAGUUACCCCGGUUCGAUAAGCAACCUGCUGGGAAAACAUUCUUUGUUGCUAAUGACGGGUAAUCUUCACAAAAAAAUGCAUUCCUUAACCAUGAGUUUCGCUAACUCUUCAAUCAUCAGAGACCAUCUCUUGGUCGAUAUAGACCGGUUGAUCCGUCUCAAUUUAGAUUCUUGGUCCGACCGGGUUCUUCUCAUGGAGGAGGCCAAGAAGGUAGCUUCUGUUAUUUUAUCUUCCUUCUAAUUAAGAAACUCAGGACGCCUGUUCCUGAUGAUGCCACUGAGUUGACUCGGUUUUGGGUCGUUCCAGUUUACUUGAAUGAUAUUGUUAUUAUGGGUCUGUCUUGUGAUUCACGUUACAGGGAAUUAAACUGGUGGGUGACAAACAUUCCAAGCAUGUUAGCAGCUUAGCAUACAAAAUCAAACCAGACUAGUAGUAAAAGUCACACUCACAUACGCACGAAUUACUUUUAUUCCCUUAAUUAAUCAUGCUUCUUGCUAUUAUUAAUUUAUUUUUGCUGUUAUAUACUUGGUUUUUCUGCAGUUAGAAGGUUCCAUCUAACUAAUUGCACACCAUUAAUUAAUUAGCAAGCACUAUACUAAUUUUAUCUGGGCCACGCCGUCUAAUAUUUUCCUUCUUCUCUUUGAUCCGUUUGUCUCUUUUUAUUGUCUUGGGCAUAUGUUCUUUGCAGACUACAUUUGAGUUGACAAUGAAGCAGCUAAUGAGCUUUGAUCCAUGUGAAUGGACCGAGAGUCUGAGAAGAGAGUACGUGCUUGUUAUUGAAGGCUUUUUCAGCGUGCCUCUACCCAUCCUUUCCCCCACAUACCGCAGAGCUAUCAAAGUAAAUAUUCUCCUGCUUUUUUUUACCCCUCCACACUUUUUUCCAUUUUAAUCACAUUUGUAUAAUCAAUGGAAAAUGUCAAAUUCUUUUUUUUUAAAAAAAUGGCUUAGGACGAAUGUAAAGUAACCAAGAUCAUUGUUCGUUUUUUUCCCCUAAAUUUGUAUUGAUCUUUUUUUCUGCCCUUGGAUUUUUGAAAGGAACGGAUCAAGGUUCGCCUUUUCUUUUUAUUCAUGAAAAAAAAGGUUCUCACUGAUGUUACAUAUUAAUCCUGACGUACUUAUCUGUUGAAACUUUGUAGGCUAGGACUAAGGUGGCAGAGGCUUUGAGUUUGGUAGUGAAGCAAAGGAGGAUAGAGAGUGAGUCAGGAGAGAAAAAGAAAGACAUGCUUGGAGCUCUUUUAGCUUCAGAUGAUCAUGGAGGCUUCUCGGACGAGGAGAUAGUAGAUUUCUUGGUGGCUCUGCUUGUUGCAGGCUAUGAAACUACAUCUACAAGCAUGACUCUUGCUGUUAAGUUCCUCACCGAGACACCUCUGGCUCUGGCUCAGAUCAAGGUAAGUAUUGUUGAAUCACGUCUUCCAUUAUUUUUUCCCCCUUGUCAUUAAUCCUACCUAAGCUUAAACCUAUUUUCCUCUCUUUGGGGGGGUUCUGGGAGGUUGGAAGGCAAAAAAGUGAAGUACCAUUUUUCUAGUGGACCCAGAUUCCUAUAAUCAUCUUGUUGGCCUCCAUAGAAACCUUCUUCUUUUCUUUUUUUCUCCUUACAUCAUGUCAAUUCUCAACCGUUCACAUUGAGUGGUAGGAUAAAGAGAGAACAAAAAAGAUGAAACGGGUUGUUUGUUUCCUUCUCUCGCACGUGAUCUAUGCGAAAACUGUAUGUAAUAGGACCAAAAACCUUUGCCACGCGAGUUCAUACAAAAGGUCUCCUCUUCUAGGGGGUGGUAAAUGUAAUUCAUCGUGCAUGUUGUCUUUUUUAAGAGAUCGGGGAAGUCAGAGAGUAAUUCCAUUGCUUCAAUGCGAUGAAUAAGAGAACAUCGAUCAUUUUUGAAUAAAAUGAUACAGAGUAUUGGCAUUAAAAUAUAAUAUAAUAGUAUUAUAGGAAUUAAUAUAUGAGCAAUAUUAGCAUUGUAACAACCCUUCGAAAUAAUAAUGAUUAUAUGGGUAGUAAAUAAGCAGUGGAAAUGUUGUUCACACAGGAAAAAGAACGAGGAUUUUGAGAUAUAUCAAAACUCUAAUUAUAAAAUUAUCAAUAAAUUCAACGACUACAUCAUCAACAGUAAUUAUAAUGUGCCGCCAUACUUAUCUUGAAAAACAAGUGAGCCACCACCUUCAUCUUUAAAUGACGAGUAUAACACACUGUAGUUGUAGUCAUUAUUGGUAAUUUUUUGUUGUUGGGUUCGUCUGAUAGAAUCAGUAAUGAUAUAAUUGAAAUUUAAGUGCGCCUCCCAGAUGUUUUUUUUUUCUAUUUUUUCUUGUUGUAAUAAUUGAGUCUAUUUUAUAAUUUCCAUGAAAUGCUCCAUUUUUUAAUGGCGAUAAGUUUGAGUGUCUUCUGUCUCCAUUCACUACUGUGUAAUUUCUCUCAUUUUUUCUGAAAAAUGUUAUUUUAUUAAAAAAAAUUACAAAAGUACUAAUUUAAAAUAUAUAUAUCAAAUGUGUACCACCAUUUUUUUCCACAGUAAAGUGACUGUAUUAGGUUUCUAUGAUGUCGACCAUUUUUUUCCACAGUAAAGUGACUGUAUUAGGUUUCUAUGAUGUCGGUCAAAAGUAGAUGCAAAAGUACAUGAACGUCGUAAAGGUCAAAGUAGAACCCAAAAUUCGUCGAAGCGGACAAAAUGAUACCUUCUAAAAACCUGACUGCUACCCUGAAUUCCCUGUUCUUUUGACCAAUUUGUCUUUCCCUAAAUGACCUAUAAGUCUAAAACACCCUUCAUCAAAUGAUUCUCUUCUGGGUGGGUUUUUUUUUCCGGUAGCUAAAUAUGCCCCUGUACCCCGGCGAGUCGUAUUGGGAUCAUCGGAAACACUCGUCUCUGAUUUCGAUGAAGAAGAUCAUCCAACGGCGGUGACCGAUGUAAUGAAGUUUUUUACCCCUAGUCUUGCAAGCGUGUGAAUCUGACCCUUUUUGUAUAUUCCUAGGAUUGCUUUGUUCCUUUGUGGCUGCGGUGUGAUGGUUAAAUCACAGCCGCUGGGAUGCAUUUGAAUCAGUGUGGCGUGGGUCCGUGAGGGAACCGCAUGGUCAUUGUCACCAGUUAUCAAAUUGGGCUUAGAAAAUACUUUUUGAGUAGUUUGGAUAAGACUUGCCCGUAGCUUAAGAUGCCCACAAAAGCCCGCGGGCCACGCUUAAAUAAUUCUUUAUUUCAUUAUUAUUAUUGUAUUUGAACUGGCAGGAGGAGCAUGAACAGAUUAGAGGAAAGAAGGGCGAGGAGGGAGCUCUUGAGUGGAGUGAUUACAAGUCAAUGACCUUCACUCAGUGUGUAAGAUACAUUUACAUGACUAAUUAGACUCAUUAACAGGACUGUAGGAACUUGAUCUUGAUUUAGCCUUGCUUAACUCUAUUUUUUUGCGUUUAUGCUAUAUUUUUUUCAGGUUGUUAAUGAGACUUUGAGAAUAGCAAACAUAAUAGGUGGGAUAUUUAGACGAACAAUGACAGAUAUAAAUGUUAAAGGUGGGAAGAUUGUUCGUGGCAUAUUUAUCUUUAUAGUAUAUUUUACCAGCUAACAAUAUAUUUAUCCUUAAUCUAUACAGGUUAUACAAUUCCUAAAGGAUGGAAGGUUUUUGCAUCCUUUCGUGGUGUACAUUUAGACCAUGAAUACUUCAAAGAUGCUCGAACUUUCAAUCCGUGGAGAUGGCAGGUAAAUCUCUUUGCUGGCUCAUGUAUUUUCUCUUUUUGAUUACUUCAACAAGUGACGAGCGAGUGUUUUCAAAAAAUAAAUAUUCAUGAGCAGGACGACUCGGGGGCAACAUGCCCAGCAAAUGUGUUCACUCCUUUUGGAGGAGGGCAACGGUUAUGCCCAGGAUAUGAACUUGCUAGAGUAGAACUCUCUGUUUUCCUUCACCACCUGGUCACCCGUUUCAGGUAUCUCCUGCAAUCUUUUUCCAUCUUCCCCGUGCAUGUAAGCCUAUAGAUAUAAUCUGUAGUGCUAACUUUUGUCUGUGAACUUGUAUUUUCCAACAGUUGGACCCCAGCUGAACAAGACAAGCUGGUUUUCUUUCCAACUACGCGGACACAAAAGCGAUAUCCCAUCAAUGUGCAGCGUCGAAAUCGUGUCUAAGCCAUGUAAAAGUAUUAGAGCGAAAGAGAAGUGAUGUAGAAGAGCUGGAGUCCUUUUAAUGAUGGAUCCAAUAAAAGCUCAAGUAACAAGAUAGAAGCUUAUUUUGAGUUCCGCUAUAAUGGAUACCAUCAGUAGAGGUCUUGGGCUAGAGACGAUUACUCAACUCCUACAGUACCGCCUCUCCUCCCGUGCAAAUUGACGACUAUACCCUUGAAUAAAAACAUUCUACUCACGCCACCCACCCCAAGCCGUAACCCCCACUAUAUACUGUCAGUCUGUCAGUAAUAAAUAAUUUUCUUCGUUGUAUGCAGCAACCAGCUAGUGUUUAAAUCUACUAUAUUAACUAAGGCGAUCUUUCCCUGGAAAUAUUCAAAGUGGCGUCAGAGUGAGCUUGUUUUUCCAAUUUAAUAAAGAAGCAUCAUGCUCUAGAAUCGGCCGUUUCUUUCUUCUGGACUGACGUUGUGAUGAAUCUAAAAUCUUAAAAAGCUAAAAAGAGUUAAGACGUCUGGUGCGCGAUUUUAAAGCUAGAUGCCAUGUGAUCUACAUUUCAAUGCUACUGUUCACUGGUUAGCAAUGCUUGCAAGUUGCAGCUCAAGAUACCAUCGGACUCGGGCCUUUUUUUAGGGUUUGGUGGUGGUGUGGGUUUUAGAGGGAAAAGAGAGUAGAGACUAGAGAGGGUAUAGCUGUCAAUCAAGAAAAAAUGAGUGAGUGGAGGUGCAAUUAUAGCGUGAGAGUGCGACUAGCACCUCCUCCGGAGGGCAUAUCCCGUAAGUGCUAAGUGGAAGCCGGCAACCAUCGUUCUCUCUUCUCAUGAAAGAUUGGGUUAUCGGCUCUCUGGGCAGGUGGGACCUGAAUCAUCACAUCACAUGCAAACCUCUCCCUCCAUGCUUCAGCCCCAAAAAUGUAACUUACCUGCUGCAAUUACUAAUUUUGCAGCUGGUCUAGCCAAAAGUUGUAAUCAUUAGAUAGUAGAUACAACUUUGCCCACAAAAAUAUAGACUCCACCUUCACCUGGAGCCUAAGAGUAAAAUAAAUAAAAAUAGGAACUGGAUUAUUCAACCAUAUAGACAGUAUUUGAAUUUGCUCGUCAUGGAUUCGGUCACAGUACAAAAUAAACUAAAAGCCUACUAAAUAUUAUGAUCGAGCAAUUUAUGCGUUUUGUAGGUGCAGCAUCUUCUCCUCGAGCCCCUCGAGUCCUGAUUUCUCUUUAUGUUGGACCCAGAUCAUGAACUCAAUCAUUUCUUCACCGGACGGCCGAAAAAAUGCUAUGGGCGUCUAAUUUUAUUCGAGGACAAGAAGCAAACAAUACGAUUGCUUUAGGCUGAAUAUGCGGCGCCCAUCUUGAAAAUCCCAUGAUUUUUAGCAUAACAGAUACGCAAAAUUUAAAUUCAAAGACACAGGUACAAAGUUCCCUCUGCAUUGCCAUCCACACGUCAGUUUGAUCAGUCUCUAAUCAUAACCACCAGAAUACAGAACUUUGAUGGACAUUUACUGAUUGUUGUGUCUUAUAAGCUUAACAACUACGGUAGAAAGAACUGGCCAUGCAGACAUCCUAAAGUGACGUGCAAAUGGUAUAAUUGUCAUGAAACAUCACUAAAAUCAAGAUGUGAUGAUUCUUCUCAAAAACAGAAAACAAGUCAAGUUGAAAUUACUUUUCCGACAUGCAUCAUAGCUCCAAUCGUAUGGAUAUCCUAAACACUUAUCACGAUCAGCCAUGUGAAGAAGUAAACAUUGAUAAUACAAAUGAGGCUCUGACCUGAAUGUGCUUUACUGCAGAAUGCAAAAGUUCUUGACCAAAGCAUUGGCCACUAAGGGUGGGGGUGCUGAAAAAGAUCACCAACUUUAGGUGGGCUUCAUAUUUGAGGCUGAGAAACCCAUCAUCUACUGCUUUCCUGAUUUUUUAACACGGAUUCAACAAGCUUAACUUUCUUUGUAUUCUCACUAUUGAGAAGCGAGAGUUUCGCAAUUGAGGAUUUCAGCUGCAAUAUUUGGGCAUCUAGAGCAUAAUUCCUCCCCCCUAUUUUCAUUUGCUGAUUUGCUACAUCACCUUUCGAAGAUUGGGUGAACCUUCUCAGCCUUGCUCUUAAGGUAUCAAUGGAAGUACGCAAAGCAUCCAAUCCAACUCCUGUAAAAUGGUCUGCAAAAUAAUUAAACAAUACAGAAAAGUUUGUAAGGUGAUGGCCACACUCGUUACAACCACCAAAAGACAAAAGUGAAUUGACUUCAAAAUACUACAAGUACUGUUGUGUGAUAAAGGUAAAAGAAAAGGAUAUGACCACAGAAAGGAAAUCAAAGUUCUGCACAUGAAACGGUAAUGGAUGGGCCAAAAUAAGAAAUGUCUCUCAGAAAUUUGCAUAGUUUUAUUAAAAUAGUUGCUGCGAGCAUAAAAUUGAUUACCAAGCUCAGACUUAAAUUCACGUUCUGCUUUAGACAAAGGCUUCUUAUGAGCCCCAGGCAAGUUCUUCAAGCAAUGCAAGCGCUGUUCCAGAAGAUUGUGUUGGUGCAUUGCAUUAUUAAUCCUGUCCUCCAAUCCUGACUGCUUCCUCCUCACUUUUGAAAGUUUCUCCUGUGCUUCACCUAAUCGAGCAUGCUGAUCAUCAAUGAUUCUCUUCAACCGGGGGCCAUGAUGCUCCAGUUCAAAGUAGACCUACAGUCAUGAAGGAUAGCAUCUCCGUACAACUGAUUAAAAACCCAGUGCUGAUCUGACAGUAGUAUCUUAAUAAAACUUAAAUGUCUAGCCAAUCUACCUCUAAGUAUUUCAAAUAUAAGCAAACUGAAAAGUCUAUCUUAAUAGCCAAAUGCCUAAAAAAUAAUCAUUAUAAUAACAAUUGCACUCCUGAAACUUAAAUGAUAAACCUCCAUAACAUGCCAGCAGAGAGCAUCGCCAGAUCUCCAGUGCCCGUGGUCCUCAUCGACAGCAAUUCAGAACGCAAAAUCAUAAGGAUAUCCUAAAAGUAGUUUUCCUUCUGAAACAAAAUUCUACCGUUCACCUAUGGGUCAACUCCUAAUACUUUUUGGUUGGCAAACAAGCCUUAACUAUGCACUCAUCUUAUUCAACUAUAACUUGCCUAGUGGUUCAGAAUUGAUGGUUAUACGUGAAAAUAAAUUCCAUUUUACAAACUAGAAUGAGCAGGGAGUCUAGUGAGAAGAGGCAGCAACAAAAGUGACCAAAAUGAGUGAAAGGCAGCAGCAGCCAGUAUAUUCCGUGGGGGAUUCUCACCUUAUGUGCAUACUCGACAUAGUUUUCAUGGAAAAGGUUUAGGUACUGGUGAAGAGUUGACCGGCCUUCAAUAGAAUCAGCAGCAACAGAUCGAAGAUUUGGUGAACCCUGAGGAACAAGAACCACCUUAGGACCAAUAAGUAGUUCUUUGCUUAUGAUGUCUGGAGGAUUUCUAUUUGUCCAUUCUUCCACAGUUUCAGAUUUCUUCUCCAUGUCAACAUGUACAGGUAACAAUAAAUUUAAUGUUCUCAUUUCUAGCACAACACAUUCUUGAUUGGAAGUAAUCACUGCAAUCCACGAGUACCCAAAUGAAUCUGACAAUGCUAUAAAGCCACAAAGAGGAGAAGGUGUGGAGUUCUCCACCUGGCAUGUGCUAAGGACAGGAUGCACAGAGGGGGUCCGGACCAUCUCAUCCUUGCCACCAGACUGACUAGUAAAUGGAAGAAAAUGCAGAACAAUUGAGUCUAUCCCUCCAUCAUGAACAGAAUAUAUUCUUUCAGGCAUAACGGGGUCAACAAACAUUGAAAUAUAUGACCCACUUUCUGUUUUCCUUGGUAAGGCCAAAUCCACAAUUGCAAGUCUCAACAAAGGUGGUGGAUGACCUAACCAGACAGUAUUAUCAUGUGGUUGAUCAAGCUUCACAACAGGAAGCUCACCUGAGAUAGACUCACAAAGCAUUGCAAGACCGAUAAUAUGGUCUUGGGAAUUAACACGAAGACGAGGUGGGCUACCAACCAUCCAGACUGGCUGGAUUUCAUCAGCUAGGGCGUCUAUUUGCAUCUGCCCACCACUCCAGGCAGUCACCAGAAUUGAGUCUUUGCUGGCUAAAUCAUAGAGAAAACUGAUUGCACGACCUUCGCAUUCUGCAACACUGACUGCUGGGUCUUCAUCUUCCCCACCAUGAUGUACUUUGCGUAGAGGGCCCUGGAACAUCAAAACAAACUUGUUAGAUUCUCAAAGAUGUUAAGAUAACACUGCAAGAUCUGAGCAACAUCUUCACAGAAAAAUCAUAACAUGUCCAACCAGAACCAAUCAAAAUACUCCUCGAAGUAGCCAUAUACAGAGAUGAAUUCUCACAUGAAAAGAAAAAAAUAGUGUCUGGAUGUUUAACAUUAAUUGAGAAAGCAUUCUGGGGAAACACUAGCAACUCAGAAAACUUCCCGGUCAUUUUUAUAACUUUGCCUGUUAGUUGGCUGUCUGGAAGAAGCAAGUUCAACCCAAAUAAUCUUACCCUUACUCGUCUCAAUAGUUUGCAAGAGUACUUCAGAUGUUCUGAGCAUGAGAUGUGAAAUGUAAGAAAUAGAAUGAAUAUUACCUGCAAACAAAGUGAUGCAUCAAAUACAGCAUAAGGAUGAGCUUUUAGUGUUGAUAACCCCCCCUCCUUUGAUUCAUGGGCUAACUCGGGAAAUGUUGCUUCCAACCAAGAGAUUGCCCGAUUUGAGUUAUUUACAGCAACUGGAUUUGCUGAUUUCAGUCCAAAUGUUUCAGCAUCACUAUAUAUCUCCAACACAGAUUCCCAUUUGUGGACACUGCUCCAAAAUAAAGCACUUAAUUUUAGCAAACAUCAAAUUCAAAAAUCAUCUAGGACAUAAGGGAGAAGUUUGGUAUAUGCACUUUGAUGUAUAAUAGACAAUUUAUUGAUGCCAUGUCCAUAUAAUAGCAAAAGUACAAAUAAGAAAAGAAAGAAAAAAAAAUUCAAAACCAUUGAUCAAGGAAUGCAAGCAUAAGAAAGCAUCAAGAUGGUAACAUAAAUACUUGUGGUCCAACUUUUCGAGUAUCAUGAUUUUGUAAAAUGUCGAGAAUACAGUGCCCAUCUAUCAUGAAAUCCAAAGAAAGCUACAAGCUAGUUAUAAGAUAUCGGACAAAAUAUACCUUCCAAAUGGAACAAUUGGGCAAAGAAUGUAAACUGAACCAUCACUAAAUAAUAGGAAAACCUGCAGGAUGGGAAAAAAAACGAGGAAUGAACAAAAGAUGAAACUACUACAUGGCAUAAAAUACAAGUCUUCAAACCUAGACAUGAAAAACAUGCAGCACCGUGAAAGAUGACGAUACCACACAAAAGUCGCUAUUUACCAGUGCAAUCAAAACAUAUCAAGUUGAAAGCAUCAUAGAAAAGCAUUAAGACUGCAGCCGAUAUUAUAAUUAGGCACAUGCAUUAAACACCAAACCCGAAACUGAACUUACACUAAAUCUGUCCCACAAGUGAUCGCCCCCAAAAGAAAAAUCAACAGGACAGAUUGAUGCAGCAUUCCUGGAUCUACCUGGUUCAACAGGCUGUAGAUAAUAUUCCUGCUCUGGCUUCAGGACAUCUGAAGACAAGUCAAACAAUCUGGCCAAAAAAAUGAAAGAAGUUAAAAACAACACAACAAAGUUCUAGUCAAACAUAACAGCAAGCAUGAUUGGCAAUAAUUUCCAUACUACUACAUCAAUCGAAAAUAGUUUAACCUAACCAUGAAAUUCAGCACGUGUUUACACUUUCACAAAUAAUACUUUAAUCCUAGAAUGAAACAAUCAACGUUAUACAAUUCCAAACAGAAAUUCAUGUACCGGAAAACUGAAUCAGAAGAAAGAAUUCCUAAAUGCGCAUCACUGUAAGGAUGCCACGAAACUCUUCGCGUCCGUAUUACAUUGCUCUCAUUAAAAUAAAUUUGUGAACCAAUGGACACGGUCCUGCGCAGCAACAAAAUUAUAGUCAUUAACAAAACAACCUGAAAUUAAUCUAAUUAAAAAUAAAUAAAUCAGAAAAUCUACCUGCAAACAAUGGCGUUAUCUUUACCAAAAGAGCGUCCAUAGAGAUACAUAACACAUAAACCAUUGGUGCCGGAGAGAACCAUCGCAGAGCCAUUUCUAUUUAUAGAAAUUUUAUUAACCUCAAAAUUAAUCUCCGCAUCAGUUUGCAGUACCUAAUUGUGCAAGGAAAAAGUAAUCAGGGACUUUUGAGAUUUGAUAAGCUAUCGCAGUUAAAAUUAAGCUAACUAUUGAAGUGUAAUUACCUUAGAAAGAGAGGCAGCAAGGACAGAGGAAGGUUCGGGAUCUCCGAGCCGAAUAGAAAUUCGAUGGAGGCAACGGAGGUUUGAAUCCCAAUAGUAAAAUCUAGAAGCGCAGUCCCAAGCUAGUAGAUUAGAUGGUGAUCGAGGUGCGGUGUCUUCGUCGGAAGAAGCGAAGAGUGGGUGGUUUUGGAGUGGAACCCAUUGGAUAUCUUCUUUGGGAGUUAGGGAUUUUCGAGAAGAAGAGUUUGGGUUUGAUUCUGUUAAGUCGAAGUUGAAUCUCAUUUUGGUUUGCUUGUUUUCACGUCCCCUUGCUUUGCUGGUGAGGACUGAGGAGGAUGAUAUUCGGAGCGGGAGGAAUCAACCCUGUCUCUAUCUAGUUUGGGAAGAUAAAACGUCAAACGAUGCCGCUUCAUGCAGGAAGAGACUUUUAUUUUUAUUUUUAUUUUUUUUUAAGUUUAGUUUAAAUUUCCCCGGCGAAGAGUCGGAGACUGUAGCAUUCUAAACAUAAGAGAUGGGCCUAGCUCAGAAAUGUGGUCCGGUACAUAUAGUAAGAAAGAGCCUGGUGUUUUUACAUUUCAAGUUUUUAAAAGAAAUUAAUUUUUUUUAUUUAAAAUUAUUUUUUAUAUAUUUUCAAAUUAUUUUAAUAUAUUAAUGUUAAAAAUAAAUUUUAAAAAAUAAAAAAUAUAUAUUAUUUUAAUAUAUUUCCAAACAAAAAACACUUUAAAACUAUAUUUUCAAACACCAUUUAAAAAAACCAAUGAAAACUCAGCUGAAAUGAGCUCUUUAUUAUAGAUGGCAGCUCUAACCGGAAAAUCAAAAUUAACUGUGAUGUUCAUUCAAGUGUGAACUGAAAUACGAUACAUCAUUUGUAUUUCCAAAUGAUAUCUCAUCUCAGAUAAAUAAAAAAAAAUGGGUCUUAAGAAGGAGGUAUCUCCUUUGCAUGAUGAUUUGUAGCAUAUUGUUUUUUAUGUUUCCAUGUGAUUUGAUUAAACAAUGAUGGCUUUGAGGUGUAUUUUUUUUAUAUUUUCUGAUCAUUUUCAUGUAUUAAUAUUAAAAAUAAAUUUUUAAAAAUUAAAAAAUAUAUUUUUUUAAUACAUUUCCAAAUAAAAAACACUUUAAAAAACAACUACUACAACACCUCCAACAAAUCUCUUCUAGCUAAAUCCCUUCACCUUUCCCUUGUUAUACCAAAAACUGCACAUUUGUUACAUGAAAAUAAUAAGACGUGGUAGGUCUAUUCUCUGGUCACGUAACCUCUAUGGUGAUUCAAAACCAGUAGUAUAUACGUUGAACCCAUGACAUAUACAGUGAUCUAUAGCAUAUCUAAAUGGUUGUUUACUAAUCCUAGCCGCCAUGUUAGUUUUGUUUCUUCAAUGAUCUCCAAGUUGCAGGUUUUCUCGAAUAAACCUGUCCACAAAAGGCCAGAGACUGAGUUAGUUGCUCGAGUUCGACGAAUUGAUCAAGGAAAAGAAGUCAAAGUUUGGUGCUUAUAUUGGUGAUGAUGGAAAUCGGUUAAAAAGCAGACAAAAGGAGAAUUUAAAUAUUACCUGCAACCUGACGCUGAAGAGUUUGGUUAGCCAAAGAGAACAAAAGUAUCUUGCUUUCAAAUGUUAGUGUUCGUCACUUCACUCUUUCUUCCAGCAAAAUCUUAUGAUACCUAGGAAACACCACGUUCUUGCAAGCUGAAACCUGCAGCACAUGCAUGGCACAAACCACAUUUAGAACCAUUUUAAUCCAGCACCAGCUACUACUUUUUUGUCAAAGCAUUUUUAUUCAUUCAACAUAGAAAAAAUUGUGCUAAUUUUUGUGGUCUUUGGCUGUUUGGCUACGCGGGGAACUUGGAUUAGGGCGUGUGGCUUGAGCGUAUCUUGACGCCAAACAUUGGAUGCUGCUGGCUUUUAUUUGCCUAAGCUGUGUUCUUGUCAAUAUUGUCAAGCCUUGCAGUUCAAAUGACUGAAAUUACAACAACUUGAAAUAGUUUGAGACUCAAGUAAUAAUUAAAAAACGGGGCCUUAGAUCUACUUUUUUAUACUAGGGAAAAAAAUAUUGACCUGCCGAGAAGCAGCCUAUGAAGGAACAGAACUUGCCACGUUAUUAUUUUUGAAAGAUUAUACUGAAUAUAAAGGGAUGAAUUUGUAUGGGCUAAGAAGAUUCGUACUGAAUCGGAAAUUGAUAAUUCGUAUGAGAUAAUAAGAUUCGUAUGAGGGGGUGAAUUUCGGUGAUGAAUACAAUUUCUAAAGAGAAAGGGAACGAACACCUAUCAAUGGAGUAAAGUGGUUUCAUAUCCUGAUUUAACAAAUGUGGGCACCAUUGUAGAUUCGAGAAAAAAAAUCAUAUAUAGUCAAAAAAAAAUUCUCCAUCUCCAAGGGCGGCUGCAUGACCAGUUUCUCUUGAUACGAGGUGCAGUGUUUGUUUUUUGACCAGGAAUAUGGAGGGUGGAUCCAACAUCCAAGUGAAGAACAUGGCUCGAGAACACAUUAAAACAUAUAAAAAAGAUAUCAACAUUAUGAUCACAUGCUACCUGAAAAUUCAUUUAGAUUUGCUCGUGCUUUUCCCCAUGUCAUUUUUAACUCACUUACACUAGUCGGCUCUAAUGCACAUGGGGGCCUCGGGAAAGGGUUUUCGAGAGGGAUCCAAUGAAUCUAUUGACCAAAUCAUGGCAGAAUUAGUCAACGAAGAGACGGUUAGCUUAUGCUAGAGAGCUUUUCAAAUUAACGACCACUCGCUAUCUCUCACAGCCGCCGCGUCAGGUGAUUUUCUCAGAAUGAACAAAAUAAGUUCCUUUCCAUAUUGAUAAUAACCUUAAUAGUUAAGCAUGUUAUUUCUCCUCUGUUUAUGUCUAAAAUUAGCCUACGACCUCCCCCCCCACCCCCCGCACCGGUAAGAAGGACCAAUUCAAAUAAUUUUUUUGACCUUUCAGAAGAUGAAAUACUCGACCCUUCUACAGAUGAAUUAGGUGCUGGCAAAUUGACCAAGUUUAUUAAAUCACAGAGAAAGUGCGAUGCGACAACCCACGACUCUGAUCGUUGAUGCGACAACCCACGACUCUGAUCGUCCUACGUUAUGUACAGUUGUAAGCAUAAUUCGUUUUUGUAAUCUUUUAAUACUUCCAUUUAAUUAACAGCUGGAGUAGCCUGGCUAUUACGCUUACAUUUAUAAUUUUGCAAUAUGAGCAUCAUCAACAUCGUCAUGAUCCAGUGAGAGAGACAAAGAAGGGAGGUGAAGACUUACAGCUUCAAUGUCAAUUUUGUACACCAAAAGCUUUCUUCUUUCUCUGCAACUUGUUCUAUACGCCACAGCAAUAUGACCGAUCGCUAAAAGCAGAGAGCAGAUAAACAAGGCGAUUUCCAUGGCUAUAACAUGCUCUCCUCGAUCCAUACUUGAAACUCUGAACACACGUGGUGCCUUAAACGAAACGUAAAUUAGUGAUGACACAGAACACAUCGUUGUAAUUCCCAAGUAUGGUCCUCUUGAAAGCCUUGGUCCAUCACACAAACUAUAAACACCUAUAACAACAGUAAAAAAAAUUACUAAUUUUCCCAUAAAAACAGGAAAGAUUUAUAGAACAAAGAAUAAAAUUGAUUGGUUAAUGAUACUUACAAAUGAUGACAGCUGAUCUUAUAAUGGAUAUGAGAGGUAUGUCAACGAGGGAGUAACGAAAAUCAUAGUUAUUGAAAAGGGAAGAGAGAGUUUCUGAUGAUAAAGAAGAAGGAGAAAGCGAGGCGGAGAGGAGAGAAAAGGGAAGGAGAGUAUCAGCUAUAACAAGAAGAAUAGGAGCAGAGAAAAGGAGGAAAGAUAUCAACAUGGUGAUCAAGAAGAACAGAGUCUUUACUCCUCUCACAACUCUUCUUGAUUUCUCUUCUUUUGCAAAACCCAUCUCUUCUUUUCUGAGUUUUUGUUGCUUCUGCUUCCAACUUGUGAAGGGUCUACCAGGUUAUGUAUGUACACAGAAGAAUUUAAAAGGGUUGUGGAGACUUGAGAAAGCCUUGAGAGGGAAGGGACUUAAAAGGAGAUGAUUGAGUUUACAUGGAUUUAAAAGAAUAUUAGAAGGAAGAAAUUGAAAUGAAAAGAAAAAAAUUGCCAUCGAAGGAAGGUGCUGCUGCGGGCCAAAAGGUUCAAUAUUUUUUACUUGACUUGUCCACUGGGGACAAGGAUGACAAAGCCUUUGGAACUUUGCACGCGGUAGUUAGCAGUCAGGUAAAGAAUUCUGGAGGGCAAAAAAUAAAAAUUAACAGAAAUAACCAUAUUGUAUUAGAAGACAAUUAACGACGGUUUUUAAUGUUUGUUUACUUAUUGCAUACAGUAAAAGUUUAUGUUCUGUUUUUAUCAUGGUUGCCGUAAGUGUGUUUGUAUAUUUGAUAAUUAUUAUUUUUUAAAAUAUUUUUUAUUUGAAAAUAUAUUAAAAUAAAAAUAUUUUACUUUAUAAAAAUUAUUUUUGACAUCAGCAUAUCAAAAUAAACUGAAAAUAUCAAAAAAAUAUUAAUUUGAACCAAAUAAAAAAAUAUUAUUUUUAAAAAAAGUGCUUUUAAAGCGUUAAAACAAACGAGAACCGAAAAAUAUUGAGUGCUCAAUUCAAAAUACUAAGUUAUUAGAUCAAUUUACGAGUUAUUAAAGUAAUUCUGAUUUAUUCUGAUUUAUCAUUAUUGUUAAAAUAAUAUUAUUAUUAUUUUCAAGAUACUAACUUAAUUAAGUUAACUGUUACAAGUAAAGUUAAUCGGGUUCAACUAAAAACUCAACCUGGAUCAUGCUUCAGCUCCAAGUUUUGCAGGUCAGUCCAACUGAACAGGUAAAAUUUAAUAAUUAUGAUUUUUACUCGGUUUUGUUCGUAGUAUAUUGAUUUAGUGAUCCAGUCAAGAGCAAAUAAUAAUGGGUUUGUUACAAGUCAAGAAUGUAAAAAACCAAGAACAAUAUAAUCAUAGAGACUUCUAAAAUAUUCAAUUUUUAUUCAUCAAAUUUAUAUAUAUAUAUAUAUAUAUAUAAAAAAAAAAAAAUUUAAAUAGUGAAGCUAGAAAAACCUAAUAAUAUUAAAUGAAAAAAAUAAAAAUUCUAACUAGAACGGAAAAAAUAAGAAUAAUUAAAGAAAACAUAUAUAAAAAAUUAAUUUAAAUAGUGAAGCUAGAAAAACCUAAUAAUAUUAAAUGAAAAAAUAAAAAUAAAAAAAAUAAAAAUUCUAACUAAAACGGGAAAAAUAAGAAUAAUUAAAGAAGGUAUUUAAUUUUUUGAAAACGCUCCUCGAUCAUCUCCCAAUGAAAAUGCAGAAUUCGUUUUCUAAUUAUCAAAACCUAAUUUUCCUUAAAAAAUUAUUGUAGCUUUAUAUAUGUUGAUAAUGUUUAUUAAAAUGUUAUUUUUGCCACUUUACUCAAAAAAAAACCUUUGCAAGGCUUUUAAGGGCAUUCAAACCUUUUUCACAUGACUUAUUUAUUAUUUUUAAAUUGAUCGAAAAUAAAUAGAUAUUUUUCUAUCUUAAUUGCAUGGUAAAGUGAUCAUGAUACUUUUGAAGCAAAAAUAAAUAUGAUAUUAAAAGAUAUUUUUAUAUUUUCACAAUUAUUUUUUUGUUAUUACAAUUUGGAGGGCAAUUUAGUAUUUGACUAUAUAUAAAAAAUAAUAAACAAUUAAAACGCACAGUUUAACAACAAAAAUUCUUUUAAAAUAAAAAAAAAUUAAGUAUGAAAUCAGGAGAUAUUUUUCACAAUGUUUGUAUAUAUAUAUAUAUAGAAAAUGAGUUCAAAACUUUUUUGUAUUUAACUAAAAAAAAAAAAACAUGCAAGGUGCAUGUAAUGCCUCCUAGCAUUCAAAAAUAUAAUUAUGUCCUGUUUUUAGAAGCUUUGUUUCCUCUUUUUGUUGAUGCAAUGCAUGUCUCUAAUGACGGUCUUAUCUAUUAUCAGUGGGUUUUUUUUAUUCUCUCUCUUAUACCCUAAAAAUUAUAGCUUGACCCUUUUAAUUGUUAGUGUUUAAACUUCAUACCCUAUUAUUUUGAUUUUUUAUUUUUUGUCAUGAUCUUUAUGUAAAAGUUUUAUUUAUUUUUAAACCCUAAUUUAUCAAAUAUUACAUUCUCAAAUUUGGUCAUAAUCCUUUUGAUUUUUAUUUAUUUUUACCUUGGUUUUUUUGUAACAGUUUUAUUAGAUUUUAAUUUUACUCUUCAAUUCAAAUUAAUAAUAUUAUAUUUUAUAAUCUGGUUCUUAUUGUUUUGAUUUCUAAUUUUUUUAUAUAGGACUUUUUGUAAAAGUUAUUAUUCUUUUAAAUUUCACUCAUUUAUUACAAUAUUAUUUUUAUUUUUAUGUCAAUUUCGAGCCCCAUUUUUUUAAUUUUUUUUAUUCAUUUACUAAAUUGGUUUUUUUUUCCGAUUUCACCCUUAAAUUAAAUAUAAAAUUUAUUUUAUAUUUUAAUUUUAAUCCUCAUUCUUUUAAUUUUAUGUUUUAAAUUUUUUUUUUAUAUAUUUUUUUUCAAUUUCAUCAUUCAAUAUAUGAUUGAUUAAGAAUUAGAUUUUAUGGUUUUUUUAGGUUGGGUGCUCCGGGUCAUCAAUUUGAAAAGUAAACACAAUUUUUUUUAAAAAAAAAAAACUUUACAAUUCUCUUUAGUUUUUUUUUAUUAAGUUAUUUCAGUCAUAUGAUUUGAGUAUAGGUUUGAUGGGAUAUUUCGAGUUGUACAAUUCUAAUUAACAUAGUUACAGGUUUUUCAUGAUUAAUUUUUUAUAUAUUUUUUUACUUUAUUUCAAAACCCUGAUAUUAUUUUUUACAUAAAAAAUAAUCCAGUAUCGCGAUGAAGCACGAUAAGAGAGGCUAGUUUAUUUAUUGUACAUGAUCUGAAUAUGAAUAGAUGGGGAAAAUUCUAUCAAUCCCAAAAUGCCAUCUCAAUCGAUUAAGAAACUAUAUAUUACUAGUGCAGGGGUGCGUCUGAGUAAUGGUCAUGAGAGUAACAAUCCAUUAUCUAGAUCUGGUCUUUCCAUGUUAUUCCUUCUUCUUCGUUUUGGCUCCUGACAAAUAAUACCUGUUAUUUUAUGGUGAUAAUCAAUUUGAGGAAAUGAAUCAAAUAACAUAAAAAAAAAAGUGAUUUUUGAGUGGCAAGGCAUACGUGAUCCACUCUGGUUAUUAUUAAUAAUUUCUCGUUAUAUUCUCGGAAUAUUCAUGUUAUUAAUUUUUUUUUGAUAAUAUCAGAUGUGCUGUCCUUAAACAACACCUCCAAGAUUUCAUUUAUUUUUUUUAAUUUUAUUUUCUUUUCCUUUUAUAUCUUUUCUUUAAAAUUUAGGCCAAUCUAUUUUUUUUAAUUAACAUGAGUAUCCAGGUCAGCUUGCGCGUACCUCGACUAAUCCAACAAAUCUCAAAUUUAAUAGCCAUGUAAGUCUCCGGUGACUAUCAUAUUAGUGAUCACAUGACUCGCACUUGAGACCGCAUGAGAGCAAACUCUUUAAUCUCAAGUUUUGGGUACCUAUUACUAGAUGAUUAAUCUAUUUUAAAUUUUUAUUUAAAAUAGCGCACUUCUCAACUGUUACUUUUAAAAAAACCAUAGUUGUCACUUGCAAUUUUUACCGGACCUUACUAUUUUUCACAGUUUUGUUAGCCGGUGCUUAGCUUGUAAAAAAAAAUCGAACCAUGUUAGAAAGGGAAAACACCCUAUUUUUCUUAAGAGAAGUAAAAAACUUUCCUCGUCUUCUUUAUUUAUUUUUGGUAGUAAACAACUUCAUUUUUUUUUAUUCUGCACCAAUAUAUAAAAUGUUCAGCGAAAAGCUCGAAUUGCAGUUAAUUCAUUGAUUAUUAAUUGUCCAGUAGAAAAGUGGCAUUAAAAAUAGGGAAUUACAUAAAAUCCAAUCACGCUGAUGCUUCUUUGCACGGUUUUAUGAUCAUGCUGCAAAGCUUAUGGUUUGGUUACCGACUCACUCGAUCAUCUCUGCUUCGGUUUAUUCGUCCAUGCCACGUGUUUUUCUAAAGGCCAGCUUCGUUUAUGAUUAGCUGGCUUGUCCAUUUUUUUUUCCAAUCCACCGGAGGGGAGAUACGUAAACUGUUAAAUCAAACUUACUCACGUGGCCUGCUUUUGCAUUCUAAUCCGAAGGGUAAUAUUGUACUCUUCUUUCCCGAAAUAGAUUUUUUUCACCUGCAAGUUUGUGAUAUCUUGAGUUGCCAACAAAUACCGUAGCAGCUUUUGAGGUUUAUCUUUAAGAGGAUAUUUCAAUGGUGAAUGUUUAUAAUUUUUUAUUGUGGAGAUCUUAGCUGUUCAAUCCUGUGAUGGAUGGAAGAGAGAUUUCAGAGAUAGAGAGGAUCACUCUCCAUUAUACUAUAAAAAAUAUUUUAUUUUUAUUUUUGAUAUUAAUAUAUUAAAAUAAUUUAAAAACAUUUAAAAAAUAAUCCAAUGUCUUUUUAUGAAAAAAAAACCUUUAAAAAUCACGUUAAAAUAGAUUGACUCUCGUGUGAUGUGAAUGACGUUAAAAGCAUGCAAGGGCAAAACUUGAAUUAGCAAGUUCGCUAAAUUAUUUUUUAAUUUAAUUUUUUAAAAAUUAAUAUUUUUUUAAAAAAACCCCAGUUUAAAACACGAGCCAAACAUCCCGUAACGAUAAAUAUCAUAUAAAAAAUAACUUCAUAAAAAAACAACACAAUCGAAUCGGACUCAUUGUCAUCUCUGAUGUCUGUGCCUUGCAAUGCUUAUCAAUAUCCAAAUCUCAAUUGAAAAGAAAAGAAAAGAAAAGAUCACACUGAACUUUUCCAUGCUAUUUUCUAUCUGUAACCUUAGCUUAUGCAAUUCUUUUAGGAAGGUAGUCCAAGCAGGAAAAGUUUAUAACACUCCACAGUUUCAAAAGCCCAAUAAUAGCCGUCUGUCACGUCAUUGCCCAUUGCUUGCUGCACAAAUCUAAUUAUUUGUUAAUGGUAUACCGGUUGUUUUUUUUAAAUAAAAAGUUACAUGCAAAUUUAUUAAAAUAAUAUUUUUUUUAUUUAUAAAAAAUUAUAUUUAAUAUUAAUAUAUUAAAAUGAUCGAAAAAUAUCAAUUUAAAAUAAAUAAAAAAACUUCAAAGUUUUUUUUAAAAGUUUUUAAAAUAAAAAAACAAACAAGUAUAGCCUAUAAACACCGCACAGGAUAGGUACUCCGUAUCAAACAACAUGCACACAUAGAUCAUGGUACACGCGCUUCAUCGUGUCACUUUUUUGGAGUUAUCCUUUUAUUACAUCAUUGCUUACAGACAAAAGCAAUAGAACAGGAUACUUGUAAAAAAAAACAGACAACAAUGGGACGUAAUAAACAGGAUAGCUCACGAAAUUUCAGAUCAUGGAAUAAAAUCAUCUCUGUCUUGCGUGCUCGUGUAAUUUUUGUUUUUUUUUAAAAAAAAAAGUCGUAAUCGCACACUUAAAAAACUGCAAAAUCACACCUUUCUUUCUAUCUUCCGUUGCCAAGCAUCUUUUAUUGCACUCGAUUUUAUUUUUUUGUCAAAACCUAAAAAGGUUUGAUUCACAUUAUUUUCAACUUCCUUACGAAGAUGUUUUGCUUGUAAGCCAAGUGGUCAAGUAAACAUCGGUCUUUUAAAAAAAAAAAAUUGUGUUUACAUUAGAGUUUCAACAAAUCUUGAAUUACUAUUUUUUUUUAAUUAUUUUGAUGAACUGAUAUUAAAAUAAAUUUAAAAAAUAAAAAAAUAUUAUUUUAAUAUGUUUUUAAAUAAAUAAUAUUUAAAAAAAUAAUAAUUCAGCUAUAUGUAUUCUAGAGCCGCUUAUAGCUGAGUUACUGUCAAAUCUUGCAUACACCUCCUAAUUCUAGAUUUCUAUAGCUGACAUUUUAUAAACAUGGCUCACGAAGCUAACAUGUGUAAGUCGCAAUGUUUCCUGGCCAUUAUCGAUGGGAAGUUCGGGUUGAGAAAAUAUCACAAAACUGCAAGGAACACUUCCAGCUCUUCAAUGGGACAGUUGUUUUAGCAGUUAAAAUUGUAUUUCAUAAUUUAUUUGAAAUAAUUUUUUAUAUAUUUUUAAAUCAUUUUAAUAUAUUAAUAUCAAAAAUAUUUUUAAAAAAAUAAAAAAUUAUUUACAUAUAUUUUCAAUAAAAAAAAUAACAAUAACCACAUUCUAGAAUACUUUCAAAGCAGCUGGCUUUGCCGGCUCAUGACCGCUAAUACUUGUUAAAUUCAUCAAUCGGAAAAUAGUGAUUUUUUGACCUACAUGACGGGACCAAAUUCCCAAGACACCAAUUUUUUUUUCCUCUCUCACGAAAGCAACAAUACAUGUACUUCUUGCAAAUAGCAACCAAGUUAUUUUAAAAGUAUUUGGAAAUAUAGUAAUUAUUUUUUAAAAUAUUUUUUAUUUUAUAACAUAUUAAUUUAAAAUAAAUUUAAAUAAAUUCAAUUUUUUUAAAAAUAUUUUACGACUACAAUGUUAAACACUGUUUAUAUCCGACUCUGGUCCAAAUCUUAGAUUUUUAUGGGAACAUGUUGCAAUGUUUUUUAAAAAUAAUUUUUUUGUUUGAAAAACUAGUAAUCUUAAAAAAAAACACUCGCGCAUCUGGAUAGAAUAGAACAAUCUAAUAAAUGGUGCUGGCAUAACAACACAACAACCAAGUAUAAGAGCGUUGCUUUUCAUUUCAAAACAUAUUAAUCUAAAACAAAAAAAAAAUAAAUAUUUUCAAAAGCAUUUUACAACUACAAUGUUAAAUACUAUUUAUAUCCUACUCUGGUCCAAAUCUUAGAUUUGCAUGUGAACAUAUGUCAAUGUUUUUGAAAAUAAUUUUUUUAUUUAAAAAACUAGUAAACUUAAAAAAAAAAUAUCCCACAUCUUGAUAGAAUAGGACAAUCCAAUAGAUGGUGCUGGUAUAACAACACAACUCUAUUUUUUAAAAAAAUAUAUGAAAGUUUUUUUUUUAAAAAUACUAACCAUGUUAUUAAAAAUUAAAAUUAGCGGUGUACCAGAAAAACAUAAACUUAAAUGUCAUCCUUGCAUUUUCUAAAUAAAACUAUUUCAUCAUACAUUAAUGAUGUACUAGAUAAAGAAAUUUUUUUUAUUUUUUUAAAAUUUUUAAAAUUUAUUUUUUAAUCAAUUUUUUUUAUCUGAAAUUAUUUUUCAAAAUUUUAGUUAUCGAAACAACUGAUUCACUAGUGUUAUUUUUUUCUUGUUUUUUUUAAAAAAAUUCUUAAUCAACCUGCUAGUUUAAAAAUCAUAUUAAAACUCAAAUUAACUAUAACUAAUUUAGGAAUGUUAUUGAGUUUUAAUUUGAAUACAACUAAUUAUUUUUAUUAAUAAUUAUCAUAAUUAUUAAUUAUUAAUUUAUUAUAAUAAGUAAAUUAAGUAAUCUUAUUGAAAUUUAAAUGGAUUAUUUUUUAGAAUAAAACGAAUAAAUCAGUUAUUUUGAUUUGUAGAGGAUAAAUAUUGUUUGAAAUUUAAGAUUAAACUUAAAAAAAAUCUAUUAAAUUGUGCUAUUGAAAACAUUAUAAACCAUGUGAUUAUAACAUUGUAGAACACAACACAACCUAUUAAAUAUAUUAUUCUCCAAUUAUUUUUCUCAGCACGUCCUGUUUUUCCAAAUCUUUUUUCUUAUGAAAAAAUUAAACACACAGGGAAACCAUGCUCGACGUUCACUUGUUACAAUGCGAAUUUGGCUUCAGUGGCAGCUUAGUGAUUUACAAGUUUCUUUCCCUUCUUGAAGAAUAUUUGGAAUAAACUAUUCAUCACAGCAAAAAUAAGAAACCAUGUACUGGAAGGAAAUAUAUCACGCCAACGAUCUCACAUUUGUCACGGGAUAAGAAAUUGUAUGGAAUCUUCCUGGGAGGGAAAAGAAUAUGGAGUUUAGGACAAUGCCCUAGCUUCAAGCCAGUGGCGGAGCCAGAAAUUUUUAAAUAAAAAGAUAAAUUACUAACAAAUAUUUAAUAUUAUAUGCUAUACAUAUAUAUGUUAUAUAUAGAAAUUAAUUUGAAAUACAUGUACCAACCCAAGUCAAGUAAAAUUAAUUUAAGAAUACUUUUAAAAUGAAAAAAACUUAUGUUAUAAUUGUUUUCUUCGACAUUUUAUAUUUUAAAACUGCUUCAUAAUAAUUUUAUUUUUAAUUUUAUUAAAAAUAUAUUUCUCAAUAUAUAUUACAAACUUUCAUUUAUCUAUUUCUAAAUCUUCCAAGGACUAGGAAAGUUGUUGACAACAAUUCUAUGCUGACAUAUGGUACAUAACAUUUAAAAUCAUAGCUUAAAAGAAUUGUCACAAAUUAAUGUUGUUCUUGCUGACUUGUUGUUUUGUACAAGUGAUUAAAUAUAAAUAUUAAAUGUUUUUUUUUAAUUUAUCUAUUAUAUUUCUAAUUUUUUUAGCUGUCUUGUACUUCAUUUUUAAUUAUUAGUAAAUUCAUUAUUAUCAUUUUUCAUAUGAAAUUCAUAACAAAACUUAUCAAUUCAUCAAAACUCAUUUCAAUUCAUAUCCAUUAGCAUAUAAUAUUACCCAUACACGUAUUAAUUCAACAAACCCAUAAAUUAUUAUAAACCCUAACAUUUUUAAUAACUAAUUUUUGGAGAUGUAGACCCAGUAUUUUUGGAGCUUCCAUAUUUGGUUGACCUAUCAGGAAGAGAUGAAGUGAAAUUAAAAAUUGUUUUUGUUAGAAAUUAAUUUUUUGGUAUGUUUUUUGAUCGUUUUAAUACGCUGAUCUUAAAAAUAAUUUUUAAAAAAUAAAAAUAAAAUCAUUUUAAUGCAUUUCGGCACAAAAAACAUUUUGAAAAGCAAUCGCAACCACACUCCUAUACAAGUAAAGUCUCUAAUAGCACAAGUAUAAAAAAUAUAACUGCUCGGCAAGCCAACUAUUUUUUCAAACCCAUCAGCUGCCUCAUUCUAUAUAUAUAUAUAUAUAUAUAUAUAUAUAUAUAUAUAUAUAGACACACACACACACCAUGCAUAGAAUUCUCUAUAUUAAAAAUGGAUAAGAGAAAGGAAUCGGGGGAGGGGGGGGCAAUUGCCCCCUCUUGCCCCUACGUGGCUCCGCCACUGCUUCAAGCUAUCUAGGUUAAAAAAGAUAGAAUUAUUUUCAGAAACCAAAAAAAUAAAAAUAUGAAGAAAAAACUAAAAAUUGUGGUCCCUUCAUCAAACAAUAAAAAAGAGACCGUGACCCCUUCCUACGUCUCUGGGUACCCACGCGGAGAAAUUGGGAUACUUGAAUACGAUGGUUUUGCCACGGCUGACCGCUAACUAGCUCUUCUAGAAAUUGCAAGGAAAAAAAAGAAGAAGCUAAUAAGCUCUUAUAGAAAUUCCUACAUUAACAACAGCCAAAGCACCUUUUUUUUUUUCUCCUGGUUAAACAAAUAUAUUUUUUUGUUAUUUUUUUUUAUAUUGUUUUUCUAUGAGAUUAGUGUGGUUUGCAAGUUCGUCAAGAUAAUUCAGAUUGCUUUAGUUGCUCCAGUUUAUGAGUUUGAUGAAGUUUUUUUUUAAUUGAAUUUAGAUUUUUUAUAGUCUAUUUUUUCUCAUAUAGUUAAAAAAAAAUAGUUUUAUAGAAAAAUUAUGUUAUUAAACUUUAUAAAAUAACAAAAAUUAAAGAACGUGGGGAAACCACUGUUCACUCAACAACCAUUGUAUUAUGGAUUACAACAGUAAUCCACUGUGUUUUGUUUUUUUUUUAAUUUUUGUUGUGAUUUUUUUUAAAUCUAUUUUUGUCGAUUUUAUCUUUUAAAAUUGAGAUUAUUGAGAAUUUAGUUUUGUAAUUUGUCAUUUUUUUGUCUUUAUAUAAGAUUAGCGUGAUUUACGGACUUGCCAAGCUAGUCCUAUAUUUACGAGUUUUAUGUGUUGUCUUUUUUAUUUUUAAUUGAACUUAAUUUUUUUUACAGUGUUUUUUUUAUAGUUAAAAAAAUAAAUUUGACAAAAAUUAUAUUAUUAAAUUUUAUAAAACUAUUAAAAAUUAAAAGAUAUAAAAAAGCACUUCACUCGCAUAUAUUACACUAUAAAUAACAAUAGUAAUACGCACUCCCCUUCAUCAAACAACAGGAGAAAAAAGAAGACCGUGACCCCUUCGUACAUCUUAGGGUACCCACGCGAAUUGCACGCGGAGAAAUUGGGAUACUUGAAUACGAUGGUCUUGCCACAGCAGGCCGCUAACUAGCUCUUCUAGAAAUUGCAAGGAAAAAAAACGAGAAGCUAAUUAGCUCUUCUAGAAAUUCCUACAUCAUCCGCUGUUCAGCGAGUCUUAUAUUACCAUUAAAUAAAAUACACUGGCGAUGGCAUACCAUGAAGAGAACCAUACUUUUAUGGUAUGCCCUAAAUAGGAUACUAUGUGGUUUUACCAACACAAAGCUUGUGUAGAUGCGAGGAACUGAUUAUUUUCUAUAGAACAUUGGAUAUCUACGAGGAGCGCAGCACUAGAAUUAUCAAGUCAUUAACAUGCUCCCUCUCAUGAAAACUAAAGGGAAUUGCAUUUCUGAAAGGAAUAAAGCCAAAUCCGAACAAAUACACCGAAUGAAUUCAUCUGCCAGACUGCGAGCCUCGAUCACACGGAUCCUGUAAUCGGGUAUUUUUUUUUCUUUUCUGGAAAGAUAGAAGAAAUGGAGGCCAUGUUUGUUUCCCGGAAAGUAGUUUCCGGAAAACCACUUUCUAAAUUUUCCUGUAUUUGUUUGCCAUUAGAAAAGUUGAUCAACGGAAAACACUUUCCAGUAAAAGAAAAAUUUGGUAUGGUUUCCAUAAAAGUAUUUUCCCUUUUGGUUGUGUUUAUUUUCCGGAAACCACUUUCCAAACUUUCCUGUGUUUGUUUGCCAUUAGAAAAGUUGGUCAACGGAAAACACUUUCCAGUCAAUGGAAAAUUUGGCUUGGUUUUCAGGAAAGUGUUUUCCUGGAAAAUUUGGGCGGAUAACACUUUUCGGAAGUUGUGAAAAAUUUAAAAAUGUCAUUAUUUGCUGACUAUAUCAAAUUUGAUCCUCAAACUUUUUAUUGCUAUAUAUAAUUUGUUUUGAAUAUUUAUUUUUCAAAUUCAUCUCUUAAAAUUUAAUUUUUAUAUUAACUUUGGUCCUUAUUUUUAUAAUUGCUAUUUGCUUUUUACUUAUCAUUUUUUUAUUGAAAUUUUUUAUCUAUCAAAUUUGGUCCUCAUUCUUUUGAUUGUUACUUAUUUUAUUUGAAAUAAUUUAUGAAAUGUUAAUUAUUAUUAUUUUAAUUUUUUCAUCUUUUUUUUUUAAUUUUUUAGAUUUGAUCUCUAUUAUUUUGAUUAUUAUUUAUUUUAUUUGAGAUAAUUUAUGAAAUUAUAUUUUUUUUCAAUUUUAUUCUCAUUCAAAUUUUUAAUUUGUAAGAUUUGUUUCUCAUUAUUUUAAUAAACUUGAAAAAAAUAAAAUAUUAAUAAGUUAUUUUUCAGUUCAUUUUCCAUGACAUAACCAAACACUGAAAAAUGUUUUCCAACUUAUUUUCCAUUACACUACCAAACAUCGAAAAAUACUUUUCCAGAAUUCACUUUCUUCAGAAUUCAGUUUAUAAAAAAAUUUACUUUCCAGCAAACAAACAUGGCCGAAAUCUAGUCCUUACCCAAAAUUUUUUGUCUUAAAAUCUGUCUUGGAACUGGCUCAAAAAUAUCUUCAAACCCGUACAACAUGGGUUUCAUAACCCAUCGCGUAAGAGCCCACUCUACUAACAAGGCCUAUGUUUCAAUAAUAAUUUUAAGACGAGCCUAGCUUCAAAAAAGACUACUAGUAUACAAGGAACUUGUCACGUCUAGAGAGGCAAGUCGAGGUGAAGCGUUGAACGCACACAAUAAGAAGCUGCUGUUUGGUUGCUGAGAAAGACAGGGAAAGGAGUAAGAAAGAAACACUCCUUUUGUUUUAUCACGUCUGUCUUCCGCUGUUUUUGAACACCUCUCCGCUUCACUUUUUUCUUUUUAAAUAUCUUUAUAUAUAUAUAUAUAUAUAAAGAAUCGUGAUUGCUAUUUAUCUUUUCAAAAUCCACUAUGAUUCUUUUUUGUGACUCAUAUGGAAUUCUGUUAACUAAUUAAUGUUAUAUUGCAGGACUGGGGUAUGCUUUCCUUCAUUACAUCUCUCAAAAGCAUGCUACGGUCUGCAAAUGCAGUUGCUGUUAUUACAUUUCCACCUUCCCUUCUUUCACCAUCCUUCUGUAAAAGAUGGCAGCACAUGGCAGAUGUGUUACUGUCUGUCAGGGCUAUCCCAGGUUUAUUGUUUCUUACAAGUGCUUUUGUGCUGUUUAUUUUAGUUUUUAAACUUCUGAACAGGUGCUCUUUCCCAAACGAGGACAAGGAAUUGGGAAAACUACUAACUGGUUACCAAGACAUGGUUGGCUUCCUUAAUGUGCACAAAAUAGCAUGUGUCAAUACUCAGGUACAAUAUCAUUAUGCUUUGCUGUUAUCAUAGGCCAUGGAUAUUCUCUAGCUUUGUGAUGGGCUUUGAUUAUGCAAGUAGACAUGCACAGAGGAUUACAUGCACAGAUACACAUCAAGAGGGGCCACCUAUGGACAUAACCCUACGACCUGUUUGGUUAAGGCAUGUUUGACUCAAUUGUUGGCCUUGAAAUAGUUUAAUUCCUUUUAAAUCAACAGCACCAGCACCAGCACCAGCACCACCACCACCAUAUAUACUCUUAUUCAUCUAAAUACGCAAGUUCAAUUGUUUCUUCUCUUGAAAGUUCCAUAUAGAAUAGCAACUCAAUUUGCAAAUGUUUGUUUGAUCAAGAACUUGGGUCAUUCCAAAGACCCUGUACCAUUUUGUUUAUCAUCAUAGCGUCAGGGUUGCAUGGUUCUGUUGUUUUUUCUUUUCCACAGGUUCCCGUGAUUCUUGAGGCAACAGCAUUCUCAAUAAAAUUGCAAAUGCGAAGGUUUUUAGUUUUAGAGUGCUUAAAUCAAGCCCCUGUUGAUGGUUCAAGUGGGACUUCAUAGGCACAUCUGGUGGUUGUUCUGUGUCCUCCAAAAGUGGCGCCCCUUGAUUUUUAGCAUCAUUGCAUAUAGAUCACCAGGCAAGUGCUUGUCAAACCAACACUGAGAGUUCACCAGGAACGGAACAGAAACAUUGUUGGUCCUUGCAGGCAGAACACUCGAGGGUUUUUAUCAUUAACUGGCCUAGCAGCGCAAUCGUUGAAUAUGCUGUCGUGGACAAUAAUCCAGCCUUGGAUGCAAGAAAGAGGGCCAGUCUCUGCUGAUACAUCCCUUCGGAUUUUCAGUGAUCUGUUUUGCUGAUUGAUUUAUCCAAAAUGUUGGCAAAGACAGAACAACAUAAAAUCAAUCUGGUAGUUUUCUGAAUGCCAGUUUUGCGUCCUUUAAUUUUAUUUCUGAACAGAUGCCUUGUUUUUAUUACCAUGGAACUUCGAUGAAAAACUAUUAAAAAAAUAGUGAAUAUAUAUAUUCUAAUUAUACGGUUUUCUAGAACAUGCAUUAGUGAUUUUGUUUAUUGGGCUAAGAAGUGCCCCGUCUCUCUGAUUAGUUUUCAAUAAAAAAUUUUGAGGUUGGCUUUCUUCAAUUAUAUUUUAGCUUUUAAAUCGAUUUAUCUAGUUAUUUGUAGAAUUCUAUCUAGGAUUUCGCACUUUUUUUGCGCGAGUGCGAGAAAAAUAUUUUAUAAUUAAAAAAAAUUAAGAUUAGAUCAAUUAAAAAAGAAAAUAAAAGAAGCACUCGAUGAGCAUUAACAUAAAAUGUUUUAUUAAAAAAGAUAAUCAAUGGCUUUAUUCCAAGGUCUUGCGACCUAUUCAUGUCCAAUUUUGUUAAUUUUAAUGGGGAAAUAAAAUUGAAGGAUGAUAUUUUCCGAAAUUGCUAGUCCACGUUUAACGUCCUGUUUUGACCAAAAGGGUGGAUUUGUUUCAAGCUCUUAACUUCCACAGGUCUUUUAUUUUUUUGGUACAUGGACCAUCGAGAGUUGUUUGCGCUUGGUUGCCGGGACCGUGUGUUCUAUUUGUAUACAUCCCGUUUUCUCCCAAACUUAUAAAAACAUAAGGGAGUAUGGCAACGCGAUCCUUGUGGCGCACCCGAGGGAAACUCGCGGUGGCAGCCACUGCGCUUCUAACUGGGGGUGCUACAGCCACCGUGGCCACUUCCGAGGAUCCAGCGACUGCUCUAAAGCUCUGCACCGCCGUCCCUGUUCGCCUGUAUCGCAACACUGUCACUGCCGCCUCUAUUGCCUUCGGUACAUAUCUUCAGAGCUUCUAAAUUCUCUCUUUUUUUUCAUCACCAAUUCACAGAGAUACGAUUCCAUCGUUAAAUUCAAUUUUGGCUUAGAUUUUGCACUUAGCGCUAGAAUUAUUAUAUUUAUGAUAGGUGAUAACUUAUAAUUGUAAAUAUUCUAUGCGGUGUAUACAAUAGCAUUUUCUUAGAUAACCUUGGAUUUUUUUUAAUUUGUGAUCGAUGAGUAUCGAGAAUUGUUGAGAUGAAUUUAUAACGACGAUGGUGUCUGUUUUCUGCUUUGUCGAUAGAUUAUGAAUACUCGCUGUGGGGGUUGUCGGAAGGAAGUGUUGAGAAGGCGAAAGUUAAACAUGAAGUUCACUUAAGGUCUGCACGGAAACUUCAAGAACUUUGUUUUAAAAAUGGAGGAAUUUAUAUUAAGCUUGGGCAACACCUUGGUCAGCUGGUAUGCUUUCAAUCUGCUUCCUUUAGCAUAUGCAUGAAAUUAUACAGAAUAUCUGCUCUGUCAAGUUAAUGUGCUAGAUGGGUUAUUUGUUCGUUGAGUAAUUAAUCAGUUGCGAGUAUUAUUAGUUGAUAAUUUGUUGUGCAAACAGGAAUAUCUAGUUCCCGAGGAGUAUGUUCAGACAAUGAGGGAGUCAAUGCUGAACAAAUGUCCAGUUUCUUCGUAUGAUCAAGUGUGUGAGGUUUUCAAGAAAGAGCUUGGAGAGACACCGGAUAAAGUAUGUAUCAUAACGUUGAUUUAUUUUAGGAUGGAGACUUGGAACAGUAUGUCCUGAAUAAAGGCCUCUUAUAUGCAGAUUUUUGAAGAAUUUGAUCCUGUUCCAAUAGCAAGUGCUUCCCUUGCACAAGUUCAUGUAGCUCGAACACUUGAUGGCCAAAAAGUGGCUGUGAAGGUCUCCAUUGUUGCCCCUUUAAUUGAAAAUAAGUUUUGUAUUUUUUUGGUGGAAUUAAGUUUUCACGUUAACGUUUAGGAAAUGAUUUCUAGGGUUCGCCUUUAACCUCCAUUUUGUUUUAUGGAUAUUCAGGUUCAACACACUCACAUGACAGAUACUGCCACUGCAGAUCGUGCCACUGUGGAAGUGCUUGUGAAUACCCUACAUGGUGUUUUUCCUUCUUUUGAUUACAGGUAGCAUCAUGGAUGGUUCCAUCCUAUAGGAUGUUUACCUGUUCUUGUAUUUCAUGAUAAGUUGUUCACUUUUUGGAUAUCCGGCAUACUAAUCAUGCACGAUAUGCAACCACGUGCACUUGGAUUUUGGUUUUAUGUGAGAUGCACAUUUUUUUUCUUUUUUAAAUGUGCAAAUAUUCCUUUCUCCUAUCUGUUUAUAAGUGGUUUUUCAUGGUCUUGAAGAGCUAUUUUUAAUUGAGAUUUCCUUGAAUUACUUGUGCAGAUGGUUGAUUGAUGAAAUUCGUGAAAGUUUACCCAAGGCAAGUUUCUGAAAAUUUUUGUAUUCUCAAGUAUUUUUUACAUGCACAAAGUCAUUCUGAAAUUUGCAAAAGCAACGUAAAGUACUUGUCUAAUCAUUCUUUAAAAUAAACCUGGUUGGCCUGAUCAUAGUGAUUGCAACUUGCUGGUUUUUAUUUGCUCAGUUGGCUUCUUAUGUUCUUGCAGUCACAAGAGGAAAGAUAAAACUUUCUGCUUCAAAUUAAGUCAAAGGAUUUGUAAAUGUCCCUCUUUUCUGUUAAGCUACUGCCAUUGUUGCUAUUCAAGUCUGACGAAUGUAUCGGUUGCACACUUUAGCACAAAGUUCUAUUUUGCUCUAACAAUAAUAAGUUACUGUCCUUUUCCUUUACUGGAAGUGAACUGCCCAGUCUGUUGUAGUUAUCCAAUCAUAGUAUAUGCAAAUCAGUAGUUAUAAGUACCAAAGAUCAUGCAACUUUAGGACUAAUAAUUUAAUGUUCAACUAAAAGUAAGUUUUGAUUAAAGAUUCUAUGUAGAUCAACCCUAAUUAUUAUGACAUGUUGAUGCCAGCAGGUUAACCCUUUAAUUAAACCUUGUUGAACCUUUAACCCUGACAUUUGUUUUUUAUUUUUUUUUGUUCAAAGACAGGGUUGGUUUUCAAAACACUGUUACCAAACAUUAAUUGAUGCCUAAUAAAUAUUUUUUCUUGUAGCCUUAAUGCAUGUCUUUAACAUUAAUUGAUGCCUAAUGCAUAGUUUUUCUUGUAGCUUUAAUACAUGUCUUUAACAUUAUUUGAUGCCUAAUACAUAGUUUUUGUUGUAGCCUUGAAACAUGUCUGUGAUUUGAUAUAGAUGCACUCUUAUUAAAAUUGACCGUGAUUUUUCUUUUCUUUAUUUUUUUUUUUCACAUGGCCUUCAGGAAUUGGAUUUUUUGGUUGAGGCCAAGAAUAGCGAGAAAUGUUUGGAGAAUUUCCGGAAGCUAUCUCCCCAUAUUGCAGAAUAUGUUUAUGCUCCAAAGGUGCAUUGGAAUUUAAGUACUUCAAAGUUAUUAACCAUGGAAUUUAUGGAUGGUGCACAUGUGAACGAUGUGAAGACCAUACAGAAACUUGGGAUUCAGCCCAAUGAAGUUGCAACAUUAGUAAGCUCAUGCAGGCUUGUUUUAUUGGUUUAGAAGUCAACAUGAUUGAGAAAUUUCCAUCUCCAACAUUCUUAAAAUUAAGCUAUGGCUUGAAAGUAGGUCUCGGGAAGAGUGGCCUGGCCCUGGUUUUAACAUUCAUUGUUUUGCAUGAACUGGCCACCCUUGAAACUUGAAAUCUCUUUUUCUUGCUUGGCAGCCAAUUGUUUUACCAUUUUCGUCUACUAAGCUUUUUAAAAAAAAGAUAUGGUUCAUCCAUUUUGGCUGAAGGAGAUGUGUUGUAAUAAACUGACUUCAUCUCGUGAGCUUGUUUGAAGGCAGUCUAUUAUCAUUGAACCAUUGGGUUCAAUUUCCAAUGACUAACACAUGUUUACUGAGAAGGAAAACAGUUGAUAUUUGAGUUGCGAAGUUUGAAGAUUUAGUUUCCUUGGGGUGACAUUAAGACGGUAUACACUUUUCUUUUGCAGGUUAGUCGAGUUUUUGCAGAGAUGAUGUUCAGACAUGGAUUUGUGCAUUGUGACCCACAUGCUGCUAACUUGAUUGUUCGCCCUUUGCCAUCUGGUAAAAGGACCAUUCUAGGUCAGGCUUCUUUUUGCUGAGAUUGUCUUUGACCAUUUCUGUAAAAUUUCAUUGGCUGGUCAGCUGCUUAAGUAGUUUCAUCAGCAAUCAGCAAUCAGGAAGCAGUUAGUGUUAGUUUAUUUUCCAUUUUGUUAUUAUCAUUUGUUUUUCUUUAAUGCUCAUGAUUAUGCAUAUGCUCUCUGUGUUUCCAGGUCCAAUUUCACUAGUCCUAGUAGGCAUAGCACCUAUUUUAUUUUUACACAAGUAGAGCACUGUAACUGAUGAACCAUUAUAAUACUGCUGGAAAUCAACCUCAUUGGCCAAUUUGCUAUUCAUUUAUAAUUGCUUACCUUUGAAAUUUGUGCUAGUGAUCCUGGAUUUAAUGUCUUCAUUCACCUGGUUCAGUCAAUUGUAACAACACUAUAGAAGUUUUACAGGGUGAUACUCAAAAACUUUUCUGCACACAAUCACUUUGAAAAUUCUGGUUUUAUGUAUAUACUUGGAAAGGUCAUCCUAAUAUCCUCAAGAUGUUUGUGGGCAUUAUUUGACUCACAGAGAACCUAAAUCAGGGGAUUUUAGUGCACAGUACUUGUAAAACUCUAGGAAAUGCCAGCAGGUACCAUAUUUCUGGCAAUCUGUAAAUAUGUUAAUGGUUUAAUUUCCCUCAAUCAAUACUUCCUAGGUAGUGUUAAGGAAUAGAAAGCUUGUAAAAAUUCUGGCUACUUUUGGUAAGAAAUGCUCUCGUGCAUAAGCUGAAGAGAGAUCCAUUUAACUAUCUCUGUCCCUCCAUCCUCUUGGAAGGGGUGGGGGAGAAGGAUCUUUGUCCUGGUGUUGGUUGGAUUGUUAUCUUUUGUAUUAAAGAAUGCCUUUGAUAUCUUGUGCAUUACCUGCUCAUGGUUCUUGAAAACUACUACUCUUCAAAGCUUUUCAUAUCCAUGGACUAGUAAUGGACGUCGAAGAACCUUCUCCAUGCAAUACUCUCUUUUAUAUAGCAGUUUGUAUGUAUAACUAGUUGGUUCUCAGAAACACUAAUGUCUCAAGUUUCCCAUAUGUACAGGCAAGAGAAAACCACAGUUGGUACUCUUGGACCAUGGUCUAUACAAAGAACUUGAUUUCACAACUAGGUUUAACUACGCUUCCCUUUGGAAGGUGCAUUUUUACUUCCAUCUUCCAUCAUUAUUCACUUGCAUCUUUCCACUGUUGAUGGCUUAAUGCUGGUAUUCUGAUGUUAUGAAAUCUGUCACAGGCAUUGAUUUUUUCUGAUGCUAAUGCAAUAAAGGAAAACAGUGUUAAAUUGGGUGCUGGAGAGGAUCUAUAUGCACUGUUUGCUGCCAUUCUUACCAUGAAGCCCUGGAAUAGGAUCAUUGACCCAUCCGUUGAUCAUUUGGUUAUAAAAGGCGAUGACAGCGAGCGUUCAGAACGGCAGGUCUGUCAGUCUUCUUACAAAUACAGAUAUGCUUUGGGACGUAUCAUUGUGCUUCUCAUUGACAAAUUAUUGUUACAUUGUCCACAUGGAUGCUUUCCAUGUAUUUAUUACUUGCUUUACAAUUUGUAGUUUUGUACCCUUUGCAGAUGUACGCAUCUCAGUUUUUUCCUCAAAUCUCAGAGCUUCUAAGGAGGCUGCCACGAGUAAUUCUGUUGAUGCUGAAGACAAACGACUGUUUACGAUCUGUAAAUAGUUGUCUGGUAUUGUGCAUUAUCCUCCCUCAUUAUUGUUGCCAUUUAUUAUUGCGGUCUUCUGGUUGAAGUUAAUUACAAUUUAUUGUUAAGUAAAUCUUGGAAUUGUUUGUAAUCAAAAUGAAUUAUGGUCAGUUGCAAGGAUCUUCUGUCGAGACAUUUUUCAUCAUCGGAAAAGUUUCCUCCGAGGCAGUUGUUGAGGCAAAGAAGUUGCAGCGAAAAUCCUUACUAAGCAGGUUAGAUGUAUUGCUGGAGGAAAUCUUGUUGGAAGUUAGACUUCUUGGAAUGCAGAUAGCCCUGUGGCUUCUACAUCUAAGGAGAGCAUUGACGGGAUGAAUACAAACAUCGGACAUAGAGCCUGUUUCUUUUCUUUUUUCAAAUUUUUACCACACAGUGACUUCAUAUUCUUUCUCUCCGCUGUCCAGAAGGUGCUUUGGGCACGGAUUGAUACCGUGAUUUUUUUUCUUAAACAGUUAAAAGGAAAAGAUGUAUCAUUCAUUCGAUCCAAUAAGAAACUCGGGAUGAUAAUUUGUGUUGUAAAACCCCUCAAUGGGGAAGGAGAAAUUAUAAGACACGGACGAAUGGAAUUUAAUUUCCUUGUGAUUUUUGGAAAUGAAUAUCGUGUCCAUUUGAAUUGCUGUCUUGAACACAUGUAAGUUGUCGAUGUAUUUUUUUACGUUUCUUCGUCACGGGGAAUCUCGUGUCCGUUGUGAGGGACACAAUAAUAGUGAAACUAGUCUUUUUACCGAGCCAGAUUUUUUUAAAACAUUAAAAAAAAUUAUAAAAAUACUAGGAAGUAAAAAAUUUGUUGCAUCUUGGUCAAAAUACUUUUAUUUUUUUUUAAUUGGUGGCAUGUUAGAUGAAAUAUUUUUAUAAAAAAAAAUUGAGAUGUAUAAUGAUAAAAUUAUGAAACUCACACUAAAACAAAUAAAAUAUUAGAAGGUAAGAGCAAAUAAAAUUAUAGAAUUAAACGAAGGUUGAAGCAAAUUUUUAUGGAAAUAACUAAUAAUUAUGAAAUUAAAAAAAUUAAUUUAUAAAUUAUUGCAAAUAAAAAUAAAAAUAAAAAUAAUCAAAUUUGAAUGAAAAGUAAAUUGAAGAGUUGUUUUUAAAAAAAUUGGAGGGUAAACAUGAAUAUAGAUAGAAUAUUGAUUAAAACAAUUAUAAAAUAUUAAAAAUAAAUCAAUCUAAUAUUUUUUAAAAUGAAAUAAACCCAACAUAGUUAAAACACUAUAACAAACAGCACUAAAUCUUAAAGUUUUUCAAAUGCAAUAGUCAAUUGAGUCAACCACGCUCCUCAAAGCAUAUGAUGAUGGUGUGAGCUGUUGGGUGACUGUGUGGUGUCCUGUACCAUUUGACUGUCAUUUUCAUCCAGAAACUAUGGAAACCUCAUAUUGUAGUGGUUGGGUUUGUGGGAGCUGUAGCAAGUAGCAACCACUACUGUCAAUCGAAGAAAGUGAAGGGCAACAAACAUUACAUACUAUCAAUCAUGGCACAUUGCAGGCGGUCUUUGUCAGGGUCCAAUCUUGUCUCGUGACUGGGCGUGGGGCUCGGCGUGGCAGUGCGUGCACCUGGUUGGACCAUGAUCAUGAUAGUUGACUGUGUUUAUGGAACUCUCUUCCAUGCCAAACCCACCAAUUUGGUGGCUCAAUCAGUUUCACGAAUUUGGCCGUCAAAUUUGGGUUUAUUACGUUAACCUUCAGGGAGGGAGUAUAAUUACACAAUUCCUGUUGACAAGGAAGACGCCUCAUCUUUCUUCAAAGAGAGCGAUCCUUUUGAGAGUUUAGGAUCAUCUGGUGGCUAUGGAUGGUCCAGGUCGCAGCAGAAAGGUUGCAUUAAUGGGGAAGCCAUCAAUGGCUGGCGUGGUUCGGUGGUUGGGUAAUGGCAUGGCGUUUGCAUUUACUUCUUCAAACGCGCAUGAACAUUACUCGCCUAUUUUCGCGCGAGUAGGUGGAACCUAUAAACUCGCCUUUUGCCGUAUCAUUUCAAGUUCUAAACUUGAAAGCCUGGAAUAAUAAAAACACAACCCUUCUUUUAUUUAUUAGGAGAUAUUUGUCAUGUUUUAAUGAUUUUAAUUAUCUACGUUAUAUCUAAAAUUCAACGCUUUAGAUGAUAUCUGGCAUUGCCAUACAAUGAUAUUUUUAAUUUUUUUUUUAGUUUUUAUUAUUUUAAUGUGAUGAUAUAAAAAAUAAUUUUUAUAAUAUAAAAAAAAUAAUUAUUUUAAUAUAUUUUCAAUCAAACAUAACUUAAUUUUUUUUUUUUAAAUGAUGUUAUUUUUUCAUAUUUGAGUUGGGUUAUUUUGUAUAUUCCCAUUGAGUAGGACUCCCAAAGUUGUGGAGGGAAGAAAUGAAAGAAGAGAGGAAGACACUUAUAGUCUGUUACAAACCAAGUAGUGGACGUCUAUCUAUCCAUCUUUAAUGAGGGUCAUGGGAUAGCUUAAUAAAAUCCGCCAGUCCUCGAUUUUUACUCCUUUCUCUAUCAACCUCCUCCGCUCAUAAAAGGAGCGUAGAGCCACUGCCAUUUUCAACCUUCACAGCCAGACACGAAGAACAAAGAAUUUUGUGUUUAAAGAAAAACAGAACGACCUACGGAUUUGUCAAAAUGGUGGGACCUAGUAGACCGCAAUUUGUUCUCUUUGGAUCCUCCAUUGUCCAACUCUGCUUCAGUCAUGGCGGUUGGGGCUCCAUUCUCUCCGAUAUCUACUCUCGCAAAGUAUUCCUCUUUCUCCAUUUGUUUAUUUUAUAUUUCACGUGCUCUUUGAAUGUUGCUUGAUUUAUUUCUUUUCGAAUACAUAUAAAUUGAAAUGAAGAUUUUCCCUAAUGAUAUUUAUUUCACUGUUUUGGCCAAUUAACCCCAGCACUGAUUAGUUGCCAUUUUCAUCGUCUGAUUAGGCUAAUCUUUUUCUGUUUGCAGGCAGACAUAUUGUUGCGAGGCUACUACGGAUGGAACUCGCGGCGUGCUGUCCAGGUUCUCGAUCAAGUUUUUCCCAAGGUAUUUUCGUUGAUAUAAUAAUUUCUUUUAGGAGCAGAUUAGACGUAAAAAUUGAUCUAUUUGAGGAAUCUCAUCUCUAAGUUGGUGAAAUUGAUCGUGCUAUUAGCUUGUUAUAUGGGUUUUAUGUAUUGUAGGAUGCUCCUGUGCAACCAGCUCUGGUGAUAGUUUAUUUUGGUGGUAAUGAUUCAAUGGGGCCUCACUCAUCUGGCCUAGGCCCUCAUGUACCCCUUGAUGAAUACAUGGAGAACAUGAGAAAGAUUGCAGUUCACCUCAAGGUUUUCUCCUGGUUCUCACUAUAUAUAUAGAUCAUGGUUCACAUGUAUAAUAUGAAUGAUCAAAGCAAUUCUUCUCCUUAUUUGAUGAAUAUUGCGGUAAACUUUCUUUUUAAGGGGAAUGAAAUCUGGGAGGUUUUUAUGCUGCUCUCGAAUACCUUUAAAUGAUUAAAUGCUUGUUAUUCAUUUCCUGAUUGCUGGACUAUGUCCAGUUAUUCUUUUGUUGUGUAUAUUUUGUAAUUUGGCCCUGCAAGAACUCAUCAGAGAAUGAUGUUUGAUGCUUCAUCUAACACUAGAUAUUUGAAAAUCAGAGCCUCUCAGAUACAACCCGCAUCAUUUUUAUGAGCUGUCCACCUGUUGAUGAGGCCAGAGUUAGUUCAAGCACAAGGUGCUCUGAUUCGUUAUUUUCUUUUCCUUCUUUUUUUGUUUCUGAUCAUAGAAAUUCUGAACCGUCUGUUUUUCUAAAUUCAGUGGAAUUUUCAGUGAAGUGGUACGAACAAAUGAGUUGUGCCAAAUAUAUUCCAAUUCUUGUAUAAAGCUAUGCCAGGAAUUGGGAGUGAAGGUUGUUGAUCUUUUCUCUGCCUUUCAAAAAAGAGAUGGUUGGACCACUGCUUGCUUUACGUAAGUUUUCUUCAUCUUCCUUCUGCUAACAAGAUCAAUGUUCAGAAGUGUAUAUAAUCUUAUGUAUUGUUUGGUCUCCCUCAUGUAUCUUCUAUGCGUUUUCUAUAUGAUGCUUACAUGUGGUGGUAUUUUCCUUGCACACAAUUAUCGAUGAGGCUUAGUUUCUGUUUCUCUCAUAUUUGGAUUUUUUUUUAAUUAUCACAUUAAAUUUUUUAUUGACAAACGAGCACCGGCCAAAAAAGAUAUUGGAAUAUAACAUAAUUUGGUAAAAGUUGUUGUUGGAAAACGUGACUUUAAAAAGUUAUGGUUGGAAAUAAAGAUAUUUAAAAAUUAUUAAAAUGGACUGGCACAAAUUCCAAGAAGAAGAAACAUGAGAGAAGAGAAAACGAAUGAAAAAAAAAAAAGAUCUUAGAGGCACACUAAAGCUCCGAUAAUAACACUCUCGUACCAUUAGAAGAACUCGAUGACACCUAAGAUCAUCAAUGGUGAUCGAAGUGGACCACACGCGCCAUUCAAAGGAAAUUAAGCCAUCCACCGUCUUUGGGUGGCACGCGUUGGCCCACUCUGGCCACUAUUGAUGACCUUUCUUGGUGUCAUUAUAUUUAUCUUGUUAAGAUCUUUCUGAUGAUACCAGGGGUGUCAUCAUCGAAGCUUCAAUGUGCCUCCGAGAUUUUUUUCUUUUUUUUUUCUUCUCUCUCCUCUUUCUUCCUUGGAAUUCAUGUACUUCCAUUUUAACCAUUUAGAGAUUGUUUAUCUAUGUGGUCCAACUGCGCUUUUCAUAAAUUUUGAUUUAUUUUUUUGUUUCAAAUUAAUUUUUUUAUAGUAUUUUUAAAUCGUUUUAAUGUGUUGAUGUAAAAAAUAAAAAAAACAUUAUUUUGAUGCAUUUUCAAGCGAAAAACACUUUGAAAAACAACUGCUAUCACAAUGCUAAACACCACCUUAAUGUCACAAUUCCCACACGUGAAUUUUACCGAACUAUGUUAUUUCUCAAAAUCAUUUUUGACUAGUGCUAGUGCCAAUUUUUCCCCCCCAACUAUUUUAGAAAGAAAAAACACCCUCAUAUUUGUUUGUUCGUUUUUUUUUUGUUAAUCUGGAUAAUAGACUCCUUGAUUGUUUACUUUUGUCGUUAUAAGGAUAGUUGCUCGUAAUCUUAGGAUAUGUGUAAAAACAUCAGGUUGAAAUCCAAAUGCUUGCCUGCACAGUUUGCAGUAUGUUGCGGUGUCAUUUGUCUAUGGGAACUCACGGGCUGCAGAUAUAUAUAUAUAAUCUAGGGACUAUCUGCAAAAAUCAGAUAAACGAUCCCCAUUUUCAGUUUUUGCAUUGCCGUGAAAAGUUAGGCCAUCAACGCGUUUGCUUUCCCAUGAUGAAAAGAUAUUAUUAGCCAGCUUUGAUGGAUUAGAUUAUGUUGUUGUUUCGGAUGGUCUUCUUAGGGCUAAAACUUAUCGAGCCACCUUGAACUAUCAACCGUUUUGAUUGACACUUUUUUUUUAAUAUCUAGAUCAUGGUGUGUUUGAAUUAAGACCCCCUUUGCUAGGUUCCAAUCACUUUUGGCAGUGAGACCACUGUCAAAUGAAAGUUUCAAUCAACAUGAUUUCAUGCAUUCAUGUCUUAAACCCAACCAUCACUGCAUUUCAGUGUUCUAAAGGUUGGAAAUUUCAGAUUGAAAAACUAAUAAUCAAAUUUUUGAGUUUGAUUUGAGAUUCAAAAUGGAUUUUGAAUUUAAAUGUUGUUUUCAAGGUUGAAAGGGGUUACUUUAAUGGUCUUUUUGGGUGGAUUUGGUGGUCACAGUGAUGGAAGUUUGGUGGUGAACAGUGAUAGAAGUGAUCCUAAUCCAAACACUUCAUAGUUCACAUGUAUUAAAAUUAAAAGAGAGAAGGGUUUUUCUUAUGUGGUUUAGUAGUCUUUUAAGCAUUGGCCUUUCUUAGUGCACAACCUAGAAUAUGUUCUAUGGACUCAUCGAACUUGAAUUUUAUUCUGUGGAGACUUGAGAAGACUUCCUGGUUUUGGAAUUUGGAUGCUAGAUGUGCACUGGUUUUGGAUAUUGGAGUCAGGUGUAUACGAGCGAAACCUGUCGUCCAAUACAUGUUAUCUCUAAACAGAUGGUCUCUCCUUCAUCCUAUAUGGAAAGGCAGGCCGUGCUGGUUAAUUUAGCUCACAAAUGACUAGAUAUUUCCUCCUUGUUACAAUUUUUACUGGCUAAUGUUAGCUUCCAUUGGGAAGUACCGUCAUGAUUUAAGAUUGUCAGGUUGUCUUCUCCUUUUACCACAACAAUCAUAAAAAAUGUGAAUCGAAUGUCUUUGGUUGACUUAAACUGGUAGUAACGUGUUUCAACUUUCAAUUUUAAAGUUUCCCCCUUCACUUUUUUCCAGAGAUGGCAUUCAUUUAUCAGCAGAGGGGAGCAAAAUAGUUGUGGAGGAGAUUCUGAAGGUGCUAAAGGAAGCUGAGUGGGUUCCAUCUCUUCAUUGGAAGUCCAUGCCCACCGAAUUUUCAGAGGAUUCACCAUAUGAUCUUGUUGCUGCUGAUGGGAAACAAACUCUAAAUCCCUCCGAGUGGACAUUUCACAGGGAGGUUCAUUGGGACUAGGUUGCAAAACUAUCUUUAUGCCUUUUUCAAAUGCCGGAGCUGCAACUAGAAAUUGAAGGAAACAAGCAUCCCUUACCAGAGGCGGCAUGAACCCACAAAAAAGACUCAGCCUAGAGUGGAAUAAUUAUAAUGCAACUCAUUCUUGUCUACUGUUUCUGAACUCCCUUCGUUUUUAAUUGAACUGUUCCUUGUAUAGCCAUAGGUUUUAGCAGUAACAUUAGUCUCUAAAAUGGCAUGGAUGGUGCUGUUUUGAAUAAUAUUCAAAUGCAGCAGCGCCAUUUCUCGCAUAGACUGUAUGGUUUCAAGACGAACCCAUCACAGGUGGUUCCGGUGCCAAUUUGUUCCUUGAUUAUCAUUACAUGCAUGGUUUCAGCAUGAUUUUUCCAUCUUAAAUCUCUCUUCAUCGGGCCUUUUCUUUUCGUUUUUUCAUUCACAAGAAAAGUAAGAUGUUACUGUCACGUUCCAUCUCACAAGUUCUUUGCUAUGAGAAGUAGUGUUUUCCUGCACCCAGAGCACCAGUCAAGCGGAAAAGAGGCCUCUAGGGAAUAAGGAUUCCUGGUUCGAAUCUUAUUUCUUAUAUUUCUAAACGGGUUAUUUUUUAUGAUUUGAUUUUUGGAAUUGACUGUUACCAGGUGGAUGGUGUCCACUACUAUGGUCACGGUAUAUAUUUUUUUUUUUUUCAAAAUCAGCUCUACCAUAAUUUACAAGAGUUCAAUUGUAACUGUAGUUUAGCAAACCUAAUUAAUUAGUUCUUGUGGUUUCACGAAUUACAUAUUUAAUUUUUAUGUUUUCAAAUUCAUUUUUAAUCCCUUCUAUCCAUUUUCCGUCCCCUUCCAGUAGAAAGAAAGAAAGAAAGAAGGUGAAUAUGAUGAAAAUAUUAACGAGAAAAUAACUUUUUUUUUAAAAAAAAAAAUACUACUAAAUUAAACAUACCCAACGCAGCUCCCAUAAUUAUUUAAUUUUUAAUGUUGGAAGAAAUUAACGAACUUGUUUUAAUAAACUACGAGAACUAAAUUAUGAUUAACUUGGGUUUUGAAGAACAGGACUGGCGCUGCUUCCACUGAAGGAAGUUCUCGGAAGCCACGAAGCAUAAACGAUGCAAAAAUUGAAUGUUUCGUUGUCCCUGAGAUGCAAUAGAUAUGUGUUUUCAGAUAUUAUGAUUAAUUCUUAAGAUUCUUAAAAGUAAUUGAUGCGCUGUAAAAACAGCUAAAACUUAUGAAAAUAUACUGCACCAAAUCCAACCUCCAGCCCUCUACAUUAGCGGCAUUAGCCAACAGGUACAACAUUUACCCUAGCCUCUCUUAUUCUCUCUCUCAGCCGUUCCACAAUCAACCACCGCCAACAGCCCUCUCCUCUAUUUUUUUCAUCACCAACGGCGUCCUCUCGACCAGCCACCGUGAGAUCCAGACAACAACAACGGCGUCCUCUCCACCAGCCAUCGUAAGCUGUUCUGUUUGUUUUUAUCCUGUGAGGUCAUAGUGGGGAGUUGCAUAUAAGAUUUCCAAGAGAGAAGAUCAAGAAAUUGCUCUAACGGUUUGGUUUUUCAACUCAAUUUCUUGAAUUGCUGUUUUGAUUCUUUUGUUCGUAGGAAACCUUUUCUUCUUUUGUCCCUGUACACUUGUAUUCUUGGGCAUUUUAGCUAUUGAACAGUCUUUUAAUUUUUUUCCCUUCCCAUUGUGCACUGGCUAGGGACCAACUAAACUAAUACACUGUGAUAUCACAGUGGUGACACUGUUAUGGGGAGUUUUUUUUUUUCUGACUGGGUUGGAGAGGGAUCAGGGAUGAUGCAUUUCAUAAAAAAAAUUGGGAAUGGGAUCAUUCUGUUUAAGUAUCAUCAAGAAUGACAGUAGUGUUGGCAGAACAUGUAAAAUUGAUGACCAGAAGACUGGUUUCAGGAGGUAAAAAAUCUCAUUCUGUUUUGUUGAGUUUGCUUCCUCAGAAUAUUUUCUUGGAAAUCUUUGGAAAAUCUCUUACCUUUUUCAAAAUGGGACCAAGACUAGAAAGAAAAUUUUCCUGAUUAGUUGGGACAGUUCUUAGUCAUAUAUCCUAACAGUAUUAUUUGCUGGUUUUAAAAAAAAUAUUUUCUUUCUUUUUUUAAAACCAGCAAAUAAUCCUGCUUGUCAAUAAUACAAAACUAAACAGCUAGAAAAAUAAAAAUAAAAGACUGACUUGAUAAGUAAAAUCUUGUAGAGCAUAGAUUCCAAGCUCCAUCAAUCUAGCAGUUGCCCCGCUGCUUUGUUUCCGGUCAGAUUCAGAACAAUUGAAACAAGAUCUAGGAAUGUUGAAAAUAAAUCAAUUUUUUUACAAUUUUUUGAAAAAAUCCAAUCUAUAAAAGAGAUGGGUAAAUAGGGCUGCAACCUAUAAAAUACAAUAUAAUUAUGUUUUAUUUGCAGCCUGGAGGUAAACACGUGAAAUUGCUUCUGCACUAGAGAAGCUAGAAGACCGAUAAAAUUGAUAACAUAAAACAAUGGCAAAUUACUAUGACAUUGAUAGUAUUCUCGUGGAGGAAGAGGUGAAAUUUUUUAUCCUCACCUUAUAUUUUAACUCCUAAAUCUCGUAAUCCUAACAUAAUCACUUUUCUAUCGUGUGUUCACACUGUCUUGCAGUUUGUCCCGGUUGUGUUUCAAAAGGCUAUAAAUGGAGUGAAAAUCGAUGAAAGUACUGAAAAAGGAUAUGUAAGUUUUAAGUAAAAUAGCGUUGGAGAAAGACUUCACAAGUCAAAUUACUUCAUAUAUUCACCUUGUUUUUGACGUGUUAAUUAAAACUCAGGUUGAACAAGGUUCAAAGACACAGCUACCUUUCUGGCUUGCUCAUGAAUUGCACAUGAGGCAAGCUGUAUCGAUAGGUGUUCCUGCCUGUUUUAAUCAAAAGUAAUUGCCUUACUUGCUCAAAGCGAAUAUUUUUAUUUUACAUUAUGAAGUGAGUUAGUGGGAGAUCCAUCUUCAUGUAGGGUUGCUUUAUGUCUUAGUAGAAGGGUCCAAUUGGUUUUCCCGUUUGUAGUUCUCAAGGAUAGAAGAUUUCUUGUUGAAAUUAUUUAUGUCAUUGCUGUUAAAACUUCAAUGUAAAAUGUAGCUCCUUAGAAUUAUAGAAACUUUGCUCAAGUCCUCUAGGAACUCCCCGAUUUUAAAACUUCAAUCUAAAAUGUAGUUCCUUUGAGUUAUAGAAACUUUGCUCGAGUCCUCUAGGAACUCCCUGGUUUUAGGUUUCACUUUCAGGGGUUUAUUUAAAUUAAUUGCUCGUUAUGAUAGUCGAGUCCCCAAAAAAUCAUCACAUGUGUACAUGGAGAAUGGUUUGUCUAUGCUGUCAUCCAACAUCUAUUUACUUGUACAGUUGUUUUUAUAGCUUAUAGAUAGUAUUUCUUUUUCCUCACCAGAACAAGGCUGGAAAUUCAGGCAGACGCUGCUUGUGUGGACCUGAGAUCCCGCUGUCCAUACUUUUAUGAAUUUGGAUGCAAGCUAGCUCCACUGUGAGUCUCCUUCCCCUGCCUAUCCGUUCAUGUGUGUAUACAAUUCCUGUUGUGAUGUCUUCUUUUAGUGCCUUUUGUUGAACUACCAUGCAAGAGUACCUGCAUGAAAUGGUGUCCUGCUUGUGAAGCAUUUUUUGCUAAGUGUUGCUUUCUCGAUUUGGAGGAGGAAACAUGCAGCUCAAUGUGUUUAAUAUUUUUUUAUGACCUUCCCUAAGUGAUGCCUUAACCUUUUGACUUUCUCAGUCUGUUUAAUCAGAUUGACAAUUCCAAAACAAUCCAGUUAUGUGUUGGAUACAAAGUUACAAACUAACACAUCAUGACAUCCAAAAGCAUAUCAUUGUUUUUAGAUAUAAAAAUCAAAUGUGGGCUUCUCCUAUGUCAGAGCAAUAAGGUUAGCAACCAACCAGAAGAUUAUGGAGUGCUUUCAAUUUUAGGAUAUCUUCAGUACUGUAACUUGAAAUAAUCAUUUCAUUACCAAUCUGUGCCAUUCAUGAAUUUACUAAUGUCUAUCCUUGUCCACUUCAUUAGACUGUUUUAAAGAAAUUAUUUGGAUAAGAGUAUGGCAUUCUUUUUAGACCGAGACAAGUUUUCUGUUAGUGAUUCCAGGUUGCUUAGUUUUAUCUAGGUUUCAUUUGUUGGUAGACUUCAGUGUACCUGAAGUCUAGAAGCAAAAACUAUCUGUUUUCAUUCUCAAGUCCAGGGAUCAACUGAAGGCCCUUAUCGAGAUCCUUGCAAUAGAAAGGAAACAUAUGGGAGAAGUAAACUGUCAAAAUGAAUUACUUCACCCCAUGCAUUCUGAUUUUCUGUUUAGCUUUGAGAAGUUUAUAUGUUGUGAAUGGGGUCAAAUGCUUGACAAUCAAUAUUGUUCAUGGGCCUUUUUACUCUGUGGUCAAACCCCAAGGCUUUAGACAUACACUGUACUGUGGUUGAGUUUACAUGUUGUGAAGGCUGUGCUUGGCAACAAUACAUCCGAAUUUACUUUGGCAUAUUUGCUAUGAUUUGUCUUAUGCAAUGAGAGAUUGUGCGUUGUUGUCCUGGUGGAGGCAAAAGUGCACAAUUGACAAGUGGUGGUCGAAUGUCGGUCAUACCUAUUGACAGUAAAUUUACAUGACACCAGCAAUCUUUCGUUUGGCUGACAAGCUGGUGUUCACCAAGCUUUUUACCUUUUCUUUCCGAGGACUUAUUUGGUUAUUCAUAAUGAUGCUUAGGUGUGAUAAAUCCAUUGGAUUGUUGCUUGCAUAUGCAUUUCGAAUCCGGUAUAAGGAAGUCCUACACAAGGCACACACCACAGCAUUUGCAGCAGCUUCCAGAUUCCUGAUGCUCCUGACUAAAGAAGAAACUUACAGUGAGAUUCUUUUACUUUUGAGCGUAUAUUUUCUGCUUUCAUGCCGCACAUUUAUGUUGCAAUGACAGUAAUUUAUUUCUCUGCAUGUUUAGUGUAUGAAGCAGCUCAAUCAUCCAUGGCAGCCUUUAAGAAAUGGCGGAUGGGUGGCCCCAGAUUGCAGAGAGCUUCAAUUCUUGGGAGGAAGAGAAAACCAGCUGAAUAGGUGCCCAUUUCCACCCUGCCGACAUUCUCAAUUCAAGCACUCAUGCUGCUGUUAUGUCUUGGUCCUUGCCUUGAGAUUGAUGCAUGAUGGGUGCAUUCUUGCAUGAAAAGUAACAAAGCACGUCCUGGUACUAUAAUAGUUCACUCUCCAGUUUCGUUUUCCUCCUGAUAAUUUUAGCUUGAUAUUUAGCCCCAGAGGAAGUUGGGGGCAGGGGUGAGGCUGUUUGGGGUGUUGAUGCAACUGCAGUCGCAAUUAGACAAAGAAACUGACUAUUUACUAGUUGCCAUGGUAAUUGAGUUGAUGCGAUACAUUUCAUCUUUAAUUCCGUGAUUUAUAAAAAUGAUCCCUGCUCAACUGUACAUCUAUUUCUUUGUAAGCCCAAAACAAUCAACCAAAAACUUAAAUGUGAUCAAUGUAGGCAGAACUUCUGCAUAAGAUAUUAUACCAUUUGAAAUUGGCUACAUGAUAUGCUAUAAAUCUUUCUUUUAUUUUGAUGGUUUUUGAGAGUGAUAACAAUUGUUUUUUAGUGCCUGUUUUCUGAAAAAAUUUGAAUUUUUUUUUAUUUUAAAUUAAUAUGUUUUUGAUGUUUUUAAAUUAUUUUGAUGUGCUGAUCUCAAAAAUAAUUUUUAAAAAAUAAAAAAACAUUAUUGAUAUACUUUUCUAAAUGAAAAGCACUUUGAAAAGCAACCACAAAACACUUACAUAUUUUUUGUUUGGAAAAACAUCAAAAUUAUUUUUUUUUUAAAAAAUAUUUUUUAUAUUAAAAUAUUAAAUUAUCUAAAAAUAUUUAAAAAAUAAUUUAAAAUAAAAAAAGUUAAAUUAUAAUAAAAAAAAACAUGUUGAAAUUCAAUUCUAAACACCCUGUUAAUACAAAAUACAAGUCUUUGUUUCCCUGAUUUACGAAGUUCAGAAGGUGAUGAUUACUCGUUGCAAGCCUAGCUUUCUAUUCUUGAUACUGCUGCAUGCCAUUAUUUUUCGUGGCUAAAUUGAUGCAUGCUGUGCGAAGACAGAUGAUGGUAAUGCAUCUCCUAGUGGGCACAAGAUCAUCAAAACCACUCCACUCCGAUAAGCCCCAAAGCAAAUGGCUUUGUCAUUCCUUGAACUCUUCUCACUAUAUAUUUAUAUAUAUCAUAGUGGUCACCUAGAUCUCUUGUUGUGGUGAUAAUCCCAUCCCCACCAUUAGCCGACUUUUCCACAAGUUAUGAAUGAAUUGCACAUUGUCAUAAAUCGUAACUCAUUCAGAUACAUAUCAUCAACAAGUCUUUGAUUUUCACUCUCCACUUCCUCUUCUAUAGCUAUCACAUCAAUUGCCUCUUUACCUGGAAGAAAUCACACAACUUUUAAACUCACAUUCAGAGACCCUGCCAUCUUGCAAGCAUUAGGCUUCAUCAUGCCCCCGAGUCAAGAGCAUGGCAAAAUUUAGCUGAUCUCUGUGAUUGCUAAACUGGUUACAAAUGUUCAAAAUGAGGCCUUGAUCAAUAAAUAUCCCCACAGAGCAUGAUAGGAGAGUCCUCUUUGUUCAUCCCAUCUGCGCUGGAUGGCUUGUGAAAAUGGAAUUAGGAUGAAAGUCACGCCUAAGAACUAUUCAAGCUGGAAAGGAUUUGAGCACUUUUUUUUUCUUGUCAAUAACAGGACGUGUUAUCUUACAUAACCAUGGUGAUUUCAACACAAGCUCAAGUUGAUGAAAUAGUGAUUGCAUAUUUAUGUCUCCCAGCAUUAAGAAUAAUCAAAGCCUGUUGGCGUUCAUAAGAACUCCAAGGGCGACACUUCCAUUCCAUGGGCUGGCAUACCACAAUACAUGGCAACCAUGAAACCGCCUAUGAUCUUGGCGAAGUCCCAGAAUCAUGAGAGACCACUAGCAUUGACAAACAGAUCUCUCAUGAGCACAAAAAAGGAAGUAUGACCCCUGUGGCAAAGUCUUCGAGUUUCUCCAGUCCUCACUCCAAGCUCUCCAUCAGGUAAUGAAUCCACAAACUACCACUUCAGCAAGAGUGGAUAAAUAAGAGAGGAUUUUUUUAAAAAAGAAGUUUUUUAAACAAGGCAGUUCUGUCUAUAUGAUUGUUGUUAGUUGCUCUUUCUCUAUAAAAAAUGCUAUCUGCUGCAAUUAGGGCUUAAUAUAGAUGAUUAGUCAUAACCAUAAAAUUACAGUUAAUGUAACGACUCAAGAACACAACAGAUAACACACAAAAAAACAAGCUCAGCUCUUAUGAUGUUAGAAGUCAAAUUUGGUAUCUGUUCACCUGGCUAAUUGAAUUAAGGCUUCUUUGAGCUUGUUGGAGACAUUUUGUCUGUGCCUUUAUGACGGCUGAGCUUAUGGGACCACAGUUCUCUAAAUCCAUUGACCCAGCCACUGUAACAGUAAAAUUCUUGAACAAAUUCUAUUGCAUCUUCAACUCAAACAAAUCCAUUUAAUCAAUUAAAUUCCAAGUGAAAAACCCAUUUUAAAUUUAAAUUGUUGGAUGAGACCUGCUAUUCAUUUUAUAUUCAUUACCUGCAAUAUAUAUCGUAGUUUUUUCAUAAUUAUUUCUAACUAAAAAUGACAAAAUGAUGAAUUGAAAGUUCUAACUAAAAAUCUGAGGAAAAUCCACUGUAAACUUCGUGUCCAACUCAGAAAUUCCUCUCUUUUUUUCCACCUUUUUGUUGGCCGAUGACCAAAGAAUUUAAAUUACUAGAAUCUCUAACCCAUAACUUUGUUGCUAUCAAUGGGAUCAGGAUCCCGUUGUUUGAGUUUAAUCAGCAAUGAUAAUACAGCAUCGUUCAACAUGAUCCUGAUCCCUGAAUAGAUUAUCUCUCUCGCCUCUUAUUAUUUGAGAACUUGGUUGUUGAUUGGCAAGGAAAGAAAUGGUAGCACGUGAUGUUUAGAGUAUCAGGUGAAGGAUAAGUAUCUGAAAGAAACUAUCUGAUGCAUACAUAAUUUAAUAAAUAAAUAAAAGAGAAAAAGUAGGUGAUCUUUUGCUGUCGUGGCAAAACUGGGAACCUGUUACGAUCUUUCUUCUGAUCCAAUCCCGGUGCAGUAAUAAUUAAUAUUCGAAAAAGAAAUCACAGACAAGAUAUUUCUGCAACUUCUCUCGUGUGUUACUUUAUGUGUUUUGUAAUAGGAGGUCCAGAGAUUUUUAAGAGUAGUUUUUAAUUAAAAAUAUAUUAAAAUAAUUUCUUUAUUUCUUUAUUUUUAAUAGUAGUAUAUCAAAAUUAUUUAAAAUACUUAAAAAAAAUUAAUUUGCUUGACGCGUGUUAACCACCCAAAUUGCAUCUAGCAACUUGUAUCCUGUUAGUUUGAGUUUUGUAAUUAGAUGUAUAGUGUUUUUUUUAUAAGUGUUUCUUAAUUAAAAAUAUAUUAGAGUUAUGUUUUUUAUUAUUUAUUUUUAACAUCAGUAUAUUAAAAUAAUUCAAAAUAUUCUUUAAUUUAAUAUUUUUUAAAUAAAAAAUAAUUUAAAAAAACAUAAGCUGUAACAUGCAUCCCUUUUCUAUAAUAACAAGAUUUUUAUUUGGUUUCACCAUAUUCGUUCAAACACAAAAUAUAUUAUCUUAGUAAAAUUCAAAUCAUUAAUCUUUUAAAUAUCUAAAAAAAUAAUUGUCAAUUUUAAAAUUUUAAUUUCAUUAAUAUAGCUAUUGCGAUGUAAUAGAGUUUGAAUUUUUUUAACCAAAAGUGAAAAAUUAAGGAAAAAUUACUUCUAGUAUCUUAUAAUUUUAUUAAAACUACACUUGCUUACUCAUUUUUUAAAAAUUACAGAUUAUAUUAUUAAUGAGUAUAAAAUAAAUUAAACUACAUAAUAAUAUUUAUGAUAUAACUAAUAUGCAAACAACAAAGUUCAUGUUAUAAAAUAUAAAUUUUAAAAAAAUUGAUUGGCAAGUACAAUACUACCAAACCAUAUAAUGACGGAGUAAUUUUUUCCAAAUUGAAAGAUGAAAAGAGUGUUCGCUGCCUACUCAAUGAAGAGAGAAUUACAAAUUCCUUGAGUUUUUAAUAAUUGUUUUUGUGGUGAAUUGAAUCUAAAACUGGAAUUUGGAUAGCACCAAGCACAUAUCCAUUCAUCGCAAUAUAUUUUUGUGUAAAAUAACAAAAGACCAUUCGAAUGAUUAUUCAUUCGAGGGAGGGACUGGAAACAAAAUUUCCUGGACUAAUUCGAAUACAAAGCAGAGGUCUUUGACUUAUUUGAGCUCAAUAAAUUAAAUUAAUUUAAUAAUAUAAUUAAAAAAUAUUAAUAGUAAAUAAAACAAAUAAUAAAAAAUUGACGAUAAUUAAUUUUAAAAAAUAAGUUGUCAAUACUAUACUCUAAAAAUACUAUACUAUGAAGGAGAAUAAAUAAAAUCCGGUAGAAGAGUCACCAUAUCUCUACCAUGAACAUUGUCUUACAAAAAAAAAAAAAAAAAAGCUCACCGAGAUAGUUUCAACACCACCAUCAAAGGUUGCACGACGACAUUGAAAGAAACCGCAUGCGACAUUAGAGCAAUGACCCGAAAAAAAAAUCAAACAAAAUAUCAUGAUAUGAGCAUCUCUUACUUAUAUUUAAUCAAUUGAAAAACAAAAUUUAUUUGAAAAUGCUAAAUUUAACAAAAGAAAAACAAUUAAAAAGACUCAAAAUUACCGAGUUAUUUUAAAAACCAGUGAAAAACCUAUAGAAAGAAAAUAAAAAACUAUUGAAGGAAGAAACUGAAAAACACACGAGCUUAAAAAAAAUAACUAAAUCAGGUGAAUCUCUUGGAUCUAGGUUAAUAUUCCAAACUCCCAACUCAUGAAAUUCUAAACUCGAACUCAAUCGAGAAGCUCAAUUCCUAACCAAUUGAGGAUGAGAAAGAAAAGAGAGAAAGAGAAAUAAGAUCGCCGACAUCAAACCAGAAGUCUAUUGGCCGUAUGCAUCUUCCAAGAAUGGAGAGGUUGUUGAGACAAUUCGAAUAUCAUCGUAGAAGUUGUUGUUUGGAUGUCAUGUCAUGCUGCACAUGCCACAUGAAGAGCGCGAGUAUCUCAUACGUGCUAGCCACUUUUGGCUUAUAAAUAAUAUUUUAUAUUUAUUGAAAUAUCAAAUUACCCCUUAAACAAUUUGGUUAUAAAUAAAAAUACAAAAAAAACCUGGAUGUUAGUUUGAUUUUGUGUGUGUCUAAAAUAGUAAUUUAAUUAUGUUACCAUGCUUUAAAAAAUAAAAAUUAGAAAAAGCUCCUUGUCAGUUAAAUAACCUUUUCUUCUAAGAUUAAUUUAAGUAUUUUAUCAUAUUUAAAAAAUAUUAAAAGGUCAAGCUGCUCGUGAUCAUUCUAGCAAUGAUUAAUGGACGUUACGAAAAGACUGUAUUAUCUUUAUUAAUUAGAUUAUUAUUUUUAUUUUUAUUUUUAGAAAAAUACAAAAUAAUUAUUACACUAUUUUAAUCUAUAAUAUUUUAUAUUUGGAUUCAUAGUGAAACAAUAAGUUGUUUUAGGUUUUUGUUAAUCGGAGCUCAUGUUUACUGGAUGAAGACAUUUUUCAAUUGAAAGAUAUUUUCUAGCCUUUUAAUAUCCAAGUUGCAUAAAAUAAAGGUAAAACAAAACAAAAGAACGUGUUCUUUUUCUAUGACUUCUUGUUGUCCUAAACCAUUGACUUCUCCGAUAUUUUCUCUUCCCAUCCAAAUACGGCCUAGGAUGAAGCGGAAAAAAUACAGUAAAAGAUUCUUCUAAAAAGAAAAUAAAAUAAAAUAACCGCUUAAGAUAUUUCAAAAAAUCUGCACCCCUUUUCGCACUUAUAGCGCGUGGUUCACCAAUAUUUUGGGAUGUGUUUCCGUCAAAAGAUUUAGAUUUUUGCCUUUUAGCAUUACCUGAUACCGUUAAAAAUACAAAAAAAUAAAAAUGAAAUAUUUUUCUUGUUGUAAGAAAAAAAUUUAUUUUCUUAAUCACAAAUUUAAGUAUCUAUGUUAUGUCAAAUUUUAAUUUGAGUUAUUAUACAAUUAAAAUUUGAUCAAUCAUGUAUAUUUAUAUUAUUUUUAAAAAAGUAUAUUAAUAAAAAAAUAAUAUAUAUAUAUAAAAAUCUCUUUAAUGAUUUAAAUGUAAUUACAAUGAAGAGAGAAAAGUUUAGGAUGUGAUAUUUUUAUUAUUUUUAGUAGGUUUUAGAUUUGAUUUUUCUUUUCUUCUCUAUGAAUUUUUUUAAAUAAAUAAAAUAAAAUAACAAAUAAGAUAUCGCUAGUUAUCCAAUUUAUAACAUAAAAUAUUAUGGAUAAUUCAGGUAAUUAUCUCGAUUUUUUUAACAUACCAAUAAAAAUAUUUGAGUUACUACAUUAUGUUUUUUGUAUUAAUUUAUAUAUAUAUAUAUAUAUAUUUUUUUUUUUUUAAAUUAACAAAAAUUUAAUUUUUUUAGACCUAAUUUUGACUUAUUAAAAAAUUUCUCUGAGUUUAAAUUUAGCUAGUUAAUUAUAUAUAUAUAUAUAAUAUUUAAGUCAAAAAAAUCAAUUAUGAUGUAAAUUUUUUUGGAUUACUGGAAUUAUUAGGAUAAAUAAAAAAUUCUCAUGAUUUAAAUAAUUACCGAAAUGGUAAUUUUCAUUCGAAAUUCCCUCUUAUUUUCUCUCAAAAGUAGUCGAAGACUUGGAAGUUACAGUAACAAUUAAAAGUUACACCUCUCUCUCUCUCUCUGUCAUCUCUGUAUUGUAUGCAUCACACUCUCUCUCAAAUCGCGUAGACUCAUAAAAUCCAUAUAUCAUCACCAUCACCCACAUCCACUGUCUCCUUUUCUUUCUCUCUCCUUAAAGAUCAAAAGGCUCAAAGCCAACAGGUAAUUUUCUUAAUUCUUAUAAUGUCUCGUCAAAACAAUUUUAUUCACACAUGAACACCACCCUCGAUUCAUUCUCCGCUGCCGAAUCGAGCAUGGAAGACACCUCCAAUCCCUCAAUCACUACCAACCAAAACGCCAACAAAGAAGAUGAAGUUGAUGCAGAGGUUUGGGCAACAUUCAACAAUAGUUUUCGACAAGUUCAGUCGGUUCUGGACAGAAACAGAGUUUUGAUUCAACAAGUGAAUGAGAAUCACCAGUCUAGAACUCCUGACAACAUGGUCAAAAACGUCUCUCUGAUUCAAGAACUUAACGGCAAUAUCUCCAAGGUUGUUGGGCUUUACUCUGAUUUGAAUUCCAAUUUCUCCACUGCUUAUCAUCAGCGAAACCACAACGGUAAAAAUAACGGCAAGAAGGCCUGAAUCGGUUUCUUAGUUGUAUCUUAUUUAUUCAGUGUGUGUAAUUUGGGGGUUCGGGUUUUUAUUGAGGGUAGAAUUUAUGUUGUGUCUGUCGUGGUUUAUGUUAUAUAAAGGAAAGACCGCUGUGCUCUUGAGUUUGGAUUAAUGGAGUAUUUAGUAUUUUCUACUAUGUUAUUUUUGCUGAUAAAAAAUUAUGGAAAAUGAUUUACUAGAAAAGCUGAAUGGUGAAUAUUUGUUUAAGGUGAAUUCUGGAGGUAUUUGGAUAAGCAAAUUUAGUUGUCUAGAGUUUCAGGUGAGAGCAAGUUGGGUAUUUUUGUGUGGCAAACAAGAACUAGAGUUGGAGUUUUUUUUUAAUUAAAUUUUAGGUGCAAGAUCAUUUUGGUUCUUUUAGGGUUUUCAGAAGGUAGAAUUGGCACUGGAUCUAUGUUCAUUUAAUUGAGAUUUACCCCAACUUGCUCAGGUCCACUUUGAGUUCCUUCAAGUUUGGUACUCGUGUUCAAUUGCAAGCUGUUGGGUCAUUGCCAGUGAACUUCUGUCUAACAAUUAUUGCUGGGAGAGUGAUAUGACUGCAUGUUGUUUACUUUAUUCUAUGUUUUCUUUCUAUUGAUUGAACUACAGGAUAAAGGUCUGUUCUCGAUCUAGUUUGGUUGUUUGCUGUUGGACUCUGGGAUGCCUUAAAAUCUGCUACAUCCAUGAUUGUCUACCAUAGGUCAUGAUUCACGAAUUGAAGGAAAUGUUACUUUUUUUGUGAACCUGAAGUAUUACCGUGUUACUGUAGAUUUUCCGUUCAAAUUGGCUGACAACCAUGUCACAGAUACAAGUUUAGAAGUUUCACAUGUCUUGCAAUUUUGACCCUUUUACCACCCUUAGGCUUCAUUAUAUAUAGUUUUUCUUUCGUUUUAAUUCUGUUCGAGCCAAUAAUUGCCUGGCUUGCCUAAGUAAAGUCCUGCUCUGUAAUUCCUCUUCUUCUGAAAUUGCACAGAUGACUUGCAAAUUGGAUACGACUUCUUGGAAAUUUCUAGUUUCCUUUGAUUAUUACUGUUACCUUUUCUCUUUGAGUUUUUGCCUGUGAGUAGUUUUUUUUUUCUUUCGAUUGUUUCCUACUACCAAGAUCGUUUGUUGUUUUUCAUUUCUCGCUCUCACCUCGAUUACCAAGCUGGCGAGACGGGAAAGUUUUCAUGUUGGCAGAUCCAUGCAUCAUUGAUCCGGAAAUGCAUAGUAGAUAACCCCAGCUUCCUUUCUAGUAUAUGCCACUCAAGGCUGAUGAUUAAUUUGGACUGCUCCGAGCAUAAGGGUCUGUUUAGCAUUGUGUUUGUAACUGUGUUUCGUUAAAUUUUGAAUUUUUUUUUUUUGCUAAAAUUGAGUGCGGUUUGUACUUUUUGGAUCGUUUUGAUGUGUUGAUGUCAAAAAUAAUUUUUAAAAAAUGAAAAAACAUCAUUAGCAUGUAUUUCGGCACAAAAAACUAUUUGAAAAGCACUCGCAACCACAAUGCCAAACACGCUCUAAAAGCAGGAGUUGCAAUGUAAGCUUUCCAGGGCCCAGUCUUGAUAUAUCCCUCGGGUCAGGAGGUGAAGUCUGAUAAAAAAAAAAAAAAAACGCACUUCAGAGUGCUCUACGAAAAUAAUUAAAAGGUGAUUGAGUAUAAACUGUUUUUUUCUAAUAUAUUAAAAUAAUAUAUUUUUUUUAUUUUUUUAAAAUUAUUUUUAAUAUUAUCACAUCAAAAUAAUAUAAAAAAUUAAUUCAAAAUACAAGAAAAGCCUAAACGGCCCUAAAUAAGCAUUUUGAAAGGGAUGAAGCGAACCCGAAUAUGGAAAGAAAUGGAAUGCACGCUUUGAUCAAUCAACCAUUUGCGUGACGAUGUCCCUCCGCUCCAUCAAAUAAAUAUAUAUAUGAAUAUUAAAAUAAAGUGGAUUAACUUUAAUAUAUAGUGAAAUAUAUAUGUGUGUAUAUACACAAGUAUAUUAAGAUUAAAAUAGUAUUUGUGAACAUGGUAGAAAUAAUAUUUUUUUAAAAUUAAUUUUUUACAUUUUUAAAUCAUUUUAAUAUGAUAAAAUAAAAAUAUUUUUUUUAUUUUUUAAAAAAUAUUUUAAUACAUUUAUAUAUAAAAAAAAACCUUUAAACAACAGUUACUAAAACACUCACAAACACACCUCUAAUUAGAAUGAAGUGCUAUUAUAAAUUGAAAUUGAUGGAGUGCGAUCAUCAACGUGUCCGUGUGACUCUUAUAAGAAAAGAAUUUGAAUCGUGAAACAACGUCCAAGUCACAAAUGGAGCUCUUAACGUGUCUUAUAAGUGAUGUUCUCAGUCUUCUGACAACACGAGGAAAAACUUAAAAAGUUCGGAGUUCAUUUCAUUGUCUUUCUUCCCUGCAUGUGCGUUAGGACAGAAGCCCAAAUUCCUGGUGUUUCCGUGUCCCUGCUUUUCCAAAGCAAAAGGGGGAGAAAUCUGUUGAUACCUGUUAGCUGGGCAGUAUUUGAAUAUCCAGUUGCUUCUAACUGAAACUGCAUUGGAUCAGCGCAGCACCUUCGAUGAAAAUAUGAUUGACUCAGGAACCCACCGAUUAAUAGUAUACUAAUUGCCUAAAUAUAUCAAUGUGUUCAGUGACAAAAAGUAAAAAUAAGAUUUGGAAACGUGUGGGGAUACGAUUGCUAACAGAGUUGUAUGCGUUGAAACACAAAAACUGGAAAUUAAGACAUAGCAGAGGGUACAAAAUCUAUCUACAUUGGUAUUGAUGAGUUUGCAGGGAGAUAGACAGCUGAUCAACAACAAAGAGGGCAGUCACAAAGGCAUUUUACCACUGUGUAAAACCACAAUUUGAUGUUUUGGCACUCCAUUCUGUCUUCCUUCAGCUUCAAUCUUGUACACUAUAUCCAUGCCAGAAAGCACCUUGCCAAACACAUGGUUAGAUGUUCAAACCAAAUCAAAUGGUUAAGCUUUAUUAGCUAAAAAUUGAUCAUGGUCGGCUUAUGAUUUAUAACUACAGGAUUGGUUUCAAUUAUAGUUAAUCUUAUUUUAAUUAUUGUAAAAUUAUAAUAUUUAUACCAUUAAUCAUAAAUAAUUACGAGCUCAUCUUAUGCUCUAAGAAUGCUUAAUAAAUUUAAUUUUCUAUCAAGAUCUUUAGACUUGCUUCAGACAACGUCUUUGGUUGCUAUUUAAUUGUUAUUAUGAAAGGAUGUUUAUGUGUGUGUGUUUUUUUAGAAAUAAUAUUUUGAUGGUUUGAAAAUGUUUAUACGAGUAAACUUGCUUUGUUACUGAACUUAUUUUAUUUUUAUCGUUAAUAUUUUUGUUGACAAGUGAUUAAAAUUAUAGGACAUUGAGUGGUUCUCUUGGGAAUUAAAGUAAUGUUUAGUGAUUUCAAAGUAUUUUUUUUAAAUAUAUUAAAAUAAUAUAUAUUUUUAAAAUUUAUUUUUAAUAUUAGCAUAUCAAAAUAAAAAAAGAAAUAAUUUUAAAUAAAAAAUUAAAAUUUUUACUAAACAACAUUUUAAACACGUUAUCAAGCACUGCUAAAUAAGUAACUAUUGCUAAUGAAUUCCAUGAAUAUAGUAAUUAAGAGAUUUUAAACAUGGAUGGGUUAAUUACUCUUGGUGGAAGUCAACGCAUGAAUCUCACCCCAUCAAUAACAGAUAAUGUUUAAUAGAUUAAUUGGCAUAAAUAUUUCGAAAUUUAACAUUACGCUAUUCUUAGAAUAAAUUCCUAAGAACAUCGCUGUUCUAAUCUGAUUUUACUCGAAAUUGCUUUGUUUCAGAAAAAUGUCACCUCACAUGAUUGGCUUGCAGCGAAGGCAUCCUAGUACGAGAGCAGGAUAAUUAUGACAUUUGAUAUUAGUCAACAAGAAGAAGAAGAAGCCAGAUAUCAAGCUGGUACUUUUGCUUUUAUAGUCUCCUACGAUAGAUAGAGCUACAAAUUCUCCUGUUUUAUAGGCUCUCCUCAGUCUCUCUCCCUCCCUGUCUUCCAAAUCUUCAAGCCAAAAAGGUUCUGGAAAAUAAAACAAAAAAAACCAGAUAGCGUGGCAGAGAAACUCAACGAUGGGGAGCUACAAGAAAGACAAGCAUAGACCAUCUCCACUACCAGAAUCUAGCAAUAGCAACAAAGAUGAAAUGGGGAGUUAUAAUUACAAGAUGUUUAAUCUUUUUAACAGAAAGUUCAAGAUCACGGAAGCUGAGCCACCCAAAGACGUGAAACAACUUUUUUCCAAGUUCUCGAAUGGUGGGUCCCACAUGACGGCUGAUCAGCUCCGGCGCUUCCUGGUUUUGCACCAGGACGAGCUUGACUGCACGCUGGCGGAUGCACAGAAGAUCGUGGAGGAGGUCAUUAACAGGAGGCAUCAUUUGACGAGAUACAGCAGACAUUCACUUAAUCUUGAUGACUUUUUCCAUUUCUUGCUUUAUGAUGAUCUCAAUGGACCCAUCACCUCUCAGGUUACCCCUCUCCCUAACUCUGUCGCUAAAUGUAUUUGGCACGUUUACGAAAUUUAGAGUAUCACAAUUGUGAUUUACGCUUUUAAAUCAUGUUUUUUUUUUUAAUCAUGGAUAGGGUAAAGAAAGCAAAAUCUUGUGCAGUUGAUGCCAAACCAUUUCUUUCUCAAUUAUUUCUUGUUGUAAUUUGAACUUUAGAGAAGCUCGGAAAAUGGGGUUGGAUAAAGUUUGUAAUUUUUUACAGCAAAUGAUGGGUCUAAAUAUUUCUUGCAUUUUAGUUGGGAUUCCAAAGGUGGGGUUCUCUCUCUCUCUUUUUUCUCUACAUUUUUUUUCCUGGCAAUUUUGUAUUGUGCAGGAAGCGGGGCAUUUACAUUGUGGACUAGGUGAAAGUAGCACUGCCCCCUUUUGUUGAUUUUGUUAGCGAUUAGAAUUAUACAUUGAUUAAGGUGUGUGGGCCUAGAAAUUGAUUGAUUAGCAGAAAGGAUUAUUUUUUUUUGUUAUGAUCAAGAACCAAAACAAUAACUUCUCUUUUAGAAAUUACGAAAAGAUUUUUACUUACAAGUCUUACGAACAGGGAUCUUUGGAGCAUUACUUAUCUGCAUCUUUGCCAUGUUUUUCUGGGUAUGCUUUGAACAAUUUGUAAGGGGACCGUGUUGAGUAUGCCCUUGACAAAUUAUGUCAUUCCAGGUACACAAUGAUAUGACUGCUCCAUUGGCACAGUAUUUCAUAUAUACAGGGCAUAAUUCCUACCUAACUGGGAAUCAACUGAGUAGUGAUUGUAGCGAGGUGCCAAUUGUAAAAGCUUUGCAGAGAGGUGUAAGAGUAAUUGAACUAGAUUUGUGGCCAGGUUCCGCAAAAGAUGAGAUUCUUGUUCUUCAUGGAAGGUAUAUACUGAUUGCAAUUUUACCAUUUUUGCGAAUGUCAGUACUUUCUUUUGCCUUUAUGUAUUUGUGGAUAUGCAUAUCCACUACUUUAUACAUGGAUGGUAGUAUUUCUGAAGCAGAAGCCUUUCUUUAAAUUGAAAGCAACAUUUAGCGAAAUGUUUAGUGCUAUUACAAAUCAGAAUGAAGAAGCUUUUAGAGGCACAAUAUAUCACUGUUCUGUAUAACUCAUCUUUCCCUUUCCUGAAGCAUGAAGGACAGGGCGUCUUUAACUUUUAUUUUAUUUUAUUUUUUGUUAACAAAAAUAAUAUAAUGAAUAGAAUUCACUGAAUGGAUUUCAUGCAAAAGAAAUUGGAGUUGCUAAAUAGUGAGAGAGUGAGAAAAAUCUAUGUAGGGAUAGCAUGGAUUACAUUUUGGAAAGCAGAAGCUAAUGAAGUGUUAUUGAAUCGAGUUAUUAGUGAGUUAAAGAAAAACACAUUCAUUGUAGGAAAGACAUACAUGGAUGUUAUGAUUCUGAAUCAUUGUUCUCUUACUAAGUUGUAUCCUGAUUAAUCGUAGGACCCUGACCACUCCAGUGCCACUCAUAAAAUGUCUGAAGUCCAUAAGAGACUAUGCUUUCGCUAGUUCUCCUUAUCCAGUCAUCAUAACUUUAGAAGAUCACCUCACACCAGAACUUCAGGCUAAAGUUGCAGAGGUUAGCUUUCAAUUCAUUUUCAAGGAUUUGAAUUUUCAGCUUCUCUGUUUCCUAUUUAUCUAUAACCUCCAAUACCUUUGCACGUAGAUGGUUACUCAAACAUUUGGCGGAAUGCUGUACUAUCCUGAGUCAGAUUCCUUAUUACAGUUCCCUUCUCCGGAGUCAUUGAAACAUCGAAUAAUCAUUUCAACCAAACCACCAAAAGAGUAUCUUGAAUCUAGUGGCAUCAAGCGAAAGGGACCUUUAUCACCAGGUGGAAGGAAUUCAUCCGAAGAAGAUGACGAAGCAUCAGGGAUACCAUGCCAUACAGCUGAACUAGAAGCGGAUGAUAGGGUGAGCAUAGAGGCGAAUCUUGCCUAGCUAGUCUAAGUAAGAUUUUUAAGGUGUUUCGUUAACUUUUUCACAAAUGGCAGAGCGACAGUGAUCAAGAUGAUGUAGACCUAACCGAUUGUGACAAUAAAUCAGGCCAGUUAGGGGCACCUGCAUAUAAACGUCUAAUCACAAUACACGCUGGGAAGCCAAAGGGUUGUUUAAAGGAUGCUUUGAAAGUUGCAGCUGAUAAAGUUAGACGUCUUAGUUUGAGUGAACAGGAACUUGAAAAGGCUGCGGCAACAAAUGGAACUGAUGUAGUGAGGUAUCUAUCGAACAUUACUGAUUACCGAUGCUUCAAAGAAGUUUCUAUUGCUAUUGUCCAUCUUAAAACCAGAUCGAUAGUGCUAAUAUAUGCUGUUGUUCUUCCCAGAUUUACACAAAAUAAUAUUCUGAGAAUUUACCCUAAGGGAACUCGGAUCACCUCCUCUAAUUACAAACCACUUGUUGGAUGGAUGCAUGGAGCUCAGAUGAUUGCGUUUAAUAUGCAGGUUUGUUUCCGAAACCAUAUGAUGUCAAGCAACUUUCUUUCAUGAAGGAGGCAUUCAUAAGUUAAAAGACUAUAUCCUUUAUGAACCAUGAGUGACUUGGAUAUCACGGGACUUGAUUUUUUUUUAGGCUACCUGGAUGUUCCAAUUAGAUAAGCAAUCCAAAGCUUCAUGUUCUUGCAUAUAUGAUGAUCACAGAAUGUCAGCCAUAUAAAGUCCUCGUAACAUGUGAGCUUUCCUUUAACAGGGAUAUGGAAAAUCACUUUGGCUGAUGCAUGGGAUGUUUAGGGCCAAUGGAGGUUGUGGUUACCUUAAGAAACCAGAUUUUCUAUUGGAGAAAGGUCCAAAUAACGAGGUGUUUGAUCCUAAAACAAAAUUACCAGUAACAAAGACAUUAAAUGUGAGUGUACUAGUCUUGCUUGAAAUUGAAUUUCAUUUGUCUGAAGCUCUCUUCCCGAACUCUAUUUUAUCUAUUAACAGGUGAAAGUAUACUUGGGUGAUGGAUGGCGCCUUGAUUUUAGCCACACACACUUUGAUUCAUACUCACCACCAGACUUCUACACAAAGGUUGGUUGGAUUAAGUAUCCUACUCACAUGUAAAUGUGAAAUUUGUCAUUAAACCUCGUAAUACUUGAGCAUCAUCAUUCCAACCUACGAAUGGGAAAAGGACUUUUCAACUUGUUUUGGUUAACCUGCCUUAUCCACAAUUGGUCGAAACACAAUUCACUCUGAAGUGAUUAAAAGCCAUUAAUGAGCAAACCAUAUCUAUUUUCUUUCACAUUCUAGCUUAAGAAAACGAUGUGUGAUGACAAGUAAAUGAACAUUUGAUUUGUUAUCCUCAAGGUAAUCUCUAGAUUUUGCAAAUAAGUUUGAAUCACCAGACUUGGAGAUUGGUAUCUGUGAUUGGUGAGGGUUUUGAGGUUCUAAUCCUGCCUUAUUCUGUUACAUUGCUGGCAUCUGUAUCAUGUUCCUGAAGUAUCUAUCUCACGCAUGCUUUCCUGCUAAUGAACUAAUAAUCCACACUGCAGGUUUACAUAGUUGGGGUACCAGCUGAUGCAGCAAAGAGAAAAACAAAGAUAAUCGAGGAUAACUGGUCUCCAGCUUGGAAUGAGGAAUUCACAUUCCCCCUAACCGUUCCCGAACUGGCUUUGCUUCGGGUUGAAGUGCAAGAGUAUGAUAUGUCAGACAAGGAUGACUUUGGUGGUCAAACAUGCUUGCCUGUCUUGGAUCUAAGACCAGGAAUCCGAUCAGUCCCUCUCCAUGAUAAGAAAGGAGAGAAACUCAAGAAUGUAAGGCUUCUAAUGGGGUUUCAGUUUGUAUAACCUCUACAGUAUUAUUUUUCAUUGAUGGCAUAAGCUAGCUCCAGCCCUUGUUCCUAGAACAACAGAUUGUCCAACAGUAGGUGUAUAAUUAAAUAGGCUUUAUAAUUAGUUAAAGAAGAUUGAACCUGGCCCGAAUGCUUAUGCUUUUGUUUUGCUUCAGACCGACGAUAGGGUAUGAAAAGUUACAAGCAAAGUUUUUUUCCCUUGACAAUUAACAUGGACAGCCUUAGCUGUUGCUGUAAGGUCCUUUCUUCGCUGUUGAGAUGUCACAGAUGUAAUCUUUCGUUUUUUAGGUGCUUUCACAUUACACUUGGUGAUUAGUUGUGGUCACGCGCGUAUUAAGAAGCUUGCCUGGAAGCAUCUUUAAAAGAUUAUUUAGCGAACGACUUUUGACCUAAGAUGAUUUGUUCUUCAGUUAUGGUUAAUUUUGUCCAAAAAGUUGGAAUAACAUAUCAUCUGUCUUGAUGUAUCCCAAAGUAAAACUGUUAUUUCCCCCCCCUUUAAAUGUAACCCAAUCGAGAUACAAACCGUAAAAAAACAAAUAAUAUUCCUAAAAUCCACUGAAUCUAAUCUCGUUUUGGAUGGAAAAACUCCGGUAGGACCAAUCACUUGUAUAGUUAUAUGAGGCUCCGAGCCUCUUCCUUCAUGUGUUUUUACAAGAAAAAUCCUGAUCUGGACUGAACGGUAUAUAUCAAAACCUUGUCGGAAAAGUCAAGGUGCAAAUCAGGAACCGACCAACAAGCAGUAAUCAUGGGGCACGUUUGAUCAUCCUUCCCACAUAAAAUUUUAUCAUCAUUUUAAUGGCGGCUCUGAAAGUGCGCAAUAUAUAAUAAAAUAUGAUGGGAUGGCUUGAUGGUUAAAGGCGUGCUUUUUAAUUAUCAGCUACCCUUCAAAUCUCAAGUCAGGCUAUCGAAGUUAACUUCCAUGAGUUAUUUAAACUUGUUACAAAAAACAAAAAUCUCCAGUAAGUGAAAGCUGGCCCGAAAGUCGUAGACUGCAAGGAAGUUCUCGGAAUGCCCUUGCAGAACAGAAGGUAGAUAUGACAAUGGCCCAAGCUAUAAUUAGGUCCGAAUAUGAGAGAUCCUAACCCCUUGUAAUCCGAUGUGGAACCCGUUCAGCUGAUUGCUUUUUUCGAUCUGUGUGUUUCAUCAGAUAACUUGUGAGAGAAAACCUUGAUGCUGUGGUCCCAUACUGCUUCAAAGGAGUAUCUUUUUUUAGCAGAAAGAUAUUCCGUUUUCUUUUGGUCCAGGUAACUAAUUUUUUUUCUUCUUAAGUUAAGAAUUAUCCUCUAAUUGGUAACUGAAAAGAAGGAUAUUGAAGUCAUCAACUUAUUUAACGUGUUAACAGUUCCUGAUUUCAUGGCAUGCGUGUCACUUUAACCUCGUACUUCUAGUUGUUUAAUGUAAGAAACAAGAAACAAAAUUACAGUAAUAGCCACAAACGAUCAAGUGUGAAUAAUAAAAGAAGCUUAUCCUCUCAAAUUUACGAGUUUCAAGUGCAAAUAAUUUACCAUAAACUCAAUGGAUAAAGAAUUUGUUAGUGUUAGUCAGCACAUAAAGACUGAUAUCGAAUAGAGGGGGGGAAAAAGAACAACAUCUGAAAUUUCAAACACCUCUUCACCAAAUUGUUCAUUUCCUUCCCUAGCACUCCAUUAAUUUAUCGCGAGCAGUAAAUUAGCUUUAUUCUUUCCCUCACUACGCAAGCAUUAUCACUGUUUGAUUUAGCGUAUGGUCAAAGCUACCUGUCAGCCUGUCACCAGCCAUGCGUAUAAUUUAGCAAAUGGAUCAGUGUGUAGAGUAUUGGAUUCCUGUCACUGCCACUACGCCCAUGCCAACCGUCCAAGAGAAACUAAAGGUCAAUCUGGCCGCACGCAAUUGUCACCCAAAUUUCUCUGGAAACCAUCAUCUUUUAUUGCCGACACACACCAUCCUCAAAAAUACAGCACUCUCUCUUCUUACAUGCAAAAUGACAACAAUCUUGUAAUCCUCAAAGACUCAAAUAAAAACAACAGCCAUCUUUCUGCAUCUCUCUCUAAAAUUCUCCAAUGUCCAAACAGACAUACAGAGUUUGCUUCUGCUUUCGCAGGAGGUUCAAGCUAGCAGUGGCCGAGGUACCGGAUGAGAUCAAGGCCUUGUUUGAUUUGUACUCGGAGAAUGGCAUCAUGACCGCUGAUCAUAUCCACAGGUUCUUGAUCGAGGUUCAAAAACAAGAAAAGGCCACUUUCGAGGAAGCACAAUCUAUUGUUGAAAGUCUCAAACAUUUGUCUCUUUUUCACCGUAAAGGACUCCAUCUUGAGGCCUUCUUUAAGUAUCUUUUUGGCGAUACUAACCCUCCUCUUGAUCUUAAACUUGGGGUAAUUUUCCUCUCUCUUUUUUACCCUUCUUUGUUGUGGCUAAAUUUUGAUUCUUCAAUGACUUAUGCUAAUCGGGUCUUUCUUUCUGGUUAAAUUUGGUACUUAUCAUACACAUAGUUAGAUGGAUUUUUUUUUGGUUUCAAUAUAUAUAUAUUGCUUUGGUAGCUAAAAUAGGAAGUGGGCGGGUUUUUGUGUUCCAUGUCUGUAAAGAAAGUGAAAAACUCAAGCUUAUGACUUUUGACUGAAUGGUUACUAAUAAGCUGCAUUGAUUUAAGUAUUUCAUGAUUAUAAUAACUUGUCAAUUAAUGCUAUUGGAUUGUGUAUUGCUAAUUAUCUUUGAAACGUAUGAUUAGAUGUAGAGAGUCUCAUGGGAUGCUUGAACUUGUCCAUGUCGCUAAUUAACUUUUGUUAUUUACGUUUCUUUAAAAGUGGAAUGCCUUUCAUUUUCUACCAGGAAUGUAAAAAUGAAAGCUUUCAACUAUUGUCUCUUUGUCAUGGUUUAUUUUUCUAAUUGAUUUUUUUUGGAAUUACUGUUCUGUUUCAAUUUCGUACGGAUAUCUGCAUUUUUCUUUUUUGUUUUUGCUUAUAUAUUUUAUUCUUUGGUUUCAGGUGCAUCAUGAUAUGACAGCACCCCUUUCACACUAUUUCAUAUAUACUGGCCACAAUUCAUAUCUAACUGGGAAUCAGCUUAGUAGUGAAUGCAGCGAUGUUCCCAUCAUAAAUGCUCUGAAAAAAGGUGUGAGGGUAAUUGAAUUGGAUAUAUGGCCAAAUUCUGACAAUGAUGAUGUGGAGGUACUUCAUGGGAGGUAUGCUGUUAUUGUGCUAAUAAUGGUAUCUCUAAAUAACUAUAGGAUGUGCAAUUGUUACUGCGAAAGGAAACGAAGCAGGAACCAAUAAUUGUACUACGGUGAUCUUUUUUUUUCAUUAAGUUUUGAUUUUGUUCUUGCUUCGGUGAUUUGAAUCAUAAAGAAGCUUAGUGGCUUCCUCUUUUUUAAUAGGGGAUCCAUAUGUGCUAAUCUGUAAAAAAAAUAAAAUUUGCACAACUUAUAUCCUUUAAUACUUUGCCUUGAGUGACCUUUCAAUCGUGAGUUAUGAGAAAUCAUUUCUGUUAACUUCAAAAUACUUUUGAACCAUCCUUCCCUGGUUUUUAACCUGUGGUACUUUGUACUUUGUUUAGGACUUUGACAACUCCGGUGCAACUUAUCAAAUGUUUGAGGUCAAUUAAUGAGCACGCUUUUACUGCAUCUGAAUUCCCUGUUGUUAUAACUCUAGAAGACCACCUUACUCCAGAUCUUCAGGCUAAAGUGGCUCAGGUGAGUCUUUGCUAUUCUGUAGGGAUGGGAAGGACUUACGGGCUAAUGAUUUAAUAUUCUUUCAAAUGGUUUCUAGAUGGUCACUCAAACAUUUGGAGACAUCCUGUUUACUCCUGGCUCAGAACGCUUGAAGGAAUUCCCUUCCCCUGAUUCUCUGAAGAGACGGAUUAUCAUAUCAACAAAACCACCAAAGGAAUACCUUGAGGCUAAGGAAAUUAAGGAUAAAGAGAGUCAUUACCAGAAGGGGAAUGCUGCUUCCGAUGAAGAAGCUUGGGGGAAAGAAAUCCCAAUUCUUAAUGGCCAUAUUCUUGCUGAUGACAAGGUAUUUGAAGACACUUACUAGUAUUUAGUUUGCCAGGUUUUUCUAAUUUCUUUCCAGACUAACCUUCUUGGAGCAGAAUGAAUCGGACAAAGAUGAUGAUGAUGCAGAGGAAGAUCUUGAUGAAGGAGAUCACAAGUUGCAGCAUGAUAUAGCACCAGAAUACAAACGUUUGAUUGCUAUUCAUGCUGGGAAGCCUAAAGGUGGAUUAGAUGAAUGUCUGAAAGUAGAUCCUGAUAAAGUGAGGCGUCUUAGCUUAAGUGAGCAACAGCUUGAAAAGGCUGCGGAAACCCAUGGAAAAGAAAUUGUCAGGUAUAAACAAGCCCUAAAGCAUGUUGAAAGAACUCAUCUGCAGUAGUACAUGUGCCUUUAUUUGCUGCUUGAAACCUUACUGUCACAGGUACUAUUUGUUCGAUUGUGCAUUUAAUAGUUCAAUGCUCAUGGUUGAGAAUGUAUUUAUUGGUGGAGUUGGAAGGAUUUGAAUGACUUGAAACAUUGGCUUUUAAUAUUCUAUGUGGUGGUGUUUAUCCAAUCCUGGCUUCUAAAUUUUGACUCCUUUUCUGGCAUUAUCAUUCCAUUAAUAUACUAGUAAUUAGCUUAUGUGCUUCAUAACCAUAUCCUAUGCCAUUAUUAUACCCUUCGUACUUGGAUCAUUAGAAAACCAAGUUCCAGUAUGUCUGAUAAAUGGCUUGCUGUACAGGUUUACCCAGCGGAAUAUACUCAGGGUGUAUCCAAAGGGUACUCGUGUGAACUCAUCCAACUACAACCCACUAAUUGGAUGGAUGCAUGGUGCUCAAAUGGUUGCUUUUAACAUGCAGGUUUGUGUUUCAAAAUCUAAUGAUUGAGUUCACAAGCAUAAACUUUGAGGGUAGAAAGUAAGGGUGGGAGGAUUUGGUGUUAAUCAUUCUAGUUUUUUAAGAGUUUUGGCCUUUUGUUUGUAAAUGGAUUGCUUAACUGAAUAAUUUUAUUCAAACUUGUGUUGAAAAAGUACUAGAUCGAUAGAAGAGAAAAUCAUGAUGAAGUCUUUUUUUAAUUUUGUUAUCUUAUAUGAUACUGGCUGAGCAAUGCAUUACAUUUAUCAUUGUUCUUUUAAAUUUAUACAAGUACGUGUCUCAGCCAAAUACUAAAAGUAGGUCUUUCAUUGAAGGGAUAUGGAAGAUCACUCUGGUUGAUGCAAGGAAUGUUCAGAGCCAAUGGUGGGUGUGGCUUUGUGAAGAAACCAAGUUUUCUACUGAAGUCUGGUCCACAUGGCGAGGUAUUUGAUACCAAAGCUAAGUUACCUAUGCAAAAAACUUUGAAGGUGAGUGCUUUAUUGUCAAUGCCUUUGGCUGGAAUGGACUUUUUUCAGGAUCCAUUUAAAAUGUCCAUGUAAUGUUUUCUUGUGCAGUUAAUUUUGCGUAGAUGAAUAAUUGCAAUUUUCUUGUUGCUGAAUAGGUGAAAAUAUACAUGGGUGAAGGAUGGUUUUAUGAUUUCCAGCACACACAUUUUGAUGCAUAUUCCCCACCAGAUUUCUAUGCGAGGGUAAGUAGAUACAAUCUUAUGGCCUCGUUGUCUCCUCUUCUUAAGUGAUUACGUUCAAGCCACUGCACAAUUUUCCUGCUACACAACUAUAGUCUAAUCCUAGUUCGGCUUUCCAUCAAAAUUCUCAUGUUCUUGUCAUGGCUAAGGCAUUGUUGAGAUCUGUAGUAAUGCAAGACUUUACCGUAACAGUUUUUAUCCUCGCUGUUAUUUGUUCGCUAGAUUUUUGCAGUUUACUUUUGAUUCUGUAUUGCUUAGUUCUUCUUUUUGGGCCCUCCUUCCCCUUUGUUCCCAAUAGGUAUCUGAAUCAGUGGCUACUGCCUAGAUCAUGAAAAAUAAUGGAUGAUCAAGUGCAGUUUAACUUUAUUUUGUGCAGGUUGGGAUUGCCGGGGUCCCUGCAGAUACUGUAAUGAAGAAAACGAAGACUCUGGAGGACAGUUGGAUACCUUUUUGGAAUGAGGAGUUUGAGUUUCCAUUAACUGUUCCAGAACUAGCUCUGCUUCGGAUUGAAGUUCAUGAAUAUGACAUGUCAGAGAAGGAUGACUUUGGAGGUCAAACAUGCCUUCCUGUAUGGGAGCUAAGAGAAGGGAUUCGAGCAGUUCCACUCCAUGACCGCAAGGGAGAGAGAUACAAAUGUGUAAAGCUCCUUGUGCGCCUUGAAUUUGUUUGAUACCAGUAGAAGUUCCACGCUAAGUAGAAAACUACGAAAGAGAGAUGUACAAAUCUGUGAAGUCCAUUUUGAUUUCUUUGUUGUUGUUGUGAGCUGGUGUGAUUAUGUGAUUUUUUAUUGCCGUGUGAACAUAACAACAUUCUGCCCGGUGCUUUUGUCUUGCAGUUCGUUGUGUUACACGAUAAUAUUGUAAAGAAAAUGAUGGAAGAUUAUCAUAUGUUAUUAAUCUCUGAUGAGAAGGUAUUUUGCAGUUGACUCAAAGCAAUAAGAAAAUGAUAUAAUCUUUUCUCUUUGAUAUGUUGUGUGAUAAGGGAAGCAAAAAUCAGAAAUAUUCAGGCGUUCGUCAAUUCGGAAAAAUUAACUAGGUGGUGGUUAUGAUAACUAUCCCUGUCUCGUGGAUCUCAAUUCUAAUUGCUGCUGCUAGUGGGCAAGCAAACAAUCCACCACCAGCCCUGAGCACAUCACUCCAUUUUUCCAAAUGCUCACGUGGAUAACACGUGACUUCAUUACCCCGCCCCUUGUUCGUUCUUCAAUGCCAGCCGAACCAAACCCCACUCCAGUUCCACUGCUCCAGAGUCCAGCUCCCCAAAUUCUGAAAUGUCCUCUGCCCACAGCCACCAUCAACACCGACAGCUGUUCUCCGAAUCCGUCACCACCACUCUGCAGAUCUCACAAACUCAAUUUUCAAAUCCUAUCAUGUCUCAUUUCUCUCGAAGCAUCAAACCAUCCGAUCCAACCUGGUCUUCCACUUCUCUAUGCUGCGCCGUUUUCGACCUUAUCUGGUAUCGAAUCCUGGACCCGCCAAUCCUCCGAUCUCUCCGCUCUUCGAGCCUCCACGCGCCUCCCUGCCUCCCCCGAUAAAGCCGCCGAAUCAUCCACCUGCAUCUGCCCUAAAUGCCGCUCUGAAUAUUCCAUAUCUCAAAUUCCAAGAAGUUACCUCUGUUUCUGUGGCAAAGUGGAAAAUCCACCACAUGAUAAUCCCCGGAUUUUAACUCACUCUUGCUGCGAAAUCUGUUACCGACCGUUGAAGAAUAACUGUGGUUAUUUCUGUUUGUUGCUAUGCCAUCCCGUUCCUUCCCAUCUUGCCCGAAACUUGUCAAAACGACAUGUUUUUGUGGCAAAACGAUGGAUGUUAAGCUGCAGUUACAAAUUGUUUUCCUGUAACAAUGUCUGUAAUAAAUCAUUGGAUUGUGGGAUUCAUAAUUGUAAGCAAAUCUGCCAUGAUGGAACUUGCCUACUGUGUAAUGGCCGCGGGGUUUAUAAAUGUUUAUGUGGAAGGGAAGUCGAGGAGAGGGGAGUGUUGUGAGAGAGAAUUUAGAUGUGAGAAUCCGUGUGGAAAAUUGUUAGCCUGCAGAAAACAUGUGUCAGAGAGGUUGCCGUUUUGGGGAUGAGAGUUUAUGAAGGAUUGGCUUGUGAUGUUGUUGUGCCGCUUUGUGGUGGUACUUGUGAUAAAAUGCCGAGUUGGGGUUUGCAUAGGUUCCAUGAGAGAUGUCAUGGAAGGCAUUGCAUUGAGACUUGUCGAAUUGUUGUCAUCAAGUUGUGUCAGUGUGGGAAGAUGAAGAUAGAGGUAAAAACUUUAUUUUUUCCUGCUUUCUGAUCCAAUUCAGUGUUUUAUGAACUGUUGCUAUUAGAUUGUAUUCGUUGUUGCAAUGAAGAUGAUUGGUUAUAAUGCAAUAAACAUUAGUAUGUUCAUUUGUAGUGAAUCAAAAUUUUGACUUUUGUUUUUUCAUAUUUAUUCACCGUGUGAGUUCAAAAUUGGGAAGAUUUAACUGAAUUUAGAUUGGGUUCCUUGCUAUCAAGAUUUGGCGUGUGAGAGGAAGAGUCAAAGAUUGAGAAAUUAUGGACGGCAUGCUUGUAAAUGUAGGUGCUGUGAUGGGGACUGUCCACCAUGUGGAGAGGUGCAUUUCAUAGUGCUUGGUUGCUUAUUACGCCUCAUAUCUAUCAUUUUAUCCUGAAAUUCAAUACAUGUUUGAAAUUCCAGAUUUGUGGCAAGAGGCUUCAGUGUGAGAAUCAUAAGUGUCCUGACCCAUGCUAGCGGUAUGCUUGUGCUCAUCCUGCCUCACUUGCAUUUCUUCUAUUCACAAGAAUGACCAUGAGUUAAAUAGGUAUAUAUAUAAAAAAGAGAUGAGAGCCAAAGUAGUUAUACAAUGCCACUGCAUUUUAGAAUGCUUCACGCACAUACUCAUUUGUUCGAAAUGUCUUUGAUUGAGUUUCUGAAACUUUGGAUCAGUCUGACAAUAUACUUCAUAAUGGGGUGUUGUUCUUAGUUAUCUAAUUAGAUCUUAUGCAUUAUGGAUAUUUUUAUAUUGAGGCAAUGUCUUGAUGGUUGGUUUGUACUUGUAUGUAGAGGUGCCUGUGCUCCUUGUACUGUCAUGUUUACAAUUUCAUGUGCAUGUGGAGAUACUCACUUUGAGGUGAGCGUUUUGCUUAUUCUGGAUAUCUUUUUAAUUUCAUGCAGCCAUUAUUUCAAUGAUUUCUAGAGUAGCCAUUAAUUUUAUUGAAAGCCAUAGUUAAUUACUCGUUUAAAUAAAUAACUAUUAAAUGUUGACUCAAGGUUCAAAAUCAGAAAGUCAAUGAAUGGAGUCCACCAAAUCUAUCUCUCAUGAUUUUAAGACUCUUUAGCUCUAAUAGGUAGAGGAACCAACAAAAAUGUUGACAAGAAAAGAGAAAUGUUUCCAAAUGGUUUGAUGAUUUGGAUUGUGCCAACAGUGCUGUAACAUGAGAAGUUUUGCUUUGUUGGCCUAAUUGUACACAAAUGCCUCUGGCUUAUUAUUAUAUUUGUUGACUUAAAGACACCGUCAUAAUUAAAAGCGUGUGCAUCUGAAGCGUAUAAAUUGUGAUGAAUGGGGAAUUGAUGCACAGGACUAGUCAUUCUUCAGAAUUAUUUUGAAAUAGCUUCUUACUGUCUAUAGAUAAGGUAAUUCAUGCUUUAGCUUAGGAAACAUUAUCAGAGAUGCAAUUGCAAUUUUAUUAUUUUUUUUGCAUCGCAUUCUAUUAUAUGGUAUUUGGAUCUUGCAUAUUUGUUAGAGAAAUGAUCCACGCUAUUUUCUGUUUCCAUAUAUAUAUAUACAAUGAAAGAGUUCAGACUAAGAAAACAAAAGACUAAAAAUAGACAAAGCUGUCCCAACCAUAAUAGCUAAUAAAAUUGAUGAAAAAAUAACAGGGAAAAGCCAGAGGUCACCAAAUAAAGUUAAAAAUUUCAGUCAACAUUGAACACAACUUGAAAACGUAAUAAGGAGAAGCAAGCAACACCGCUAGCUAUAACUCACAGUAAAGAAAAACACACAAACACAAAGUCCAAACUUCACUCGGACUAAAAUAGCAGACCAAGCUAGAUGAGUGAAACAGAGAAGAACCCAGAGUUAGGAACUUGAAGAGAGACAUGAGAAGAAAAGAAAAAGGUGUGGAGAGAGAAGAAAAGGAAAAAAUAAAGGAGAAAUAUUGAAGAGUGAGUAAAAAGAUGAAAGGAUUUGGCUUCAACUUGGAUUUAAAGAUUGAAAAAUGAUAACUGAAUUUUGAAAUAAUGGUUUAAAUUUUGACAAUGGUUCUGCAUUGAUAAAAAAGAAAAGAAAAGCUGCUAAAUCAUCCACCUGGAACUGCUCUAAAUUUUGACAAUGGUUCUGCAUGGAAAUUUUUGGAGAAUUGAUUUCUAGAGCAGCCAUUAUGUGCUACAGGCUGAAAUCUGAAACUUUUGAAGUUUUGAAAUUUUUAGAAUAAUUUUGGUGAUAUUCGGGGACUCAUAAUGGCAUAACCUCUUAAUGAUUUGCCACCUUGAAUUGCUGUGAGAAACUUCAGAAUUGAUAUGAUGUGCAGGGAACUGCAUGAUUGUCCACAUUUAUGUCACGAGACAUGUUGUCCAGGUCAAUGCCCAUCACCUGACAAGUGCACCAAAGGUACUAAUUUCUCACCUCAUCAUAAAACGAUUAGUGAAAAGGAACAUUUUGUUAAUGUACAAAACGUUAAUGUUAUUUCAGCUUCCAGUUAUUAACUUGAUUUGUCAUACCAACUCUUAACAACGUCUCUAUUCAUUAUCAAUGCCAAGCCUUGAAAAAGGAGAUGCCAUGUCAAGAGGGUUUAAGCAGUAUACUGCAAAGCAGGCUCUGAUCCCAAAGAUAUAUCUGAAAACCAUUUUGGACCUGAACUUCUUCCUUGGAAUUAUGCUUGCAAGAGUAAAGCACAGGUCGUGGAUCAGGAAUUGCAUUUGUGUAAAUCCAAAGAUUUGGAGGUACUAUUUAUUCCAACUUGAACUGUAGAAUUCAUGCUCCAGAACUCUUUAUGCUUGAGCUUAUGGUUCCAGAUAGUAAUAUCAAUAGCUUUCUCUAUAAAAAAUUUGAAGUGUCUAUUGAUUUAAUUGCUAUCAGAAUAAGCUUUAGCUUGGUUGGCAGCUUGGUCAACUAAAGCAAUAGUAGCCUGAUUGUUUAUGUUAUCAGGACUCAGAUGUGGAACUAGUUCUCGCUUCCGUUUCUACCAAGGGGUUAUCUUGGAAAAUGCUCCUCUUCGUAAACUAGUUGGUGCAUUUUUACUUUCUAAAAUGUGUGGCAAUUAAAAGACACUGUUAUUGAAGUACGCUUACUCUAGUGGUUUAACUUAUGGUUACUUCACUAUAGGUUAUGUGAUGAAACAGCCAACUGGAGAUAUUUCCAUUACAAUAAGGAAAGUUAUUUCAUUAAAUGAUACAUUAGGUAAUGCUCAGAUGUGGAACUAAUUCUCCCUCCAGUUUCUACUACAAGGUUAUCUUGGAAAAUGCUCCUCGUCAUAAACUAGUUGGUGCCUUUUACGUUCUAAAAUGUGUGGCCAUUAAAGACAUGGCUUCGCCUUUCCAUUAUGGAACGCUUAAUAAAACCACCACCAUGGAUAUAUAUUAAUUACAUAAAUGAAUCCACUUUUCUGAUGCACAAGCACAAUGCUCUUUUUCGGUGCAUGGGGGCUCCUGACCUGAAAUCUUAUAGCAUUUUAUGAUAUUUAAUGAAGGAAAAGGUUCCAGCUACUAAAAAUCAUGUACCUAAGCACCAAAAUCGGCGUGAACGACUGCAAGAGCAAAGAAGACCUCACAAAUGCGGGUAUGUUACUCUUCUGAAGCAAAGACCAAGUUUUUUAACUGCUUUUUUGUCAUGAUGGCUUGUUUUGAAGCAGAAGAUGCUGCCACUAUGAGGUGGCUUUUUCUAAUGGUCACCCUUGUGGUGACUCUGGUGGCAGCAGCAUAUUUUGGUUACAAAGGUCUCAUGUGGCUCUCUGAUUGGAUGGAUGAAGUUGAAGAGCAACGAGACAGAGAACCAUGAAUCUAAUCAUUGUCAAAGUCGUCAUCAAGUUACAUUGCUUGAACUCUGAUAGGCGUUUACUGGUUACCAUUUUUUUUUUACAACAAAUGGCUGUCUGGUGAAUGUACUGGGGGGUUUGUUUUCCUUGUUAGUAGUAGUCUUUCUGCCUCACAUACAAAAGCGGCGAGCAUCACCUGAUUUGGGCAAAAAAACAUGCGAUUGAUUUUGACAUGAAUUUGGAACAUGGAUGUGAGCAUGGACACAACCGGUAAUUCUGUCAAUACAUAUUUGAUUUAUGAAGCGAGACAUGAUUCUGGUAUUGUUGGAACUUGAUAAGAUGGAUUGUUUAAAGUUAUUUGUACAUAUUAGGUCGAUUUCAUGUGCUGUUGCAACCCAAUUUCCUGAAUGAUUUAAUUGAUGUGAUGCAGAUCUUUCUCUAUUCGGUGCAUCCAAGAAAAAGAGCUUUUUAGCAUCGGCCAAACUACUUGAAGAAUCAGCCAUUUGGCUCUCUCAUGUUUUUCCAACAAGAAGCUGGAUUGGUCUAAAGUUUUGUUCUGGACAAAAUUUACCAUUGAAACAAGACUGCAGGGACCAGAACGUGUCUGACUUGCUCUGUUUCUUCACUUUUUUCAGCCUUUCUUUCCUCCUAUCCAGGUAAAACGUCAGCAAAUGCAUGAAUAUAACAGAAGUUGUGCUUGGAUUACGGUCAACAGCAGGGAUAUAUUGGAUUGGAUCACGCCCAGAAGAUUCGAGUGGUGGUUGAAAGGUAGAAAAGGGAACUCCAAGGUGGUGUUUUUGCCUACGUGUGCGAGAGAGCGGGGAUGACAAGGCGAGAUGUUAUGGUUUGUAACAAAAUCAAAUCAAAUCAAUUACUCCUCGCUCGUGUUUUCAAUAGAUAGAAUCAGGGUGAGCUGCUGUUAAACCCUAUCGGAUCUCAAAAUUAAUUCCAAAAUUCACAAUUGCAAAUUUAAUUAGAGAAGGGCCUUGUCACCACAAUAUCGAUGGGUGGUUUUACACAAGCUAUAAAUCACUGCAUGGACGUGAAAUGCAAGAGUACUUGUAUGCAUCAUUAGGCACAUGUGAUAUGUUUGCAGCUCAUUCUUGCCAGCCCAUGAACUGUUAAUGCAUCCCUUUGGCCUGUAGUCGUCUCCCGUGACUGUUUUCCGGUACCAUGAAGUUGUUUGGUCUAAUCAAGCAGCUAAAUGUUGUUUAAAUACAUAUGGGGGAAAAAAACAAAUGGUGUUGUUGGGAGGCUGUACAUAAAUAAGGGCAGAAUUUUUUCACCUUGGAUUGAGUACUCCCAAUCUGUAUGUCCUCUUACCACAAAACGAUUCAUUGACAACGAAUUUCAAGAACAUCUGCUUGUCUUUUUUUUGUUUUUCCUUUCUCCUGUGAGAAUAUGCUAUUAAAUUACAAGUUAGAGCUACUAUAAAAAGUUAAUGAUGGUGAUUGAUAGUUUUCUUUAUGUACCUUUGUCCAACGAAUUGGAUAAAUAGUGUAACUAGCACAUAAAAAAAAAGAAGAAGGCGAGGUGACAUAAUUUUUUUUUUGAUAAAAUAAUAUAGUUUGAUAAAUAUAACUGUGAUAUUAAUUAUAAUUUUAUAUUUUUUUUAUUUGGGUUUAAAUUUUAAUUUAUAUCUCUUUUUAAAAAUAUGACAAUAUCAAAGUGUAUUAUUUUACCGAAUCUUUUUAAACGAUGAUUUACCGUCAAAAUUCUACAUUUAUUAUGCUAAUUAUGUAAUUUAUCCCGAUGAAUUAAUGUUGUUUUCCGGUUACAAUCAUAUUUAUAAAACAGAUGCUGAAUAAAAAUACAGCUUCAGCACCGCAUAUUUUCAGCCACUGCUGAAACAUCUAAAAUCUAAAACCUUAGGGAGCCAUAUUGUCAACCAAUGCUAAAACAUCUAAAAUCAAAGUAAAUAAACACCAAUGUAUGAGGACUGAGGAGAGAGUGGUUCACGGACCACCACCGAUAAGAACCCACAUCUGCCCCGGGAACAUUUAAUCUCACUUAAUGCAUAAUUAAUUAGGGUAUUAACCGCAGCGUUCACAUUAAUGUGUACAAGCCUUCACAUUGAUGUUUACAUUUGGAUGCCAAUAAGAGGAGUAAAUACAACCCAAUUGGGCAUUAAAUUCGCGAGGCACCGCAUAAUUCGUCGGAAUAUUUUCUUUUUUAUUCAUCAAACGUGUAUCCAUUACACACGAUCUUCCAUGGACGUCGUGUCUCUUUUGGGACUAAAUCUCUUAUAAUUCAUAUGUUAAAUCAGUAAUUUUACAUCUAAACCAUGCAUUUAUAAAGAUUUCAUUCAGCAAUCUUUAUUCAAAUUACUAAAUAACACUUUUCAAUGUAUACUUGUAAGGUAGGUAGAUGUCGAUCGUAUGGAUUUUGUAUUUGUAAAGUACACUGCAUAUUUGGUCCAAACACGUGCCAAGCAAAUAAUGAUUCAUCACCACCAGAACAAAGGAUAAAUUAGGCGAUUAGUAUACAAAAUAAAAAGAAAUUGUGAGCCGCCAUUUUGAGCCGUGAUAUUUAAUUUGCGAUAACAAACAAAAUUUUAAUUGAUUUUAGAAAAUUUGCUUGGUGGAGUAUGUUCAUAUUUUUCUUGUGGAAUUUUGAGCCUUCUUGCAUCAAUGUGUGUUUAGUACUAGUUUGUUCCGACUGUGAAUUUCUGUCUAACCCUGCUAUUAGGGUUUCUAACCAGAGCGUGCAAAGCAUAAAUCUGACACAUGAUCUCUUUUUAAUGGUUCCAUUUACUUAAUUUCUCUGUAUUGUUAGGUUGAAAAGUCUUUGCAAAGUAUGGAAGAAGAAGCUGGGCGUAUUUACAAGGAUGAGCGUGGAAUGCUUCUUGACGAUGAAGCGGCAUCGACUAGAGAUGCAAUGUGAUCAGAACUCGGUCUUUGCUUUCCUUUUGCAUUCUCAUAGUUUGCCUUUUGUAGGCCCGAUCUACCCUUCAUAUUCUGACAUUCUCACCUGCUUCAAAGUUUAAUCUCCCUCUUAUCUCCAUUCCAUCACUGUCUUCUAACACCUCCUCUCCUCACCUACACAAGAAUAGUACCCAUCAUCAUCGUCGUCAUCAUCGGUGUCAUUGUUGUGAUAAUCAUUGUCGUCCAAAAAAGUGACCCGGAAUCAGAAUAACAAGGGAUGGGUCGGAGGUGAGAGAGAAGGCAAGGAUAAAUUGAGUUGAGGAUUUGUACAGGAAACGAAACAGAAAGAGACGGUGCAAGGGACAAAGAUAAAGUCGGGGAUUUGUAGAAGAAAGCAAAGAUACUGCAUCAAAGAAAAUGAAAGAAACAAUAUAAUUGAUGUUGCGGAUAUGAACUUAGAUCUUAAUUAAAAUUUUAUUAUACUUUUUAACUGUGAUAUCAAUAUCACAGUUGUUAAAUAUGAUAUUAUUUAAAGGCUGUCUGGUAAUGAGGUUGUGUUUGUGUUUUAAAUAAAAUGUAAAUGCAACCUGUUUGGUAAAGAAAAAAACAUUUUAUUGUUCAUAGAUCUCACAAUGUUUUUAUGUUCGAAACGCAGGGAAAAGAAAAACAAGUGAAUGCCGCUUCUUGCGCCCUAUUCAUGCUAAUUAAUUAGCAUGAACAGUGGAGCUGGCUACACUGUUCACGUGAAUAGUGUAGCCAGCUCCACUGUUCCGGUCGGACCGGUUCCGGUUCAAAACUCAAAAUUCAUUGAACCAUGUCUGACCUAGUAAAAUAAAAAAUAAAAAUUAUUUUUUAAUUUUUAAUUGUGUUUUAUUCGAAAAACUAGUGUUAAAUAUUAUUCAAUGACUACAUAAAUUAGACGGAGAUCGCUUGAUGACGCCGCAUUUAUAGAAUUUGAUCGCAAUCUCAAUUUUGUUCCUGAUUAUAUUUUACCUGAUGUUGUUGCGCUCUUAAAAAUUUGUGAAAACUGUAGUCUUUGUCGAAUGUAUUUCAUACGUGAUGAAAUUUUAAAUAGUUUAAUGAAACAAUAAAAAAUAUUUUUUAAAAUUAUUUUACAACCUCAAUUAGCAUUAUUAACCAAAUACAUUAAACUACUUUUUACUCAAUCUCAAUUUUAACCAUAGUUUUAACCAAACAUAUAUUUUUUCAAACCAACCUCAACUAAAAGUAUUUUUUAUAAAAUAAUUUUUUUAAAUCACAACCACAACCGCAGCCGCAAUACCAUUAACAACAAUAUAAAAAAAAAAUUAUUUCAUCCAAAAAAAUUUCAAAAUAUAUUAUUCUUUAAAAAAUUUAAAAUUACUAUGAUAAUUUUACAAAAAGUCGCAGAACAAAGCCCUAUCCUAUUGACUCCUUUUGUUAAUUGAAUUUUCAAAGUCAAAUUCAUGGAGUACCAAACGAUAACUCGAAGCAAUGUGCCAAGGUCCAGAAAUAGGACCACAUUUUGCUUCUGCUUCUUGCCCUUUUCAGGGAUGGACCCAUACCAGAAAUUCUGCUUCGGAAAGAGUUCUGAUAGCGGUGGUCGGUGUAGGCAAGUACACAGUGAAAAGCAUCGUCGCCUAUUUUGGUGCCACAUGUACAGGCCCAUAUGCCUAAUUUUGUCAACUUUAUGUCCUUUCCUAACAUCACAUCGCAAAUAGACAAAUUGUCAUCUGCAACUUUUUUUAAGAGAAAGGGUGAUCAGUCCAUUUUGUCAACGAGAAAACUGGGUGAACUCUUCCGACUACACCGUGUUUGUUAGUGUUUAAAAUACUGUUUCUUAAAAAUUUAAUUUUUUUAUUUAAAAUUAUAUUUUUAUGUUUUUUAAAUUGUCUUAAGGUAUUAAUAUAAAAAAUAAAAUUUUAAAAAAAUAUUAUUUUAAUUUAUUUUUAAAUAAAAAACACUUGAAACUAUUGCUGUAAUGCCAGACAUACAUGCAUCCUACUUCGACAAAAGGAAAAAUAAGCAAAGGGGCUUCUGUUUAACAAUCUUAAACUAUUAAGAAGAAAAGGAAUAUUCUCCAUAAAAAUAAAUCAUGUAAUCAUUCUCCUUGCGGUCAGUGUUCACAAAACCCUACAUUACAGCUCGAUUGUUGAUAAAUACUCCUAAUUCCUCUGCAAUUGAAAAGGAAAAAAAAAAAAGGAAAGGAAAAAUCCUAUUCUUUACAGUAGCCCAAAUGUAUACCCAAUUAAAUUAUCCAAAAAAAUAUUUGUUCUUCUGGGUUUGAAAAUUGAAAUUUCAAUCUGAAACAAUUGAUAUUCUACCACUAGAGAUGCUGCCAUGGCUACUACCAUCACAGAGGGACAAGGCUCGCUCCAAGUUAGCAACAAUGUCUGUCAUAGUUGGCCUAUCUUUCCCUUCCAAAUUCACACAAUGCAUUGCAGUGUAUCCCACCAGCUCCACUGCUUCUGCUUCAUUAAGCUCCGGCGGUCCAACCCUGGGAUCCAAAAUCUUACCCAAUUCAUUAACCAUAAGUUUAGGCACCGCAAAAUCCACUAUACUUGUUGGUGUGCCUCCAUUAUCAUCACCCUUGAAAAUGGCUCUUUUUCCAGUCAGGAGUUCUAAUAAUACCACACCAAGGCCAUAGACAUCACUCUUUGCAGUUAAUACAUUUAGGCCAUAGUACUCAGGAUCAAUGUACCCAACUGUUCCUGCUGCCUUUGUUGGUCUGUAAUUGUAAUCCUGUUCUGAUUCAGGACCCAUCAAUGACAACCCAAAAUCAGAAACUCUUGCUGUCCAAUUCGCAUCGAGUAAUAUAUUUGACGACUUGAUGUCUCUGUGAAUUAUUGGUGGGACCGCAUAGUUGUGAAGAUAUUCAAUUCCUCUAGCAGCAUCAAGUGCAAUCUUGAUCCUCAUUUUCCAUGAAUUUAUCACACUGCUACUCUUUUCAAUGUUGUUCUUGUCAUGUAAAUGGUCAUAAAGAGCUCCAUUCUUCAUGUAAUCAUAAACUAGAAGCCUCUCAUCUCCAUCUUCACAAUACCCAGCAAGCCUUACCAGAUGUUUGUGGUGAAGCCUUGACAAGAACGCCAAUUCUGAUUCAAAAGCACUCUCUUUCUCUUGAAACUUCUUCAUCUUCUGGCCUGUUUCCCCUCUCUUAAUCGCCACUUCGCGGCCAUCUUUCAAUUUCCCUCCAUAAACAACACCAAAGCUCCCUGCACCAAUCUUGUUCUCUACUGAAAAAUUGUUGGUAGCAGCAGCAAGUUCAGCCAGACUAAACUCCUCAGCUCUAUCCCCAUGCUUUGAUGACGUUCCACUCCUCUGACGCCUCAUCACCCUUGAGCUCUGGCGUCUUAUAGUUGAUGAUCUCGAAUUUAAACCACUAUUAUUUGAUGUCACGCCAGCAAUGGAAACAGCUCUAGUAAUUGUAGGCUGAACUGAAUUAUGCACUUUCUUCUUACCAAAGCAAACUCCAGUCCACAAGCAAUAAAUAAUCGUGCAAAUUCCGGCAAACCCCCCUACUGAUCCAACAAUAGCAAAUGCCAAUAACCCUGUUGUCAAUUUAUUGGACGGAGAUGACUUUGGCACUAUCGACGGGGGUGGUGCUGAUGGCAAUGACGUCGGAGCCAACGGUGUUAAUAUCGAAGCAUUGGGACCACAAGGCUUGCAAAUGUUCCCUGAACCAGAACACAACUUCUCAGAUCGCGGAUACAAACCGCAUUCACUACAAGAAGAUUGCACACAUGGCCCUGGUAAAACCUCGCCCAACGGAAGCCGAGUCCCUGAAGCAUUAGGCCACCCUGGUCCCCAACACAUAAUCGAAAAAUCACGCGAAACCAAUCCACAGCUAAAAUUAGAACCUGAAACAAUAGACUCAAAGAAAACACCCUGAAUCUCACUCACAUUAUAUUCACCACCACCUCCCCAACAAACAACAGAUCCAUUAUUCCUUCGAAUCGCACAGCUAUGACUAGCCCCAAGAGCCAACUGCGAAUAUUCCAAUGCAUUAUUUGAAGGGACAUUCAAUUGACCAAAUCUAUUAUCCCCUUUGCACACCAAAACGCCACUAGAAUUGACACCACAAACAUGUAAACCACCCACUUCAAGAUUCCAAAUUAUCAUAUCGGCAAAACCAAGUUCAAUCUCUCUUGCAAUUGCAUUAUUACCCCAACACUUAAUUCUGUUAUUUUCCAUUAAAAUCCCACAUGAGAAGCCAGACCCACUUGAAAUUGACUUAAAUUUAUCGCCUUCGCUUGGUGAUUGUUUACUUGCAUUACCAUCUCCCCUCCAACACCUAACGGUCCCAGUUUUGUUGACACUCGAUGUGUCAUUAACAAUUGCACACACUUGAUUAUCACCAACAGAGAGGUUUUGUAGAAGGGCGGUGUUGUUAACAUAGACUCUUCGAGAUUCAAAAAAGGAAUUCGUUGUGUCCCAGCAUAAGAAAGCAUAGCCCCCAGAACGUAGACCGCAGAAGAAGGUGGAGCCGCCGGAGAUGGCGGAGAAGGAGACGUUAGGUUGGACGGUAAUGAUUUCGGCGAUGGGGGUUCGUCUAUAGCAGGUAAUACUUUGGGAUGGUUGGGAGGCGGCGACGCCACAGACGGUGGAGGUGGCGGAGAUGACCGCGAGGGUGGAGCCGGAGCCCAAGGCAUGGGUUAGAAAUGGAGAUGAUAAGAUGAAGGAGAGAAGUGACAGGGUGGUGACGGAGAGGACAGCGGAGGAGAGGUGUAGUUUCGUCAUGUACAGAAGUGGAGAUUUCCGGUGGUGGUAGAGGAUGUGGGUGACGGGUGACGGGUAGGCUUCAUUGGUAGAGAGAGAGCGGAGAUUUUAAGGUACUGAAUGUCUAUCAGUUUUUAUUGUUUUUAUUGCGUUUGAAAUUAAUAAGAGAAUGAAAAGCUCGUAGAAGUUCUAAUAAACAGUCUUGUGUGGCUCAUAGAGAGGGGGAGAGAGUUGGGGGGGUUUAAGUUCUAAUAAACAGUCUUGUGUGCAGGAGGUUACAUGGCUUUUUCAGCUCGUUUGAGUUUUUUAUUUUCUUGACUGUUAAGAGUUUUUGUUUCUAAGGAUGUGUUUGGAAAGUUUUUUUUAAAAAAGGUAAAUGAUAAUUUUUCUUUAGAGUGGACAGUUUGAUUUGGGGGUUCGACUAACCUCAUAUGUGUUUAUUUUAAAAACGAGUCAUUAAAUGUUUUUAAUUCCAUCAUGCUAUCUGUUACUAUUUCAAGCAUAGUAUUGGACUUAAAACGUGUUCCGAUUUCUUUAUUCAUGUUAUCAUUCUUCCAUCCAGAUUUUUUUAUUAUUAUUAAAAUAGAUGUCCAAAUCAUCUUGCACGUAUCUCGAUUAAUUCCAAAGUUAACAACUAUGUAAGUCUCCAGUAACCAUCAUAUUAGCAAUUACAGAGAUCGAACCUAAAACCAUAGAGGAAGCAAACCCCUUGGUCCAAAACUCUUAUCAUUGAACCACCCACUAUAUAGUUUCAUCCCAAACAUUUUAUUUUUAUAACCAAACAACACCUUAGUACUAGCAUCUUGAAAAAAUUAUUAAUUUUCAUUAAAAUCACUUUGAAAAAAAAUAUAGUUUUAAUUAAUGUGCAAGUUAAUAAAAAAAUACCCCUUAUAGUUGAGUUAAUAAAAAAAUCAUAUCAUUUUGAUGAGAUAAUUUUCCUCAAUCUACAAAAUUGAAACGAAAAUCAAAAUGGUUUCUUCUUUGAAUGCAUAUUGGUUAUCAAAUUCGAUUGUUUGAUUGAAUAGAUUUCUUAAUAUCAUUUAAAUUUAAAGAGAGAGAUAUUCUUGAUCUAGUGGGUAAAUAAGAAGCUAGGGGUAAUCAUUUUUUGUUCGGUUCGGUUCGGUGUGGUUUUUAUCAAAAAAAAUAUAAUCAAAUUGAAUUUUUUUUAUAUAAAAAAAACCGAAACUGGUUCAACCGACCGGUUUUGAUUCAGUUUUUUAGGAAAAAAACCGGUUCAAACCGGUUUGACUCGAUUUUUUCCAGUUUUGCUUUUUUUAGCGGUUUUUUUUGUUUGGGUUCGGUUCGGUUUUUUCAGUUUCAGGCUUAUAAAACCGAAACCGAACCGGUUAGUUUUUUUUAAAUUUUAAUUGGUGUUUUUUUACGAUUAUUUUUUUUUCGGUUUUCUCAGUUUAAUCGGUAUUUUAGUUUUUUUCUCACUCCUGUAAGCAACUCUUUAAUUCCAUAUCAAUAUCUAGAUCCAAUCUCAAUAUUAGGCUAGAAUAUGUGUUUUCCUAUGAAGUUUUUAAAAUCAAGAAUUAAUUGUUAUGUAUUUAACUUAGUCGAUGAGAUGAAUUGAUUUUAAAAUGUUAUGUAUUAAUUGCUAUCUCAAUUUCAUAACUAUUUUAAAAUCCAUAUCAGAGUAUUGUAUUUUUUUCAGUUUUUGAGGGCAAGUUAAGUUCAAAUCCUGCAAUUUCCCAACACUUAAAGCCACAAAGAUGCUUUGUUAUCUAUCCAUUAAAUGAAAAAAAAUUACAAGGGCACUUUUUUCCAAGGAAACGCAGGACCACACUUAUAAUUAUGAUGAUAUGAUCGUUCUCGUUUGUUUCGUGUUUGUUUUUAUAUUUUAAAAAUAUUUUUAAAAAAAUUUAAAUGUUUUUUAAUUUUUUUCUUUACUUUAAAUUAAUAUUUUUUUUUCGUGUUUUCAGAUCAUUUUGAUGCAAAGAUAUCAAAAAUAAUUUUUAAAAUAAAAAAAUAUUAUUUUGAUACAUUUUCAAGUAAAAAAUACUUUAAAAAACAAUCAUAAGGAAUAGGUGAAGUACAAUUUGCCAUCUUUUUUUAUUAUUAUUAUUAAUAUAAGUGUCCGGGCCAGCUUGCACGCACCUCGACUAAUCCCACGGGUCUUGAAGUUAACGACCAUGUAAGCCUCUAGUGACCAUCAUAUGAGCAACUACAAGGCUCGAACCUGAAAUCACAAAAAAAACAAACCCCUUAAUCACAACCUCUUAUCAUUAGACCACCAUCUAAAUAGUUAUAAUUAUCUUUGAUGGCCCAAGAACUUGUUGUUCGCUUUAGAGAGCGAAGCACAUGCACCAUGCUCGAAUGAAAAAAAAAAAAGGGAAAUAAAUAAAUAAAGAAACACGUAAGCAAUGCAAAGGCAAAGUGUUUUACGAAACAUACAGAUGGCAAUUCUUGACCACGAAGGCUGCAAAUCAAAUAUGGAAUCUAUUCAAAAAGUAGACGUAUCAUUUCGAGUUUUAUUUUACAUGGAAAUUAUUAUUUUUGAAGAGGUUAAUCGUCACUGAUUAGAAGGAAUAAUCCGUAAAUCUUAUAUUCAAGAUUUGAUGUAAUCUAACUGGGUCAUAUAGCAUGAGUUUCACGACUGGCUUGCUUGAUUUGAGAGAGAGAGAAGGGAAGAAAAUGAAAGCAAAGAGUGAAAUAUGGAUGGGUUUUUUUGUUCUUCGGUAAAUUUGUUAACUUGCCUCUCUAGGUUUCUUUUUUCCUUUUUAUUGCAGAUCCAAACACGUCUGACAGAGACUCAUGAGAAUUAGGAGUUGCAUAGAUGAUCUUGCAUGCGCAGUUCUUCAUUUUUAAAUGCUGUCUACAAAAUAUAACAUCUUCCGAGCAAAUCCUUGACAUGGUCAACUCAAUCUGUGGAUUAGCCCGCUGAAAACUACUUCAAUCUGACAUGCUUGACUGUUCUCUUAAAAAGGUGAUGUCUGUUUCGUAUAAACAGAUAAAAUAUUGAUGCAAUGUAAAAAUAAGAUUCAAGCGAUGAACCAGGCAAAUUUGAACCACGGAAUACUACUCAACGUUUUCAAUCUAGUCAUGAUACUAUGUGCAAAGCUCUACCAUAUAUUUAAUUUGGGGUUGGUGGUCUUUGAAAACGUAACACCUUGAUAAAUAAUAUUCCUGAAUCCUUACUUUCCAGAACUUGUAUUGAUUUCACACUCUAAUCAUUGCAACUUUGCAACAAAUUUAAGGUUCGAGACUUGACCGAUUUAGGUUAAAUUAGGUAGGUCAACUUAUUCGAGGGGUGGAAGAUUCUGUCUUUGUUUUUGUGAUAAAUGCUGUGUUUUGACCACAGCAAAAGCCCGGCAUUAGUAAAAAAAAAAAAAGUUCAAUGUAGUCAUUCUUCUCUCUACUGUUACAACUUUUCAGGUGACCGUAGUUAAUUAUAUAAUAAUGGGUAGUGUGGUUAUGAUUAUUUUUUAAAGUAUUUUUAUUUGAAAAUUUAUUGAAAUAAUAUAUUUUUUAUUUUUUAAAAUUAAUUUUUUAUAUCAAAUAAUAUGAAAAUAUUAAAAAAAUAAAAUAAAAUAAACACUACCUUGUUUUUGCCCUGUGGGGCAGUUAAAACAUUCAAUUACCUUCCGUGUUCAGACAACCAAUUGAAUUGUUGGUUUGUAUAAUUUGCUAUCUCAAAAUGUAAAAUUAUCAUAAUUAAAUAAACCUGAAAUAAUCACUUACCAUCCCUCUCUAAUUAGUAAUGUUUUCUUACUGAGAAACUCUCCAAUUAGCGAUACUGUUCUCUCGUGAUGUUUUGCUGGUAUAAAAUAGGGGUGAUUAUUUUUUAUUCGGUUUGGUUUUUAUCAAAAAAAAAUAAUCAAACCAAAAAUUGUUUUUUUAAAAAAAACCGAAACCGAACCAAAACCGGUUCAAACCAACCGGUUUCGGUUCGGUUCGGUUUUUUAGGACAAAAACCGAUUUGGCUUGAUUUUUUCGGUUUGACUCGGUUUUUUUCUGGUUUGGCUUGGUUUUUUCCCGGUUUUUUUUUGUUUGGGUUCGGUUCGGUUUUUUCGGUUUCAGGCUUAUAAAACCGAAACCAAACCGGUCGUUUUUUUAAAAUUUUAAUCGGUUUUUUUCACGAAUCAGUUUUUUUGGUUAUUUUUUUUUAUUUUCUCGAUUUUUUAAUUUUUUACUCAACCCCUAAUAUAAAAUAGAGAAGCUUUCGCUCACAUAAUUACGUUUCCAUGGAAGCCUUUGACCAAGUAUUAUUGUCCAUGAUGUUACGAUCUGCCCUUCCCAAUCUCAUAAUAUCAUCAACAAGGAUUUAAUUCAGAAAUGCUUGAUCCUUUUCUUUUCUUUUCUUGAAAAGUUAAACACAUGAUUCCAAUACAUAAUAACUUCCACCUCUAAACAAAAUCAAAGUCAAAACGCAAAAUCUCUUCCCCGUAUACGAUGCAUGUAGGAUUCAAUUUGUAUCAGGAAAAUCUGGAGGAUAGCGCUGUAAUCAUUCCAUAGAUUCUGGAAUCAAAUCCAAUUAAAUGAGCAAAAGGCACUGAUUAACCUGGCAUGUGAUCCUUACUUCCAUUUUAUAAUGCGUUACUGGCUCCUGCUAAGGGAAUCUGAAGAACAGCUCGUAUUGAUAAACACAUGUCAGCAACUCCGAGUGACACAUAAAUUAGGUAAAGGCACAUGGUCAAACCAGGGUGUUGUACAUGUAAAGAAAGCCAUGAUUGAAGAAUGAUUCUUUAGGUAAAGUAAACGCUUGAAGCAUCCUUUACAAUCAAAGCUUGAUUGUUAUGGCGUAUAAUAAUUUACAGGAAAAUAAUUCUUUAGGGAAAGUAAACGCUUGAAGCAUCCUUUACAAUCAAAAGCUUAAUUGUUAUUGCGUAUAAUAAUUUACAGGUUUUUACAAUUAUGUAGUUCUGUCUUUCUUGCAAUUAACGCCCAUGUUUGAUAAUUAAGUCAUUCUUUUUAGAAUGAUUACCAGGUAUACUGACUGGAACUGGACUGAACAUAACAUUUUCAGGAUGACUCAACAUUAUGCACCUUCCUAUUUAUAUAGCCGCCAAGCUAGUGAAAGCUGUCCUGUAUUCAUCAUAAGGUGGCAAAAAUAAACCGAGAAGAAUCGUAAAGUGAAGAAUACCCUUUUAACUAGCUUAUUUGAAUGAUUAAUCUGAUCCUGAAAUAUGACGGAAUCAAGCACGUCACUGCUGAAGUUAGCAUUGCUGCCUAAACUCCAGGUCGUCAAGAUUCUUGAACUUGAGCAAUUAUUUAAAAUAUCAAUCAGUAUAAUUAAAAUAUCCAACACAUUAUCUGUUGGAUUUCAAUAUAUAUAUAUAUAUAUGGGAAAGAAAAGGUGGAAAGAUGGUCACCCUUGAGAAUGAAAAAGUGAGUGCUCUCUAUAACCGUAUAUAGAAGUUGUAGGUUGGUUUUGCUAAUCCAUAUAUAAACUUGAGGAACAUGCAAACCUGUGAAAGCGGUCAAGUUCCUAACAUCAUGUCGGAGUGCUACUUGAUCCAUAAUUAUUAUAUCAAAGCUAAGUCAUCGGCCAGGCAAAGUCGCCGCCGCCCAUGUGCCAAUGCGGGGUCUUCCUUCUAUGCUGCGUUACUGCACUGCCAGACAAUUUCUAGUGGUACACGAGAUCACUCUAUCAAACCUGGCAAAGGGAAUAUGGCACAAGUUCAUAUUGAUAUCCCAUUAAAGAAUUGUUGGGAAAUUUACCUUCUUAGGACUGCUGGAGAGUACAAGGCAAAUUUUAGGCAAGAAAUUCUUCUACCAAAUUAGCCCCCGUAAGAACUACGUAAACCAGGUCCACAAGAUCCAAAACAAAGGAGCAGGAGGGGAUAGCCAUGCUUCUUGACGGUCUGAAAGGGUUGAUCCACGGCCAGUAGGGUAGAAAAAUGGAAGCAUCUCGGCACCGAAAAAAAAAGGACCAGUACAAAAUAGCAUUAUCUGCUUAAUUAGUUUGGCCAGUGCAAUUAAUGUGCAGACGUCAAACAAGACCGGUCUUUCUUCUCUUUUGAUAUUUUUCAUUCCAGGAAAAUGUCCAGCAAUUUAAUUUCUCCGAAGCUCAUCAUAACUAUCCUCCUAUUAUUAAUUAAAAGCACAAAUCCACGUGACAUGGAACAUUCAAGCAAUAAACACUCCUUAUAAACCAGCCACACUGCCACUGAGACUAACGAGUAAACUAACAACCUUUGUUAACGAGGAGCAGAUAUACAGAAGUCUAAAAGAUACAUAAACAAUCAAGCAGACUGCAAGGUGCAAACAUAUAAACACAGUUACAACAAGAAUCGGAGUAUAAACAAAUCUACAGACAUAAAUGUUGUACCUAUUUGACCAAUAAAAGCAGCAGAUAAAUCCUUUUUCUGAAGCUGUGUUACUUCAGCUUUCAUCAAUGCCUCUGCAGGAGAAAUUAAUGCUAUACAAAAUCCAUUGCUCCUACAAUAAGUUGCUGCCUUUGAAUGAAGUAACUGUGGAUGGUACAAAGGAGGGCUGCUUCCAGUGGCAGAUGAUCUUUUAUCCUGCUACGUCCAACCAGAAGCAGGGAUUCCCUGCUUCUGAAACCAUUCAAGCAUGUGGAAUCUUUCAGAGAGUACAGGUCUCACAUCGUUCUGCUGAGAGAGGUGCUUGAGGAGUGGAAGAAGCACAUCCAGAAGCUGAACAGCCCAUAAAUAUGGAUAGAGAGGUGGUUGAGUAAAUGAACAAACAAGAUUGGGGAAUAAUUAUGAAUUUAAGUAAUUUAGAUAUUCCUACCUGUGUAUCAUGUGGUUGUCCUGCAGAAAAUGGAACACAUGGAAUUCCAUUCAGUGGUUGCAACAAGAAACUGAAUGGAUUGUUGUCAACAAUAACAAUCCGGCAUGGAUCAUUUGAUAUGCAGGAGAGAUCUUUCACAUGCUCCUGAUACUCCCUGUUCAGUGGUCACAUACAGCAUGAAAGGUUUUCAAAACUAAAAAAUGAAUCUUAAGCGUAAGGAUACAAGAGAAGUUAAUUCCUUCAUUUAGAAAUAAAUCAACUAUACAAAGUAUCUGCAUUUGCUUAACUUAAUCACAGAAGCAUACUGCGUCAUUAUCAGGAAUUGACAUCUUUAUCAUCAAAAUUUCACAUCCACUCAAAACUAGAAAGAUGAGUUUGAAGCACUAAAAGUGAGUGGCAUAAAGCACUCAUGAAGAAUUGGAACACAUUAUUAAAACCAAGCAAAUCCAUUGCAGUUAAUAAAUAAAUACAGUCAUUAUGAUGGGGGUGGGGGUGGUUUAAAUAUGAAAUCAUUAGCACCAUUACACAGGCAAUUAUCGGGAGCAUAAACAAUCUAGUUUCUGUAAAAAGAAAAACGAACUAAACUCAAAAUUCAACAUAGUGAUAGCCCCAGUCUAAUCAAGAUUGUCUAGAAUGUGUCUUCUGAAGCGAGCAUGAACUUAAUUUCUAUAGAAUAUGUAAAACCUUGUUUUGAACGUUGAGAAAAAUUCCAGCAUUAAAUAUGUAACUCUUUAGCUUGCGUGAGGUAAAUGAUAUUUAAUCUUGUAAGAAAUUUUCAAGAAUUAGCUUUACCAUGUAUAACUCUUAUUCACAGACAGAUACAUCAAAUGAUUGCAUAGAAUUUACUUAACAUGAAAUCAUAGUAACUUAAGUCGACCUGCUAAAUGUAAAAUCUGCACGAUCAUACCUAAUUCAUUUCAUAAUAUCAGUUUUUUCUGUAAAGUAUAGAGACCAUUCACACCAUAUAUUGUUACUCUAGCAUAAUAAGCAUCCAGAAAAAAACAUAUAGAGAAACUCUAAUAUCCAAGACUGUCAGAAAAAAGAUUUCUUCCAAAAUAUUAUAAGAGUUUUAACUGUUUCCAAUAAAAUCACUUAAGCAAUGUGUGAUGGUCAUAACUUAUGUCCAAUUCAAAAGAUGUGCGCAUACUUCAUGGUAGAAUAUUGUUAACUGGUGUAUAUAUGCUUGUGUAUUCGGCAAACUAAAAGGACAAGAACACAAGUUCCACUUGUCCUUUUGAGAAGCCUUUUUAUCUAGAGAAGUAAAUAUCCUAAAUUUCAAAUAACUAGUGUGCUAUCAGCAGUUACAAACUCAAGGAAGGAAAGACAUAAUGUAAGAAAGACCAGAAAAAUAUGAAUACAACAACUCGUGCUUACGUGCUAGUUGUUGAAGGCCGAUAAAGACGUAGACUAAAUCGAUUUUCUGUAUCUAUUCUGUCAACAAGUGGUCUGGCAUAACCUGCAAAUAUUCAAAGGUGGUAUUUCGAACUCGCUAAGAAAAUAAUAAUAAAGGUGGAAGAGCUAAUAGCCGAUACAGUAAGUAUAGCAGCCAGAUGUAUGGUGAAGUAAAUAUCAGACCUUCAAGGCCAGCUGUAAAUAGCACAAGCUCUGCAAAUUCACUGAGUUGUUUUAGGAAUUCAUCCAACCCUGGACGCUCAAAUACCGUAACAUAAUUGAUCUUAAGUUUCCCUUCGCAUUCCUUCAAAUCCCAACAUACUCAAGUCAAAAUAGUCUAACUUAAAUAAUUUUACUUAAAAUGACUUGCAUAUAAGAACCUUGUCUGAAGAUACACAUUCCAGCUCAAACCACUUCAAUCCAGCUUCCAUUGCUUGAUUGCACAGAAGCGCUGGCAAACUAGAUGUCUCAUAAGCACAUACUAGAGUUUCAUCCAAGUCAAGAACCACCUGCAGUACAUAUUCUGGAGUCAAUGUCAUGUUGAAUUACUGUUUUUAAAGAAGCAGCAAGAGAGAAGAUAGAGAAAAACCCUGCUAAACACCUUUCGCACAAUGAUUUUACAGAUUAUAAAGUUAAAUACCCAAGACCAACAACACAUAUCAAUGCAUAACCUCAGAAUUUUAAACCCUCUCGGCACAUUACCAUACAAAAAAUCAAUAGUGGGAUUUCACAGCAGUAAUUAACUAACUCACGUACCGAGUGACAAAAUCAAAGCUUGGAACCCAAAAAAGUAAUCCUUUUAUAAAUUCAAAUGUUCAAGAUUUAAUGGAAGAUGUAAGAAAACCAUAAAUAAAUAUCAGAAACAUAACCUACAUAAAAUAUCCAAAAUACAAGAAAGCUUAGAGUAUUACGAGCACGAAAACAUAUCAUUUACAAUGGGAAAACAUAAGACACAAAAAUAAUCUAAAGCAUCUUUAAAGCGCACUUUAUCCAGGGGAAUUUAUUAAAUUCCUGAUGUAUCAGGUUGAUGUAUUGGGUCCCGAGGAGGGGACUUGGUCUCGGUUAGCAUGCAAGCUGACCUGAAGAUACCCCUUAUCAUUGAAUAAAAACAAGAAAGCACACUUUAUUAUCAGAUAGAAAUUUUUUUUAAUUUUUUUUUAUAGAUUUAGCUCGUAAAUAUGAUUUCUCAAAUUGUUAAAUCCACACCAACGUGCAACACUCCUCUAAAUAGUACUAGUAAUAGUUCAUGAAAGCUAAAACUAGAAUUUCCCAAUCUAUUACUAUUGACUACUAAUUCUAGUAACUAACAUCUUAAUUUGGCCUUAACUCUCCAUAUCUAUCUACGUCAUAAAAUACAUAACCUGGCAAACACAAAAAUCAUAAACCUCUUGAAAAAAUAACUCAUCCUUUUAUUAUUAUUAUUAUUAUUAUUAUAUGCAUAAAUCAGAACACAUACAGAACCUUCUUUGAGAGCAACUAUCAUAACCAGAGAAAAUCGAUAUCAUACGGUGAGUUUCUGGAUAGGCUCGUUGGCGGAAAUGGCGUCGGUGCCGGCGGGGAUCUCGACUGUUGCGGGAGGAGGAUCGGUGGUCUCAGGCAACUCGCCAAGAGGCAAGGGCUUGAAAGUAUGAGAAGGAGUAGAGAGAGAUCGAGGUCCAACGGCUCUAAGGAUCUGUAAAAAGAUCUGGAAGAAGAAAGCAAGCCAGUUCCACAGUGCCCUCCAUAACUGAAUUGACCGUGGUGAGUAAACCACCUCGGGAUGAGUCAGCUCAGCCAUAUAGUAUGAUCAAGAACUGGUUCGAUGGCGGUGAUGGUUUAUAACUUAACUUAUCAAGAGAGAGAGAGCGAGGCAGUGAGAUUGUUUCCUUCAAAAAAAACUUGAUUUGCUGAGUGUUAUGUUUGUUUUAUUAUAAAAUUCCGUGCUUUUAGGACGGGCGACGGUGAAGAGGAGAGAUGACAUGGCUGUUGUGGUCCUCGAGGUGAGUGUGUGAUUAUUCUUCGAUUUGAUCAAAGUAUAGAAAGAGGAAGGAUGUAAAUCACAUCACGACUAAAUUGGUGAUUUUUCAAACAUGCAUUUGGUGCCCCCUCUUACUUCCGUGUUGAUUUGAAAUCCUUGUAAGAUUCUGAGCUUUUAUUCCUAAUAAAGAAAAGUAAAUUCGGUGCGUGACAUGGACAUGACUUUUUUUGUUUUCCACUAUUUAAUUUCUUUUUUUAAAAUCAAUCAAGAUAAAAAAAAAAAACACCAAGAUAAUAGAUGCAGUAAGAAUGCCAAAUGUAAAAUUAUCGAGGAUAAAAGGUACAAAAAAAAAAGUCAGAAUGAAAAAAGAAGGGAAGAAUACACAAAAGACAAAAAGGGAUAUUUUUUUAACAAUUAAUAAUUAAAAUAAUAUCAAUUUGCUUCUUGAUUCGUGAGUCCGGUCAGAAAAAAGAGCAUGCCCGCAUUAUCAUUUUAGAUUUAUGUGGAAUGGAUAUGCGGAUGAUGCAAAAAUGUGGGUCCCGGUAACAGGGGCCCAGAACAACCCAGCCAUCACACGUCUCUCACGUGGAAUGGAUAAGCGGAUGAUUGCAAAACGUUGACCUGGAAUAUGAUAUAAUAUCGUUAGAAAUGUUAUUUGGAUAAAGAGUUAGCACAAAACAAAUAUAUAUUAUCGUGAAAUGCAACGUGAUUGGUCAGAUGGGGUUGCACGCGUAGGCAGUUAGCGUGUGUGUGUACCAAAAUAGAGAGAAUUUGAGAAAAGGAAAGAUAGAGAGCAAGAGGAGUUUUUUAUUAUUAUUAUUUCUACCACCAGCAGCUGCUGCUGAUCAUUCUUAAAAUUAGGGCCAGAUUGGGUGAACUCACGCCUACCCAAAACCAGAUACAAUCCACUUUCCUUUUUGAGCUGUGGAUUGAGCAACCUCAGCUGGGAUCUGAUCAACUGCGGUGGCUAAAUUGCUGGCGAUGGCAGCCUAUCCUAUGUCUUCGAAGGAUAGACACUGGACAGUGGUACAGCUGAAAUUUUAUAAUUUAAGAUUUCAAUACCCUUUUAAUAUAUAUUUGAUACUGCAGCAGUACAUGUGAAUAAAAAUUGGUAUGAUUCACGAAGAUGUUGAUCUUUCUUCGGGUAGUGGAUAUGAAAAUUUGUUUUUACCCUUUUCAUGCAAGCUUCAUUUCUGAGAAAUUGCUGAACUUGUACACGUGUUUUCUUGUUCUGUUGUUUCAUAAUUUCUAAUUCAGUCGCAAUGCGUGUUGAUUAAGUUAUUCAACUUCUUGGCCAGAUUGGAUGAUCAAUCAAGAUUUGGUUAGGUAGGAGUGCUUACGACAUCUUGCAAUCCCUCCAAACACUACAAGGUACCCAUGACCUCAACUCCAAAUAGUUUUGAUGCCUGCAGGGAAAGACAAGCGAUCAGGUCUAGGGUUUUCCUUUUCUGUAGGAAAAAUACACUAAUCACUUGCCAUUAAUUUCUAUGUUGACACCCAGAUAACAACAACAGCUUCUUGGAUUCUUGUUCGUAAUUUCAUGCUGUUUGUCACUGGUUAUAAAUCCACAAACAGCCCACCUUCCUGUACUCGAUGCAGCCCGCAUCGACUUUUGCCUGUGUUCGGGACUGGAAUAUAGUGGAUUUAUGUGGCGUAUUGAAGGCGCUACGCAUUCAUUGACAACAAGUAUCCAAAUCAUUGUGUUGGUGAUUUUAUUACUGUCCUUCUGUUCCCAAUCAAAUGAUACUUACAAAGCCCCACCAAGUGAAGGAAGAAAAGAAAAUGCAAGAAAACUUCCUGUACAAAAUAAAUAUGAGUUCAACAAAAAAAAGAAUGCGUGUAUAUAUCUGAUGUGGUUGCAUAUACUGAACCAAAACUGGUACUGGAAGCAUGCACUCCAGAGACAAGAAAGAGACACAAAUACGUAGCCACGAGUAUUGACUCCCGAUCCACAACUUCAGUCAGAAUCGGACUCAGUAUGAAUGUGAAAGCCAUGGGUGCUCUAGGGCCUCCCUUGCAGUUGGACGCCUCAGGGGGUUGAGCUCAAGCAAGUCUCUCACGAAAUCAAUGAACCCAACGUCGGAAACUUGUAGAUGAUGUUCCAGUGAGGAUUCCUCAGGAAUAAGGUAUUCUACUUGAUUUGUCUCCUGGACAUUGCAAGCCAGGUAUGAGUAAAUUGGGGCUGGUGAAAUCAGUCAUCUACUAGUCAUGAUUGGUAAAAAUAUAUUACAUCAUCCUUGAAUACAACAAAACUUACCUAACAAAAAAAAGUCAAUGGUUUGAUAGCCGGGUUUUGAUGGGUCAGGCUCAGGUAUGCGGAUCAACCCAAGUUUUUGACCGGGUCGGUCAAGUUUUUUUUAUUAUUAUUUUUUUUUCAACCCGAACCAGUUCAAAUCCCGGAUCAGCCAAGUCCUAGGUUGACCGCUAAACGAGUCCGACUUUUGAAACUAUAGUGUGCCCACCUUGUUAAAUACUCAAAGCAUAGAUAUGGAGUAACACACCUCUUGGUCCUUUCUCAAGAUAAUGCAUAAAAAAACACCUAAGUUGAACUCUAUUAUAACUAAGGGUGUUCAUGGAUUUAGUUGGAUUAAGUUUGAGCUUAAAAUUAUACCCAACUCAACUUCUAAUAUUUUAUAAAUUGUAAACCCAACCCAACCCAUUCAUCUCUUCUUUUUUUUACCUAGGGGUUAGAUAUAUCAGGUUAAGCUAAUUUUUUUAUGGUAUUGCAGACAUUCACGGAUUGGACUUAUAUUGCUAAUUUCAAUGGAUUUAGCUUAAUUAGAACCAAGAUUUGGGCUCAAUAAACUAACUCAAGAAUUGUUAUAAGUUGUAACAAACAAUUUAAGCUUAAUAUAUCAAUGAAUAAAUUGACUAAAAUAUAAGAACCAAUUUAGCUAUGAUAACCAACAGGGUUGUAUUGGAUAUAUGGAUUGACCGGGUUUCAAAAAUCUCAACCUGUAAUAUCCAUUUCUUAGAUUUUUUAAUCCAUUAUCAUCUAUAAUAUCUAUAUUAUCUGAUUUUGACAAAUUGAGUUUGGUGAUGAACCAGUUUUUUCUUAACACCCCUAAUUGUGACUGUUGUGUGGAACUUUCAGAAAGCACCUUUUCCCUCCUUAACUAUCAUGUGCCUAGAGCAAUGUAUUUAAAAUGAAUAACCACAAGUUGAUGAAUGCAGAGCUUAUGAGAAUGCAAUCUUUCCCUCCCUACUGAAUAUUUAUAUGCAUCUUAUGUUCCAAAAACAUAUUCUGAAUGCAUAAAGGUAAAAAGUUCAACAGUCUGCUAGUCCUCAUCUAUUCUCAAACUGAAAGAAAUUUGACAAACCUCAUUUAAAUGAUAGAGAUCAUAUUCUUCUGUAAAGUACUUGUGCGUUUCCUGUCCUGUCUCCAGCAUCUCUGGAUCAAUAGGACCCAGCAUGCCAAUCAUGCGUGUGAGGAUCAUUACAACUGCAUCAUUUGGAAAGAGCACCUGACAACCCAGAGCAAAUGAUAUAGGUUACCAGAAAAAAUAAUCAUUGAAUGCUCAAGCCAUCCAUGGGAAGGAAUAACUAACAGCAAUAUCCACUUUAAUUUUACUGAAUGAAGCAAAGCAAAGCAGACAUACUUCCCCAGAGCACAGUUCAGCCAAGAUGCAGCCGAGAGACCAUAAGUCAAUCUUUUGGUCAUAGGGGAGACCUAGAAUGACUU
RNAcentral lists this long non-coding RNA (113643 nucleotides) under Populus trichocarpa (black cottonwood). RNAcentral describes it as "long non-coding RNA (PTRI_LNC002105)". The record is from RNAcentral. Lineage: Eukaryota; Viridiplantae; Streptophyta; Magnoliopsida; Malpighiales; Salicaceae.